Molecule: long non-coding RNA, 103851 nt
Filed under: Triticum aestivum (bread wheat)
Lineage: Eukaryota; Viridiplantae; Streptophyta; Magnoliopsida; Poales; Poaceae
Description: long non-coding RNA (TAES_LNC028560)
Rfam family: MIR1120/MIR1122 microRNA precursor family (bases 101589-101712)
Source: RNAcentral
CCGCCGCCCGAGCCCAAGAAGCCCAAGACCAUCCAGGUCCAGGUCGCCUGAGAGAUGGAUGGGACAACCGAACCAGAGAGAAGGUCCUUUGCCUGGCGCCUGAUCGGAGCUGAGUGGGUAGUGAUCGAUGAUUAGGGAGUGAGUUUCCUGAGAUGCGUGAUGUGUCUGUGAUUUCUAUCUCUGCUCGCAUGGUGUCCGAGGGUGUUGUGUGGCUAGUUUUCUCUUUCAGUGCGCAAUUUCAAUGAAAUUUCGGAAAUAUCAUCAAUUUUGGUUCUUCCAAAAUAUUUCAGUAAUCUUGGUGGCGCACACAACUUCAAAUAAUUCUAAAUCAUCUUUUUGUUUUUCUCAAAAUAUUUGUUUGGGUCCCAAAAUCAAAUAUUAGUGGACAUUUAAGUCCCCUGGCUGAAAUGAAAAACAGAGUCACUGGAUUUCAAUGGAAGUCAGUUAAUUCGCCCAUGUUUUUUUUUUGAGUUGUUGAUUGUUUUUAGAUAGCUACGUGCUUAUUCCUUGAACGGUGUCUGUUUGUGGUGGUUUUUACGCUGAAAUGAAAAACGUAAUGCCCAGAAUUUUGGAUGUACAUUUGCAAGAUACAAUUGAGCAUUACGUUUAUGUAUACUUCCUCAAUUUCAGCGUAUCCCAAAAUUCAUCUGUUUGACCAACUAGAUGUGGGUUAUAUGUAACAAAAAUUAUACCAUCGAAUUCAUAUUCAAAAGAAGUUUUCAACGGUAUAAUUUUUAACUCCAAAAAUACAUAUCAUUGAUCUAAUAUGGUCAAACUUAAAUUUUGAAAUCCGUUUAAGUCCAAAAAUACAUAUCAUUGAUCUAAUAUGGUAAGUUAAAUCUUGAAAUCCAUGCACGUGUCUUAUACAUUGGAAUAGAGGAAGUAACUUUAUAAUAGAAAAUGGAAGGCAAAAUUUCAAAAAUCAUUAACGAAGAAAGAGUUGAAUCAAAGUUACUAGUUUUUAAAAUUCAUUCUAUACAUAUAAAAGAUAAAGUAAUUCCAUAUUGUAAGGUUGAGGUCGGAUCAAGCAUCAUAUUUCAAGGUUAGAUUUAGGAUAAACUUUUCUGUUUAAGAAAAUUGGGUGUUCUUGUUCAAACGUGUAAAUUGCUCCUCAAGGGCGCAAUACUAUUAUUUCAAAGGAGAAUGAUCUUAUGAAUGACGACUCCAAAAUAGGAUGAUAAAUUGGUCUAGAGAAUUUUUUGGCAUAAAAUGAGUUUACAAUAUAAUUUUCUAGAUGAGAUUGACUUAUCGUAUGGAAUAAAGUCAAUCUCAUGAAGAAUUUACUUCAGCAUAAUAGAAAGUCAAGAACUAAUAUAGUUUACUUCAUAGUUAAACACCUACUCCGGUUUGUAGAAAGGAAAAUGGUGGCAAAAUUUUAAAAAUUAUUUAAAACGGUUUUCCUCACUGUUAGUUAGUGUAGUGGAGGGGAAAAGGAUAUUACGUACAUGUUACUUCUAUGCAAGAGAGGAAAUGGAAUUUUAGAAAGAACUUCAACAAAUAAUGUCAUACAAAAUGCAUUGACAAAAUAGGCACAAUGUUUAUCGACCAUGUCUUAUAGCUUUGAACUACUGCUGCGGCAAGUGAAGCUUCAACGGCGGAUCCUCUUGUUUUAUGUCACAGUUUUAACCUUGAUUUCUCUGUUGGACGUAGUUGAUCACUCAUAUGUUUAGGCUGCGCGAAGUGAUGCAAACUAUAUUAGAUGGUGGAUAAUAGAGGGGACAUACGAUGACAAUAUAUUAAGAUUGUUAUCAAUUGGCAACAUAAUUUAGCAAGGCCACCUUAGAAAACGGUCCUAUAGAAGUAAAUGCCGCAUCACAUGAGUUAGUUGGUAUAAUAAGGCUUUGUACGAUGCAAGGUUCUUAAGGAAAAUGCUUAAAGAAAUAAAUUAGUUUUUUUAAGCAUCUAUGUUUAUUUGUAGAGGGUAGACGUUUAAGUAGCACCCAUGUUGUAGAGGUAAGCACUAGUGGUUAAGAAAACUCGGUUUAUUUUGUUAAGUAACUUCCUAUGCACAUGGCAUUGUACAAGGCCUAAGGCCUUAAUAGUUAUAUUGGAUUGAUUACCCUCCCGACUUUCAUGUAGCUUUUUUGUGGAUGAUGUAACUAUUAUUGCUACAUAAUAAAAACAAUCAUUCAAAUCAAACAAACCAUAUACAAUGCAAAAUAUUCUAAUAGCUAUGGUUUUGCAUAAUUGUAAACAAAAAUAAAAGAUGACAUGUGAUUCUAUAAAAGCAAUGGAAAUGUACAAACUUCCAUUUUUUUUGAAAAUGAGGUCAAACUCCAGCCAAAUAAUUAUUUUUAUUAAUUAUUAAUUAGAGUACAAAACAGAUACAACCAUGACCGAACCAUUACAAUACAUGAAACAAACACCUAUGACUUAGUCGACUUCUUCUGCAACAACGUCUUCACGAAGGGAUAAACGUUCUCGCGCCGUCAUUGCCACAUCCUGUUGAAGGUGGCCUGGGCAAAGAUUUUCAUCCUGGUUGCCAAAAUCGCUCGAUGAAGACAAAAACAACAUGUAGACAACGUCUUCAAUAAGGUAACAACACAAGUUCGUCGUUGCUCAGUCCGACCAAUAAAGGACAUGACAAGAGUUUUCACUCCAGACAUGAAGUGGUGUUCCAAUCAGGAUCUUGAUAAAGAUCAUUCAAUAGUUACAUCCGCCAAUACUCCGUGCCAAGCCGAAAGGACACUAACAGAUUGGUGGGACGUUAUCCUAACUUAUAUCAUCACCAUGACUGUUAGGGGGUGGUGCAUGUCUUGCCGUAGAACUGACCGCUGCCAAUCCGCACAUAGUAGAAGCACAUUGCAACAUCCACCAGGAGAAUAUCUGGUGCUCUGGGAGCACCCCAACCUUUCGAUCUCAGAUCCAGCGUCUAGGGACAGAGCUUACCCAUUUUUGCAAAAAAACCCUAAAGAGUCCGGUAAUUACGGCUAGGUCCUACGCAUCUUUAGAUGACCGUUGGUUCUAGAUUCAACGGUAGAGCUCGCACCUAAUCUCAGGUGCUCCUAGAGCAUAGGGCAUUCUCCCACAUCCACCAUACUAUCGGAGCCACUACCCUGGUGCAAGAUGCCGGCGAGGAAUUGCUGGUGCGCCCUUUGCACAUUAGCGCCAGACGUGGCCACAUGCGCCACUAACCUCCUUGUGCGAUGGCCACUGCCCUUUGUAGGAUCGAAAGUAUGUCUAGAGGGGGGUGAUUAGACUACUUGACCAAAUAAAAAUCUAGCCUUUCCCAAUUUUAAGUCUUGGCAGAUUUUACCAAUUAUCACAAGUCAAGCAAUCAACCUACACAUGCAAAUCUAAGAGUAUAGCAGCGGAAUGUAAAUCAUUGCAUAUGAAGGUAAAGGGGAGGAGUUUGGAGGGAGCAAACGCAAUGUAGACACGAAGAUUUUUGGCGUGGUUCCGAUAGGUGGUGCUAUCGUACAUCCACGUUGAUGGAGACUUCAACCCACGAAGGGUAACGGCUGCGCAAGUCCACGGAGGGCUCCACCCACGAAGGGUCCACGAAGAAGCAACCUUGUCUAUCCCACCAUGGCCAUCGCCCAUGAAGGACUUGCCUCACUAGGGUAGAUGUUCAUGAAGUAGGCGAUCUCCUUGCCCAUACAAACUCCUUGGUUCAACUCCACAAUCUUGACGGAGGCUCCCAAGUGACACCUAACCAAUCUAGGAGACACCGCUCUCCAAAAGGUAAUAGAUGGUGUGUUGAUGAUGAACUCCUUGCUCUUGUGCUUCAAAUGAUAGUCUUCCCAACACUCAACUCUCUCUCACAGAUUUGGAUUUGAUGGAAAGAUGAUUUGAGUGGAAAGCAACUUGGGGAAGGCUAGAGAUCAAGAUUCUUGUGGUUGGAUUGGAAUUUCUUGGUCUCAACACAUGAGUAGGUGGUUCUCUCUCAAAAAAUGAAUGUUGGAAGUGUAGGAACGUUCUGAUGGCUCUCUCCAUGAAUGGAGGAUGGGUGGAGGGGUAUAUAUAGCCUCCACACAAAAUCUAACCGUUACACACAAUUUACCAAACUCGGUGGGACCGAAUACUCAAACUCAGUCAGACCAAUUUACUUCAAAAUGUGAACGUUAGGAUUUUCGGUGGGACCGACACGUCAAAUCGGUGGGACCGAUUUCAUUAGGGUUAGGGCAUAACGUAAUCUCGGUGAGACGAUCACAUGAACUCGGUGAGACCGAUUUCUAUAAAAGGCAAACAGAGAGUUGGUCAGGCAAACUCGGUGGGACCGAUUCGCUCAUUUCGGUGAGACCGAAACGUUACGAAAAGGAAACAGAGAGUUUGCAUUGCGAACUCAGUGGGACCGAUUGCUCAUCUCGGUUAGACCGAAACAUUACGAAGGGAAACAUAGAGUUUGCUAUCCCAUCUCGGUGAGACCGAGAUCCCUAUCGGUGAGACCGAACUGAUUAGGGUUUCUGGCUAUGGAUAUGUCAAUGAACUCCGUGGCGCCGGAUAGACCAAAUCGGUGGGGCCGAGUUUAACUUUGGGUUUGGGACAUAUGAAGAUAUGAGAAAGUGGUUGAGGGCUUUUGGAGCAUAUCACUAAGCAUUUUGAGCAAGCAAGCCAUUAAGCAACACCUCAUCCCCUUUUAAUAGUAUUGGCUUUCCUAUGGACUCAAUGUGAUCUUGGAUCACUAAAAUGAAAAUGUAGAGUCUUGAGCUUGAGCCAAUAUGUGUCCUUAGCAUUUUGAGGGGUCCACAUCUCUAGUUCAUGCCAUUCCAAUCAUUGAACUUUCUGAAAUGAUCAUCUUGAAAAGAGUAUUAGUUCAAUGAGUUAUAUGUUGUUAAGAAUUACCAAAACCACCCAGGGAUUAGUUGCACUUUCAAUCUCCCCCUUUUUGGUAAUUGAUGACAACAUAUAGAUCAAAGCUUCGACAAAUGAUAAUAAGAAUGAAAUGUAUCAUCGCUUUGAGAAAUAUGUGAUAAGCAAGAGCUCCCCCUAAAUUUGUGCAUUAUUUAAAAUUUGCUUUUGAAUGCAAAUGCACGAUCAAUUAGGAUCAUGGGUUACUCUUCCAUGUCACAUACAUCUUGAUGGAGCGCUCAAAAUGAUAGUAAAUGAAAUAUGCACUCAUCACCAAGGCAAAGUGAAUGAUCAUACAUGAGAGAUAAAUAAUAUCAUCAUUCAAUCAAGCAUUAACCACUAGUAGAAAAAGGGCCUAUGGUCCCGGUUGGUAAGGGCCUUUUGUCCUGGUUUUUGAACCGGGACUAAAGGGUCGUUACUAAUGCCCUAACCCUUUAGUCCCGGUUCUUACACGAACCGGGACAGAUGGGCCUCCACGUGGCCGAUGCGGCGAGCCCAGGCAGGAGGGCCUUUGGUCCCGGUUGGUGGCACUAACCGGGACCAAUAGGCAUCCNNNNNNNNNNNNNNNNNNNNNNNNNNNNNNNNNNNNNNNNNNNNNNNNNNNNNNNNNNNNNNNNNNNNNNNNNNNNNNNNNNNNNNNNNNNNNNNNNNNNNNNNNNNNNNNNNNNNNNNNNNNNNNNNNNNNNNNNNNNNNNNNNNNNNNNNNNNNNNNNNNNNNNNNNNNNNNNNNNNNNNNNNNNNNNNNNNNNNNNNNNNNNNNNNNNNNNNNNNNNNNNNNNNNNNNNNNNNNNNNNNNNNNNNNNNNNNNNNNNNNNNNNNNNNNAUUUAGGUGUUUCAUAUAUUGUGUUAGCUAGCUAAUUAAUAGAGAGAAGUGUCCUCUCUUAUCUCCGUGCUUGGUCGACGCUACGUACUAUAUACGUAUGGAGAGGACUAGACACGCUAGCUAGUAAUCAAAUGAAGGAAACAGAAGAUCGUCAUGAACAUAUGCAUACAGAGAGAAGUGAUAUCGACCACCUCUCCUUCUCCGAGAGAUUGGUCGAACAACAAGUUCUCGUAUAUCUAUCCGACACUACCGGCUACAUAUAUACAAUAAUUAUCUCUUACAAUAUAAUCUCCUAAUUAAAUUGUAAGAACACAUGGUCCACAUAGUAUUCUCCGUUUUCAGCGAUCACGUGGUCAAGGAAGAAUGCCGCCAAUUCCUCUUGAAUUGCUCGCAUACGAUCUGGUGCUAGGAGUUCAUCCCGCUUUCGAAACAUCUAAUUUGAAGAAGGGAGUCAAUACAUACAUACAUACACACACACACACACACAUAUAUAUAUAUAUAUAUGAAUAAAUGAAACUCAACACAAAUGAUGGUAAUAAAAUAAAAUUGUGAAUAUUAUUGCUUACGCACUUCAUAUUGUUCGUCAGAGUAGCCCCGCUCAUAGGUCGUGUAGCGGAUGGACUCGCAAACGUAGUAUCCACAGUAAUUAUUCCCGGGUUCCUGCCACAACCACUUUACAAGAAAUAGAGGUCAAUCAAACUGAUAAGCAAGCAUGCUAAAUGGUAUUGAUGAAACUAGCGCUUGAAUCACUAGGAGAUGCGCGGAACAUGCUACUAUAGUACUUACUUUCGGGUGUUUAAAUUGCAGCUUCUUCGGCAGUCCCGGAGCUUUUUUGGUGAAUUUUCUCCAAACCCUGCCAGAUAAAGAAAACAAUUACUUGGUAUCAGGAAAUGAACAAAGUUGCUGAUAUGGUGGAUAAUGAUCAAUUUAACUUACUUCUCGAGCAUUUGAGUCAUGCCCGCAUAGUCCUCGGAAUCUUUUCGUCUCGAGUCUAAGACGGUUACUACUCCCUGCUCAAGCUUAAUCUCUAGGAGAAUAUAGUGGAAGCUGCGCACGCAUGCAUACGUCAUCAAUUACAUUACUAUAACCUGGACUAAUAAGGGAAACCAAAUAUGCACAAGACAGUAACACUCACUUGAAGUUGCAAGGAAAGCGUAUUAUAUCUUUGUUUUCAUUUAUUACCAACGAUCGUAGCAAGUUGGCCUCGGUAUUUUUGGCAUGAUAUUUAACCUCAGUUGCAUCUAUGAGAUUUGUGUUAAUGAACCCAAUAUCACCGAUUUGUCUUUUCUUCAAUUCGGCGAUCUUCAAUCUGCAUAAUAUAGUGAGGACAAUUAUAAAUACAUGCAAUGAAAGAGCUGACCUAUAUAGAGAGACUUAAUGACAGAAGCACUACUACUUACAGACAGUAGCAAGUGACCGUUGAUUUAUCGAGGGCCUUUUGAUUGAAAAACUGGAAGAACUCCUCAAAUGGAACAUUCAACAGUUCAAUUCCAACGAGGUCAUGCUCCGGUUAACUCUCAGCGUCAAUGUAUCCCUCCCCCCAGACUCUCUGCAGGUUUUCAUGUACCAAUCAUGUAAUCUUCGCAUCAUCAUUGUUAGAGAUCUUUCAUCUUUGACGAGAGGCUUCCCGUAAUGGUAUUUGUGUUCGUCCACCUCCAAGAUAUCAUAAUGUACAUCGUCGGGCAGGUAAUCUCCAAGAUUGCUAUAACCGGGCACCAUCCUCGGAUCAUUAGCGACGAUGUCGCUAGACACCUUGAGCGAGGGGCACGAUUGGUUCGCUUGUUCGCCGAGCUGGGCAAUUUUUUUCCCAGCUCGUCGUUCUUUUAACCUUUGAUCACUGACAGUACUUCCCGACCGCUCCGCUUCGGCAAAUGUCUUUGCAAUAAUGCGCUCAUAGUUGCCUUUCGGCGGAGACUUUGGUGGUUUUGUCAGGGCAGCCAGAGUGCGCUUCGCUUUCACCGGAUCUACCUUCUCCUCCGGAGGUGGAUGUUUAUUUGCUUUCACCCCUUCAAAGAAGUUCGUCACUUCGGCUCGCACGAUCUUUCUGGUUUCCUCCUCGGUCCUCUCGUAUGGUAACUUCUCUGGAGUCUCCAGAGAAGGACCAAAUCUGCAUUGCCUCCCGCCUCUGGCUGUACUACUAGACGCCGGCAGAGCAGACGAAGCGGCUGCGGCUGUCUUCUUUUCUUGCUUACGAGACGGAGGAGAAGGACUACGACGCGCCGGAGCGGCGGCGGGUCUCUUCCGCCCUUGCUGACGAGGCGGAGAAGGAGGAGGCUGGCUGCUCUGGCGCGCCGGCGCAGGCGGAGAAGGAGGCUGAGUGCCCUGAUCACUCGCCGGAGGAGGAGGCGGAGGAGGAGGCGGAGUGCCGCCACACGCCGGAGAAGGAGGCUGAGUGCCCUGAUCACUCGCCGGAGGAGGAGGCGGAGGAGGAGGUGGAGUGCCCUUACUCGCCGGAGGCGUCCAGUUCGGAAGGUUGAUGAGCUCCUUCCGCCAUAGGCAUGGAGUCUUCAGAGCAGAACCCAGCCGAGUCUCCCCUUCACCGGUAGGGUGGUCAAGCCGGAGGUCCUCAAAUCCCUCCAUUAUUUCAUCCACCAUCACCCUAGCAUAUCCUUCUGGAAUUGGCCGGCAGUGGUAGGUUGUGCCCCCUAAACCCUAAACAGAGCCAACAACCGCCUUGACUUUGAAGUUCUGCCAUUGCGUCAUAAGGUGGCAAUGUUGAGACUCUGUGAUAGCAUCCACGGGGUAGCUAGCAGGAGCUGUCAAGACAUGCUCCGGCUGAAGCAGCUCGGUGGAAGCCACGCUGCUUCUCCGCUGAGAUGGCGGGGUAGCUUCGGGGGUAGUUUCGGCAUGUCGAUUGGCGUCUCGUUCCUCCAGCGCUUGAACCCUUUCGUGCAGCUUCUGAAUUUGGGUCUGCUCCACUUUUUUCCUCCUCUCCUGGCUUUUGUAACCGCCUGCGUCCGGAAAACCAGCCUUCCACGGAACGGAGCCUGGCGUGCCUCGUGUCCGUCUAGGGUGCUCAAGAUUCCCGAGGGCCAUUGUGAGCUCGUCGUUCUCUCUGUCUGGAACGAACGUCCCUUGCUGCGCUGCAUCGAUAUAGUGCUGAAGCCUCUUGACUGGUAUUCUCAAAAGCUCGUCCGUCCAAAUGCACCUCCCUCAUACAGGGUCCAAUUUUCCGCCAGCCCCGGAGAACCAAGUCCGGCAACGGUCUGGCCAGUUCAAUGUCUCUGGUUCGAUCCCUUUAUCAAGCAGAUCAUUCUCAGCCUUGGCCCUCUUAGGCCGGGCUUUGAGGUAGCCACCUGACCCCGUGCGAUGGUGAAGCUUCUUCUUUGCAGCAUUCUUCUUGUUUGUCGCUGACAUCUUCUUACUCUUUUCCGAUGUCUUGUGGGCCACAAAUGCGGGCCAGUGAUCUCUGAUCUUCUCAUACCGGCCGAUGAAUUCUGGUGUCUCUUCUUUGUCGACAAACGUUUUUAGCUCAUUCUUCCACCUCCUGAAUAGGUCUGCCAUCUUCUUAAGAGCAUGAGACUUGAUUAAUUGCUCUUUAACUGGCUUCUCCGGAUCCUCCUCUGGCGGUAGGGUGAAAUUUGCCUUCAGCUCAGUCCAAAGAUCAUCUUUCUGCAUAUCAUUGACAUAAGACACCUCAGGGUCUUCCUUCUUAGGCUUAUACCAUUGGUGGAUGCUGAUUGGGAUCUUGUCCCUAACAAGAACCCCGCACUGAGCAGCAAAUGCUUCGUUUGUCCGGAUGGGUUCAAUCGGUGCUCCCGUGGUAUAAGUUAUCACGGUCCAAGUUAUCUGGGAGGGGGUUAUAUCAACAACGACGACAUACAUACAUGGGAAAAUAAUGUUAUCGGGGAGGGGGUAGGUCGAACCUCCCCCUCGUGUUGAAGUUAUCGGGACACGGGGUAUAUCGACAACGACAUAUCUGAUAAAAAAUAAGAAGACGAAGAAGAAAUAAAAAGAGGAGAAGAAGAUAUUAAUAGAGGAGAAGAUUGAAGAAAAAAAAAGAAGAAAUAAAAAGAGGAGAAGAAGAAAGGAAUAGAGAAGAAGAUCGAAGAAAAAAAGAAGAAAAAAAAGAGGAGAAGAAGAAAAAAUAUCUAUUUUUUCUUCUUCUCCUCUAUUCCUUUCUUCUUCUCCUCUUCUUUUUCUUCUUUUUUCCUCUUCUUUUUUAUUUCUCCUCUUCUUCCUCUCCUCUUCUUCUCCUUUCUUCCUCUUCUUAUUUUCGUUUUUCCUCUCCUUCUUUUUCUUCUUCUUCCUUUCCUAGCUAGAUAUAUAAAACUUUUCUAAAAAUUUAACUUUUGCAUAUAUAAAACUUUUCCAUGGAUCAUCAUUUCUCAUAUAUAUCCAUCUANNNNNNNNNNNNNNNNNNNNNNNNNNNNNNNNNNNNNNNNNNNNNNNNNNNNNNNNNNNNNNNNNNNNNNNNNNNNNNNNNNNNNNNNNNNNNNNNNNNNNNNNNNNNNNNNNNNNNNNNNNNNNNNNNNNNNNNNNNNNNNNNNNNNNNNNNNNNNNNNNNNNNNNNNNNNNNNNNNNNNNNNNNNNNNNNNNNNNNNNNNNNNNNNNNNNNNNNNNNNNNNNNNNNNNNNNNNNNNNNNNNNNNNNNNNNNNNNNNNNNNNNNNNNNNNNNNNNNNNNNNNNNNNNNNNNNNNNNNNNNNNNNNNNNNNNNNNNNNNNNNNNNNNNNNNNNNNNNNNNNNNNNNNNNNNNNNNNNNNNNNNNNNNNNNNNNNNNNNNNNNNNNNNNNNNNNNNNNNNNNNNNNNNNNNNNNNNNNNNNNNNNNNNNNNNNNNNNNNNNNNNNNNNNNNNNNNNNNNNNNNNNNNNNNNNNNNNNNNNNNNNNNNNNNNNNNNNNNNNNNNNNNNNNNNNNNNNNNNNNNNNNNNNNNNNNNNNNNNNNNNNNNNNNNNNNNNNNNNNNNNNNNNNNNNNNNNNNNNNNNNNNNNNNNNNNNNNNNNNNNNNNNNNNNNNNNNNNNNNNNNNNNNNNNNNNNNNNNNNNNNNNNNNNNNNNNNNNNNNNNNNNNNNNNNNNNNNNNNNNNNNNNNNNNNNNNNNNNNNNNNNNNNNNNNNNNNNNNNNNNNNNNNNNNNNNNNNNNNNNNNNNNNNNNNNNNNNNNNNNNNNNNNNNNNNNNNNNNNNNNNNNNNNNNNNCUAAAGGGGGGCAUUUGUUCCAGUUGGUGCCACGAACCGGGACCAAAGGUGUGCAUUGGUCCCGGUUCGUGGCACCAACCGGGACCAAUGUCCUGCGCCUGCCAAAGCCGCGGUGCGGUGGGAUGUUUAGUCCCACCUCGCUAGCCGAGGAGCGGCAGGACCUGUUUAUAAGCCCUGCCUCGCCAUCUCCAUUGAACUCCUCUGAACUGCAGGCCUUUGGGCCUAAUCUUGCACUGCUAUGCCUGUGGGCCUGCUGGGCCUUCUGCGGGCCUGAAUCCUGGCCCAUGGAGGGUUUCUAGUCAUAUUCAGGCCGUGGUGGCCCAGUAGGUGGCAUUUUUUUAUUUUUCCCAGUUUUUUGUUUUCUUUUUUGCUUUAUUUAUUUUAUUUUGUUUCUACUUACAACAAAAUACUUAUUUAUUUUAUUUUAUUUUGUUUCUAAUUACUUAUUUAUUUUACUUUAUGAUAAUUCUUUUUGCUAUUAAAGUUUCUAUCAAAAAAAGUUCUUUAUGAAAAUUCCUUUUGCUUUUAAUGAUUUUGAACAGAAAAUACUUCGGAAAUUUUAGUUGCAUCAAUUUUAUAUGAUUUUAGUUUCAAUAAUACUAGAGGUUUCUUAUAAUGUUUUGAACAGAAAAUACUUUGUUAAUUUUAGUUUCAUAAAUUUUAUUAAAGAUUAUUUAUUUUGUUUCUACUUAUAUAUUUUAAUAAAGUUUAUAUUCUUUUGUUUCUAAUUACUUAUUUAUUUUAUUUGUUAUUUUUCAUGCACCAUUUUUCAUGCAUUUACUAAUUAUUUUGAGCUAUAAGACCCUAAAAUUGAAAAACAUUUCAAAUGAACUCUGAAAAGGUUGAAAGUUGGAAUGGUAUCAUCAUUUCAUCCACAUAGCAUGUGCAAGAAAGUUGAGAGGGUUACGGCAAAAACUAGAUGCACUUCAUGUACAAAACGGACAAUGGUAUCAUACUCGUCUGUUACAAAGUUGGCAUGGUAUCAUCAUAAUAGUUGCGGGAGAAAGUCUUCACUUUUUCUUCGCUUGUGUCAUUUGCUUAUUGCGCCGUAACCAUGGAUAAUCUUCAUCGUUUAUCAGGAUGCUUGGGCCAGCCUAGACUUUGAAGGGAGGAAUUUAAUGAAACUUUUCAUAAUCUUCAGACAUGUCUGUCUUGCCCUCCACUCUCACAAUGUCCCUUUUUCCUGAAAGAACUAUGUGGCGCUUUGGCUCAUCGUAUGAUGUAUUCGCUUCCUUAUCUUUUCUUUUUCUCGGUCUGGUAGACAUGUCCUUCACAUAGAUAACCUGUGCCACAUCAUUGGCUAGGACGAAUGGUUCAUCAGUGUACCCAAGAUUGUUCAGAUCCGCUGUUGUCAUUCCGUACUGUGGGUCUACCUGUACCCCGCCUCCUGACAGAUUGACCCAUUUGCACUUAAACAAAGGGACCUUAAAAUCAUGUCCGUAGUCAAGUUCCCAUAUGUCCAUUAUGUAACCAUAAUAUGUGUCCUUUCCCCUCUCGGUUGCUGCAUCAAAGCGGACACCGCUGUUCUGGUUGGUGCUCUUUUGAUCUUGGGCGAUCGUGUAAAAUGUAUUCCCAUUUAUCUCGUAUCCUUUGUAAGUCAAUACAGUCGAAGAUGGUCCCCUGGACAACGAGUACAACUCAUCACAAACAGUGGUGUCACCUCUGAGACGUGUUUCCAACCAACUGCUGAAAGUCCUGAUGUGUUCACAUGUAAUCCAGUCGUCAAACUGCUCCGGGUGUUUGGAGCGCAGACUGUUCUUGUGUUCAUCGACAUACGGGGUCACCAAGGUAGAGUUCUGUAGAACUGUGUAGUGUGCUUGAGACCAAGAAUGCCCGUCCCUGCAUAUUAUUGAGUCCGCUCCUAGCGUGCCUUUUCCAGUCAGUCUCCCCUCAUACCGCGAUUUAGGGAGACCUAUCUUCUUAAGGCCAGGAAUGAAGUCAACACAAAACCCAAUGACAUCCUCUGUUUGAUGGCCCAUGGAGAUGCUUCCUUCUGGCCUAGUGCGGUUACGGACAUAUUUCUUUAGGACUCCCAUGAACCUCUCAAAGGGGAACAUAUUGUGUAGAAAUACGGGCCCCAGAAUGACAAUCUCGUCGACUAGAUGAACUAGGACGUGCGUCAUGAUAUUGAAGAAGGAUGGUGGGAACACCAGCUCGAAACUGACAAGACAUUGCGCCACAUCACUCCUUAGCCUUGGUAUGAUUUCUGGAUCGAUCACCUUCUGAGAGAUUGCAUUGAGGAAUGCACAUAGCUUCACAAUGGCUAAUCAGACGUUUUCCGGUAGAAGCCCCCUCAAUGCAACCGGAAGCAGUUGCAUCAUAAUCACGUGGCAGUCAUGAGACUUUAGGUUCUGGAACUUUUUCUCUGGCAUAUUUAUUAUUCCCUUUAUAUUCGACGAGAAGCCAGUCGGGACCUUCAUACUGAGCAGGCAUUCAAAUAAGAUUUCUUUCUCUUCUUUCGUAAGAGCGUAGCUGGCAGGACCUUCAUACUGCUUCAGAGGCAUGCCGUCUUUUUCGUGCAAACGUUGCAGGUCCUCUCGUGCCUCAGGUGUAUCUUUUGUCUUCCCAUACACGCCCAAGAAGCCUAGCAGGUUCACACAAAGGUUCUUCGUCACGUGCAUCACGUCGAUUGAAGAGCGGACCUCUAGGUCUUUCCAGUAGGGUAGGUCCCAAAAUAUAGAUUUCUUCUUCCACACGGGUGCGUGUCCCUCAGCGUCAUUCGGAACAGCUAGUCCGCCGGGACCCUUUCCAAAGAUUACGUGUAAAUCAUUGACCAUAGCAAGUACGUGAUCACCGGUACGCAUGGCGGGCUUCUUCCGGUGAUCUGCCUCGCCUUUGAAAUGCUUGCCUUUCUUUCGACAUUGAUGAUUGGUCGGAAGAAAUCGACGAUGGCCCAAGUACACAUUCUUCCUGCAUUUGUCCAGGUAUAUACUUUCAGUGUCAUCUAAACAGUGCGUGCAUGCGUGGUAUCCCUUGUUUGUCUGUCCUGAAAGGUUACUGAGAGCGGGCCAAUCGUUGAUGGUUACAAACAGCAACGCGUGCAGGUUAAAUUCCUCCUGUUUGUGCUCAUCCCACGUACGUACACCGUUUCCAUUCCACAGCUGUAAAAGUUCUUCAACUAAUGGCCUUAGGUACACAUCAAUGUCGUUGCCGAGUUGCUUAGGGCCUUGGAUGAGAACUGGCAUCAUAAUGAACUUCCGCUUCAUGCACAUCCAAGGAGGAAGGUUAUACAUACAUAGAGUCACGCGCCAGGUGCUGUGAUUGCUGCUCUGCUCCCCGAAAGGAUUAAUGCCAUCCGCGCUUAAACCAAACCAUACGUUCCUUGGGUCAGCUGCAAACUCAGCCCAGUACUUUCUCUUGAUUUUUCUCCACUGCGACCCGUCAGCGGGUGCUCUCAACUUCCCGUCUUUGUUACGGUCCUCACUGUGCCAUCGCAUCAACUUGGCAUGCUCUACGUUUCUGAACAGACGUUUCAACCGUGGUAUUAUAGGAGCAUACCACAUCACCUUCGCAGGUACCCUCUUCCUGGGGGGGGCUCGCCGUCAACAUCACCAGGGUCAUCUCGUCUGAUCUUAUACCGAAUGCAUCGCAUACCGGGCAUGUGUUUAGAUCCUUGUACGCACCGCGGUAGAGGAUGCAGUCAUUAGGGCAUGCAUGUAUCUUCUGCACCUCCAAUCCUAGAGGGCAUACGACCUUCUUUGCUGCGUAUGUACUAUUGGGAAAUUCGUUAUCCUUUGUAAGCUUCUUCUUCAAUAUUUGCAAUAGCUUCUCAAAUCCUUUGUCAGGCACAACAUUCUCUGCCUUCCACUGCAGCAAUUCCAGGACGGUACCGAGCUUUGUGUUGCCAUCUUCGCAAUUGGGGUACAACCCUUUUUUGUGAUCCUCUAACAUGAGAUCGAACUUCAGCUUCUCCUUUUGACUUUCGCAUUGCGUCCUUGCAUCGACAAUGACCUGGCGGAGAUCAUCAUCAUCGGGCACUGGUUCCUCUUGAUCUUCAGCAGCUUCCCCCGUUGCAGCAUCAUUGGGCACAUCGUCUGGUUCCUCUUGAUCUUCAGCAGCUUCCCCCGUUGCAGCAUCACCGUAUUCAGGGGGCACAUAGUUGUCAUCGUCCUCUUCUUCUUUGCUGUCUUCCAUCAUAACCCCUAUUUCUCCGUGCCUCGUCCAAACAUUAUAGUGUGGCAUGAAACCCUUGUAAAGCAGGUGGGUGUGAAGGAUUUUCCGAUCAGAGUAAGACUUCGUAUUCCCACAUGUAGGGCAUGGACAACACAUAAAACCAUUCUGCUUGUUUGCCUCAGCCACUUCGAGAAAAUCAUGCACGCCCUUAAUGUACUCGGAGGUGUGUCUGUCACCGUACAUCCAUUGCCGGUUCAUCUGCGUGCAUUAUAUAUAAUUAAGUGUGUCAAAAACCAUUACAGAACAUCAUGAAUAGAUAAUUAAGUGACCAAAUUAAUAUAAGUUCAUCAUCACAUUAAAACCAAAGUACAUACAUAGUUCUCAUCUAACAACAUAUAGCUCUCCAGAGCAUCUAAUUAAUUAAACCAUACAUCGAAACUAUGUAAAACAUUUCAAUGCGAAAACAAAUGCGAUCAUAAUCGCAACCAAGGUAACAAUUGAUCCAACGACAUAAUGAUACCAAGCCUCGGUAUGAAUGGCAUAUUUUCUAAUCUUUCUAAUCUUCAAGCGCAUUGCAUCCAUCUUGAUCUUGUGAUCAUCGACGACAUCCGCAACAUGCAACUCCAAUAUCAUCUUCUCCUCCUCAAUUUGUUUUAUUUUUCCUUUAAGAAAUUGUUUUCUUCUUCAUCUAAACUUAACCUCUCGACAAUAGGGUCGGUUGGAAUUUCCGGUUCACAUACCUCCUAGAUAAAUAAAAUCUAUGUCACGUUGGUCGGCAUAAUUUUCAUAAACAAUAAAUGAACCAAUAGUUAUAAAGAUAAUAUAUACCACAUCCGAAUCAUAGACAGGACGAGGGCCGACGGGGCGGAUACCAAAACCAUCGCACUAUAUAAUAAGAAGGAAUAAUAAAAGUAACAAAAUUAGACAGUAUCUAUCUGAAGUAAGAAUUUUUUUCUUUCAAAAAGAAGAUAAGAACAAGAGGCUCACCACGGUGGUGCUGGCGACGAGAUCGGCGCUGGCGAUCGACGGCGGUGAAGACGGGGACGGGACGUGACGGACCGCUAAACCUAGACAAAUCUCGGGGAAAAUGGAGCUCGGAGGUCAAGUUUCGAGAGGAGAAAGAUUAACUAGUGUGGCUCAGACAUUUCAUCGAACACCUCAUGUGCAUAUGAGGUGAGCUAGAGCACCCAAAUGCCCUCCCCUCGACGCCAGAAAAAAUAGAGCACUGUGGAGUGCUCUGCUGCGGCGAUGGGGUAUAUAUAGGCAGCUCAUUUGUCCCGGUUCGUGGCUAGAACCGGUACUAAAUCCGGGCCUUCUGUCCCGGUUCAUGCCAAGAACCGGGACCAAUGGUUGUGGGCCAGGAGCGAGGCCCAUUAGUCCCGGUUCGUGCCUCGAACCGGGACAAAUGGUUCCAUACGAACCGGGACCAAUGCCCACGAGGCCCCGGCCGGCCCCCUGGGCUCACGAACCGGGACGAAUGCCCCCAUGGGUCCCGGUUCGUGACUGAACCGGGACUAAUGGGCUUGCCAUGCCCGAACGAAAGCCCUGUUUUCUACUAGUGAACGUAUGAUAUGAUCAAACACAUGACCGUACAAGUAUCUCACACACACAUAAAGUAUCAUCCAGGCAAGCAAACAAAUAAGUAUCAAACAAGUAGCAAGAGAGGUAGCAAAAAGAAGAAAAUCUCUCCCUCGAAGCCUAUGAUCUAUACACUUUCUCCCCCUUUGGCAACAAGUUACCAAAAAGUUCGAAAAUGCAUAGUGCUAUGCGGCUCUCUAGGCUUGAUCUUCGGGAGGUGGCGUUGAGAGGACUCCGAGGACAAAUGCAUCUGUUUAAGUUGUUGGAGCUGGUGGAGUUGUAACCGGAGGGGCAACUGAAGUUGUGGCUGCAGGUGCUGACGUAGUAGCUCUUGUGUCUGUCACAAGCACUGCUGCAGAUCUAUGUGCCCUAGGCAAAAGCAUCUGUAGUAACUUUCCCUUUCCUCUCUCUAGCUUCUUCCUGGAGCUGCUCAACAGCUGUUUGCAUAUCUUUCACCUUCAAGUCAAGAUCAUAGAACUUUGUCUCAAUGAUCCUCUCCAGGCUCUCUUGAUUCCAAGUCAGGAUGGCCAGUCCUUUCUCAAUCCUCAAAGUGGCUUGAAUAAGAUAUCCAAGUUGAUCUUGAUUUGACUCGAGGAAGAUUUGUGAAGCCUCUUCAACACUUGGCAUCUUGGCUGCCUUCUCAGCUUUUGCUUUCUCCCUCUUCUCUUGAGCCUCUACUGAUGUGGGAUCUUCAUCAUCCAUGACAGCUGUGUUGUCCUCAAAGUCAGGCCUCAAGGGAAGGUGUUCUUUAUCUAACAAGUAUGUGCCUGUGCUCAUCUUGGAGUUGAUGAGCAUCUGGAUGUGUGGAGCAUUCCCACAUGAUCUCUUUUGGUCAGCAGCUGUUCUCUUGAUGGUCUCAACAAUCAAACUCAUUACUUUAAACUUCUGGGGAACAUCAAACAACUGAAGCAAAUUGAUGGAGUGGCCUCUGAUCAUCCUAUGAUCCCCUGAUUUGGGCAACAAGGUGUGCCUCAAGAUGGUGUUAAUAGCGGCCAGUCCAGACAACAGAUAAUAUACAAAGCCUAGCUUGUGAUUCUCCAAGGCUUUGUCAGGAAUCUCCUUGUACAUGUUGGCCAUGGAGUUGUGAUCUUUCUUUCUCUUGGCAUAGACAUCUAUGUCAUCCUUAAGCUCUUCAGGAGCAUUGACCAGCUUGGCCCAUUCAGCAACUGUUGAUUGGUACCUUGUACCUUUAGACAUCCAUACAAUCCUUCCAUCUGGAUAGAAAUGAGUUAUAUAAUAGAAUUGCAUAAUGAGCUCAUCAUUCCACUUGGUCAGUUUCCGACCCACAAAUUUGUCUACUCCAUUGAGUCCGAAGCUUUCAUGCACUCCUGGGAAGUGGUCUUCAUUGUUGUCGAUGUAUUUCCAGUCUACCCACUUCAUAUCACACACUAUGGGCUUCUUAUCCAACAGAAUUGUCUCAUAGAAGUCCUGCUGCUCCUUGGUGUGAAAUCUAUAGUCCACAACAGUCCUUCUCCUCACAGCAUAAGGGUCUGACUGUUGUCACGCCCAAUAUGCGACCCUAUCCGAGAGGAACUCGAAGGUCCCACCAGGGAUAGACCCGCAUAUUGAAACGCUUCUGCAAGGUGGAUAUCAUUACAUCAACAUUACAUAAUAGAUGGGGAUACAUACAAGAGGCUUACAAAUGCCGCAAGAAUACAUCAAUACAUCAUACAUAAGAUCAACAUCCGACUACGGAUGAAACACAAACAGAAACUCAAACGACAUCCACCCUGCUAGCCCAGGCUGCCGACCUGGAACCUAUCCCCUGAUCGAAGAAGAACUCCAAAACAAGUAACAUCGCUCUCGCGUCAUGAUCAUCGCAAAAACCUGUACCUGCAACUGUUGUUGUAGUAAUCUGUGAGCCACGAGGACUCAGCAAUCCCAUUACCAUGGGUAUCAAGACUAGCAAAGCUUAAUGGGUAAGGAAGGGGCAAAGUGGUGAGGUUGCAGCAGCGACUACGCAUGAUAUGGUGGCUAACAUACGCAAAUAAGAGCGAGAAGAGAAGCAACAGAACGGUCGAGAAGCUAGAAAUGAUCAAGAAGUGAUCCUGAACUCCUACUUACGUCAAACAUAACGCAAAAACCGUGUUCACUUCCCGGACUCCGCCGAAAAGAGAUCAUCACGGCUACACACGCGGUUGAUGCGUUUUAAUUAAGUCAAGUGUCAAGUUCUCUACAACCGGACAUUAACAAAUUCCCAUCUGCCACAUAACCGCGGGCACGGCUCUCGAAAGUUUAUACCCUGCAGGGAUGUCCCAACUUAGCCCAUUAUAAGCUCUCACGGUCAACGAAGGAUAUUCCUUCUCCCGGGAAGACCCGAUCAGUAUCGGAAUCCCGGUUUACAAGACAUUUCGACAAUGGUAAAACAAGACCAGCAAGACCGCCCGGAUGUGCCGACAAAUCCCGAUAGGAGCUGCACAUAUCUCGUUCUCAGGGCACACCAGAUGAGCCAGACGUCGGGUUGGCAUAAACCCUGGUUGCCCAGGGGGCGCCGGACAUCGCUCGGUUUGGACCAGCACUCGGAGGAGCACUGGCCCGGGGGUUUAAAAUAAAGAUGACCCUUGAGUCCGUGGAACCCAAGGGAAAAAAGGCUUAGGUAGGCAAAUGGUAAAACCAAGGUUGGGCCUUGCUGGAGGAGUUUUAUUCAAAGCGAACUGUCAAGGGGUCCCCAUAACACCCAACCGCGUUAGGAACACAAAAUCAAGGAACAUAACACCGGUAUGACGGGAACUAGGGCGGCAAGAGUGGAACAAAACACCAGGCAUAAGGCCGAGCCUUCCACCCUUUUACCAAGUAUAUAGACGCAUUAAUUAAAUAAUAGAUAUUGUGAUAUCCCAACAAAGUUCAUGAUAUCCAUGUUCCAACAUGGAACAAACUUCUUCAUCUUCACCAGCAACUAGCAACGCUAUAAGAGGGGUUGAGCAAAAGCGGUAACAUAGCCAAACAACGGUUUGCUAGGAAGGGUGAAAAAGGUUAGAGGCUGACAUGGCAAUCUGGGAGGCUUAAAGAGCAAGUGAUAGGUAGCACAGCAUAGCGAUAGAACGAAGCAGCUAGCAUAGCAAUGAUAGUAGUGAGAUCCAGGGUAGCGGUCAUCUUGCCUGAAAUCCCGCUAGGAAGAAGAACGAGUCCAUGCAGAAGAUGAAGCCGCAAAGACGAACCAAGCGUAGACGAACGAAUCCUCACGAUCGCAACGAAACAGGAACUAACGAGAAGGAGCACAACCGGAAAGAAGCAAACAACAAGGUAAACACACAGCACAUAAACAAGACAUGAUGCACAACCAAGCCGGAUGCAUGACAAAGCUACAUGAAGCUACUCAUGGCAAGAGAUGAUGCAUACAAGAGCAACACAUCAAAGCAAGUUUAAAUGAGGCCGGAAACAACAUAUGACAAUUCCGGUAAGUCCUCAUAAGCAAAUUUCGAAAUUGGUCCAGAUCUGAAUAAACCUUAUGUUCAAAUUGUUAAACAGCAAGUUAAGAUGCACAAAGAUGAUCUACACGACAUUCUAGUCAAGUUACAUAUAAAGUUUAUUUAGUUCAGAGCUACGGCCUAGAAGAUAUGAGCAAAACAAGAUAAACAUGACAUUGAUGCAAAAUGCAUUCAAACAUCAAGAAAACACCUCAAAUAAAGGAUGCAACAUGAUAAGACGAAACUACAUGCAAUUCUAAGCAAGUUUCAUAUAGGGCAUGCUCAAAACGGUGCAACACUUACACUCCAAACAAGAUAUAACAACAAUCUGUCCAAAACAGUAACUAGGCAUCUUGCAAGCAUCAUGAAUAUAUACUACAACACCCCAAUAUAAAAACAAAAGGCAUGGACAUGAAGUAAAGGUAAAGCAUUACAAAACAUGAACACUAAGCUAUCUCCAAAAAUCACUAGAACAUGCUCAAAAGGACAUGUCAAAAUUGCAAAUAAUAACAGUUCACAGACUUGGCAGAAAAACUCUGGGCAUGACAGAAAUAACAUCAGGUUACAAUGUUUAGAGCUAUCAAAUAACAAGUUACAGCAAGCUAUCAUGGAAAACUUAAGCAUGGCAUGCUAUUGCUAAAGACAAAGAACAAAAAUCCUUUACUGACUAAUUCCAAAGAUCAACAAAAAACAUGGUAGCAUCCAUGUAAACAUGGCAAGUAAUAUGACGGAUUCAGACUGAAAAUAACAGUUCAUGGCAGAAACAACGAUAAGUAGGCAUGUUGGUGAGCUUGAACCACUCGCCACAGAGCAAUACAUGGCAUGACAAGGUGACCAACAGUAAGAAGGAACAUUUAUGAAGCUAAAAAUAGCAAUAGCAUAGUCAUAGGGUGCAUGGAUCACUAGAAAAAACACAUGGCCAAACUGAACUUAAUGAUAACAGGCUGACAGCAACAUUAUUUAGGAACUUUAGAGCAAGUUUAGAACAAGCUACAGCAGGCUAUAAAUGCAACCAAGGGAAUGUAUAGAUAGAGAACAACAUGUAUAACAAAACAUUCUUAGUGAACAUCUCCAGAUUAUGCAUAGGACUCAUGGUAGCAGCAGGUUUACAUAGCAUCACAAUGUUACAGCUACAGACUUAGCAGAAAUGACUAAGUCACAGAAAUCAGCAACAUCAUGGAGGCUACUUUGCAUGCUUGUGCUAGUAACCACAUAUAUCAAAAAAAUUCAAGACAAGCACCCCUGUAAGGAUGGCAUGAUGUAGUUCAAAACACAUGUAGAGCUCAUGCUCAUAGGAUGCACACACAAAAUGCAACGAAAAUAACAAAUCAGCAAGUUCUGUAAACAAACAGCAGUUAACAUCAUAUAGCACUCUUGCAACGAUGAUUAGGGCAUCAAGAUGAACUCAAACAAGCAUGUCACAAUCUAAGAAAAUGAAGAGCAUCUCAUGAUGAAGAUUUCGACAUAUUAUACAACAUUAUAGGACAAAUAUGCACAAAGUUACACCCUCCACAAGAUGCAUGAAUGAUGUGAAAUCUCAGGGACUUGGUGAAAUAUACCCUCCGAAAACAGAUUUAGGGUUUGACCCAGCGCAGACUUCGAGGCGAGGCUGAUCUGGCCGGGGACGCGGGGAACGACGACCGGAGUUGGGGGAGAGGUCGCCGGCGAGGGCGGGGUCGCCGGAUCUAGGGCCGGCGAGGUCCGAGGCGACGCGGUAGGGAGCUCGUGCUCCUGUCUAUGGAGAGAGGAGGGUGAUUAGGGUUAGGGAGAGAGAGAAGAGCAGGGGAGAAGGGAUGGCGGCGGAGCUGGCCUAGGGGAAGCGGCGGCGGCGCAUGGCGGCGGGGCGCCGGCGAGGGGUGACUUCGGCGAUCGAGGCGGCGGGGCGAGGUCGCGGCGCACGGCGGCGGGGAUGGAGGCACNNNNNNNNNNNNNNNNNNNNNNNNNNNNNNNNNNNNNNNNNNNNNNNNNNNNNNNNNNNNNNNNNNNNNNNNNNNNNNNNNNNNNNNNNNNNNNNNNNNNNNNNNNNNNNNNNNNNNNNNNNNNNNNNNNNNNNNNNNNNNNNNNNNNNNNNNNNNNNNNNNNNNNNNNNNNNNNNNNNNNNNNNNNNNNNNNNNNNNNNNNNNNNNNNNNNNNNNNNNNNNNNNNNNNNNNNNNNNNNNNNNNNNNNNNNNNNNNNNNNNNNNNNNNNNNNNNNNNNNNNNNNNNNNNNNNNNNNNNNNNNNNNNNNNNNNNNNNNNNNNNNNNNNNNNNNNNNNNNNNNNNNNNNNNNNNNNNNNNNNNNNNNNNNNNNNNNNNNNNNNNNNNNNNNNNNNNNNNNNNNNNNNNNNNNNNNNNNNNNNNNNNNNNNNNNNNNNNNNNNNNNNNGAUGCGCGGGCCGGCGGGGCCUAGAUGCGGCCCGGAGCGGGCCAGCUGCGGGCUCCCACGGGCCGCGGCAGAGGAGGGCGCGGGGAGGACGGCGGCGUGACACUUGGUGGCGCGGGGUAGGCUGUGGGCGGCGGCGCGGCUGAGGUGGCGAGCCACGAUUGGCCGAAGCGACGUGGAGGCGGCGGUGGACGCGUCCGGCGACCGGGUGGACACGUCCGACUGCGGGAGGAGGAAGAUUGCUAGGGUUUGGACUGCGAAAUUCGGGGAAGGGGACUUAUUUAUAGGUAGAGGGAGCUAGGAGAGUCCAAAUGAGGUACGGUUUUCGCCCACACGAUCGUGAUCGAACGGCGAAGAGCAUGGCGGGGAGUUUGCUUGGUUAGUGGGCUGAUUUGGAGGGGUGUUGGGCUGCAAGACAAAAGGGGCUUUCGGGGUACGCGGUUAACCGUUGGGGCAUCAAACGACGUCCAAAUGGAACGAAAUUUGAUGGGCGGUCUACCGGUGAUAUACCAAGGCCACUCGGCAAAUCUUGGCCCAUUCCGAGAACAUUUUGCUGUGGCUCACAAAACAAGGUCUGAGAGGGGCGCCGGGGCGCGUGUGGGAGUGUCGAAACGCGAAACGGACAACGGGGCAAAAGACCGAAUGCAAGUUCUGAAAAAUAUGCAGAUGAAAAGCAGAUGAUGACAUGGCAAGGUGCAACACACAAGCAAAUGACAUGGCAACGACGACGAAUAACUGGAAGACACCUGGCGCAUCGGAUUCGGGGCGUUACAACUGUCUCCACAAUCUGAGACCUGCAUCCUUUCUGACUUUCAUAUUUUCUGCCACUGGAUGAUUGUUAUCAUGGUCAGGGAUCUUUGGCUUUAACUUUCUGAGCACUUGGGCUUCAUCAUCUUCUUCUUCUUCAAUUUCAGGCACUAGGGCCUUGUUCUUCUCAGCAGCUGGUAUGUUUCUUGUGCUCCUCUUUGGUGCAGUCUUGGGGGCUGGAGCAGAAGCUUUGGGGGGCAGUCUUGGGCUUUGAUGGAGCAGCCCCAGACUUGAUGGCAUCCUCCAUCAGCUUCUGAGAUUUAGGUGCUGGUGCAGCAUCCUCUUCUUCAUCUUCUUCCUCAUCUUCAGCUGGGUCUUUCAUCAUAGAGGAUCUGCCAAUUACUCUGGCCAUGGUCUUCUUGACCCUUUCCUUUCUCUUCUUGCCCUCACCAGCCUCCUUUGGUUCAAGAGUGAACUCAAUGGUUUCCUGUGUUGAGGCCCUAGCUUUGGACAUGGGCACUAUCUUUGCAGGAGCCUUCUUGUUCAAACCAGGUUUUGUUGAAGCAGUUGUGCCAAAUUCUUUCUUAACAACUUUCUUCUUGGAGCUGACCUCCUCCUCAGCAGCAACAUAGUCUUCAUCCUCUGAAUCAGAAUUUCUCUUUCUCCUCUGCCUAGUAGCAGCCUUAGGCAGGCUGCUAGGAGUACUUUUGCUGCCUUCAUCAUAACUGCCAGAGGGACUAGUGCCCUCACUCAGAUUUACCUGCUCCUCAGACCUGUUCUGGCUAUCACUCUGAUCUGACAUUGUUGACACUGCAAACUGAAAGCUGACCCUGUGAAUAGUUAUAGAUGAGAUAGAGUGGAUGAGCAUCACAAAGUGUAGAGAUUUUGCAAAACAAAUGAGUCAAAAACUUACUUUUAGUUUUCCAUAGAAAGCAUUUCGGAGCUACCGAUUUGUUAAACUCGGUGACACCAAACCAACUUUGGAGUCUAAACUAGUGAAAUUGGUCAGACCGAGACACAGUUCGGUGACUCCGAGAUUGCUAGGGUUUCACUGAGAGUUGAACUCGGUCACACCAAUUUGCAAGUUUUGGUCAGACCGAAAGUUACAGGUGCAAUGGCCUAUGCCAAAUCGGUGAGACCGAUUUCCACAACUCGAUCGGUCCGAGAUGAGUUUGGCGGAAACCUAACCCUAAAUUUUCGACUCAAAUCAAAUCUAAAGGAAGUUUUUGCUGGAUAGGAUGAUCUCAUACGUGGUAAGAAUCAUGGCAUUGAUUUUGUGCUAAGAAUAGGAGUAAAAGGAUUGCACAAAGGGUCGAACUCAUACCCUAACUUGGCGAUGAGCUCGCUACAGCGGCAACGACGGUGAAGAUUUCCGUUGACAGCGACGGAGACCAGCGGCAGAAGGUCGCUGGCGAUGAGAGGACGAUCCGGAGACCCGAGUCGGUAGAGCAGGACACGCGCGGGCGAAAAGGUUUGAGAGAAAUUUCCAAAAUUUUACCCCUCGGUAUAUAUAUCCUGACCCUGUCGGUGUGACCGAGUGGAACAACUCGGUGGCACCGAGAUGCAGAAUCGCAAGCGGUUACUGCAACUCGAUGUGACCGAAUGGUUCUAAUCGGUUGCACCGAGAUUGAAAACCUAGAUCAACUCAGUGAACUUGGUUUGACCGAAAAGGAUGAAUCGGUCAGACUGGAAUACAUAGAGAGGUUUUGGAAGUUUAAGUCUAUGAGGAAUCGGUGACUCCGAGUGCUCCUCACCCAGAGGGUUCGAAUCUGACUUGAUCAAACUUUGUGAUCUAGCAUGAAUAGAGUUUGAGACGAGAAAAGCAUAGAUAGCUAGAGGAAGUUCUUAGGCAUUCUUGUCCAUCCAUUUGGCAAAAGAAGAAGAGCCAAAUAAUCAAAGCAAUAAAUGGAUGUCCUCGAAUGGGAAAAAUAUGCAAUCAACAUGCUCACACAAAAAGAUGGCAAAUGAAAUAUGUGACGAAGCAUGCACAGACACUCUAGCAUCUAUCAAGCAAUUGGCGAUGACUAGGUCAUCUAUAUAUGAGUAUAUUGACUUAGGAGUCAAAUGAGAACAUUUGAUCACAGGUCAUACUCAUCGUUUAAGCGGAAGUGGGGUUACCACUUUUACAUAAAGCAUUGUUGUGUUCACACCAUUAGAGUUGCUUUAGAUCAAUUCUUAGAGUAAAGCUCCCCCUAGAUGUGAUAUCCCCCCUAAGAGGGAUGAACUAACCUUGGGUUUUGUCGAUGAUGACUUCAUGUAGAUGUUGAAGAUGUGGAUGCUCAAUGUUGAUGUAGAUCCUUUGGAGCAAUCCAUUGGAGUGAGUUGCGCCUUCAAUACCUACACGGGUUAGUCCCACAAGGAACAAACAAGGAUAUCCCAUAGACAUAGAGUGAAGUACACACAAGAUGAUGUCCAUGAAAGCAUUAGGUUAACUUGUCCCUUGUCCUACCAACAAGAGGGUUUGUGACUCCUUAAACUAGUGCAAGAUAUGGAGGUUGUUUGCACUUGUUCUCGCCAAAAUGAUAUGAGUGAAAUAUGUUGGCGGAGUCACCCUUAAGAACUCUCUAGUUCUUCUUGAAGGAAAUAUGCCCUAGAGGCAAUAACAAAGUUUUUAUUUAUAUUUCAUUAUAUCAUGAUAAAUGUUUAUUAUUCAUGCUACAAUUGUAUUAACCGGAAACUUAGUACACGUGUGAAUACAUAGACAAACAGUGUCACUAGUAUGCCUCUACUUGACUAGAUAGUUGAAUCAAAGAUGGUUAAGUUUCCUAGCCAUAGACAUGAGUUGUCAUUUGAUUAACGGGAUCACAUCAUUAGAGAAUGAUGUGAUUGACUUGACCCAUUCCGUAAGCUUAGCACUUGAUCGUUUAGUUUGGUUCUAUUGCUUUCUUCAUGACUUAUACAUGUUCCUAUGACUAUGAGAUUAUGCAACUCCCAAAUACCGGAGGAACACUUAGUGUGCUAUCAAACGCCACAACGUAAUUGGGUGAUUAUAAAGAUGCUCUACAGGUGUCUCCGAUGGUGUUUGUUGAGUUGGCCUAGAUCGAGAUUAGGAUCUGUCACUCCGAGUAUCGGAGAGGUAUCUCUAGGCCUUCUCGGUAAUGCACAUCACUAUAAGCCUUGCAAGCAAUGUGACUAAUGAGUUAGUUGCGGGAUGAUGCAUUACGGAACGAGUAAAGAGACUUGCCGGUAACGAGAUUGAACUAGGUAUUGAGAUACCGACGAUCGAAUCUCGGGCAAGUAACAUACCGAUGACAAAGGGAACAACAUAUGUUGUUAUGCGGUUUGACCGAUAAAGAUCUUCGUAGAAUAUGUAGGAACCAAUAUGAGCAUCCAGGUUCCACUAUUGGUUAUUGACCGGAGAUGAGUCUCGGUCAUACAUAGUUCUCGAACCCGUAGGGUCCGCACGCUUAACGUUCGGUGACGAUUGGUAUUAUGAGUUUAUGUGUUUUUAUGUGCCGAAGGUUGUUCGGAGUCCCGGAUGUGAUCACGGACAUGACGAGGAGUCUUGAAAUGGCCGAGACAUAAAUAUCGAUAUAUUGGAUGGCUAUGUUUGGGCAUCGGAAUGGUUCCGGGUGAGUUCGGGCAUUUACCGGAGUACCGGGAGGUUACCGGAACCCCCCGGGGAGUAUAUGGCCUUAGUGGGAGAGAGGAGGAGGCGGCCGAGGUGGGGGCACGCCCCCCAAGCCCAAUCCGGAUUGGGGUGGGGGCCGGCCCCCCUUUCCUUCUCCCUCUCCCCUCCUUCCUUCCUCUCCUACUCCAACUAGGGAAGGGGGGGAAUCCUACUCCCGGUGGGAGUAGGAUCCCCCUUGGGCAUGCCAUAGAGAGGGCCGGUCCUCCCCUCCUCCACUCCUUUAUAUAUACGGGGGAGGGGCACCCCAUAGACACACAAGUUGAUUGUUUAGCCGUGUGCGGUGCCCCUCACCACAGAUUUCCACCUCGGUCAUAUCAUUGUAGUGCUUAGGCAAAGCCCUGCGUCGGUAACUUCAUCAUCACCAUCAUCAUGUCGUUGUACUGACAAAACUCUCCCUCAACCUCAGCUGGAUCUAGAGUUCGUGGGACGUCACCGAGCUGAACAUGUGCAGAUCACGGAGGUGCCGUACGUUCGGUGCUAGGAUCGAUCGGAUCAUGAAGACGUACGACUACAUCAACCGCGUUGUCAUAACACUUCCACUUUCGGUCUACAAGGGUACGUAGACAACACUCUCCCCUGUCGUUGCUAUGCAUCACCUAGAUAGAUCUUGCGUGAUCGUAGGAUUUUUUUUGAAAUUACUGCGUUCCCCAACAGUGGCAUCAGAGCCAGGUCUAUGCGUAGAUGUUAUAUGCAUGAGUAGAACACAAAGAGUUGUGGGCGAUAAUAGUCAUACUGCUUACCAGCAUGUCAUACUUUGAUUCGGCGGUAUUAUUGGAUGAAGCGGUCCGGACCGACAUUACGCGUACGCUUACGCGAGACUGGUUCUACCGACGUGCUUUGCACACAGGUGGCUGCCGGGUGUCAGUUUCUCCAACUUUAGUUGAAUCGAGUGUGACUACGCCCGGUCCUUGUUGAAGGUUAAAACAGCACACUUGACAAAAAAUCGUUGUGGUUUUGAUGCGUAGGUAAGAACGGUUCUUGCUCAGCCCGUAGCAGCCACAUAAAACUUGCAACAACAAAGUAGAGGAUGUCUAACUUGUUUUUGCAGGGCAUGUUGUGAUGUGAUAUGGUCAAGACAUGAUGCUAAAUUUUAUUGUUUGAGAUGAUCAUGUUUUGUAACAGAGUUAUCGGCAACUGGCAGGAACCAUAUGGUUGUCGCUUUAUUGUAUGAAAUGCAAUCGCCAUCUAAUUGCUUUACUUUAUCUCUAAGCGGUAGCGAUAGUCGUAGAAGCAAUAGUUGGCGAGACGACAAUGAUGCUACGAUGGAGAUCAAGGUGUCGCGCCGGUGACGAUGGUGAUCAUGACGGUGCUUUGGAGAUGGAGAUCAAAGGCACAAGAUGAUGAUGGCCAUAUCAUAUCACUUAUAUUGAUUGCAUGUGAUGUUUAUCCUUUAUGCAUCUUAUUUUGCUUAGUUCGGCGGUAGCAUUAUAAGAUGAUCUCUCACUAAAUUUCAAGGUACAAGUGUUCUCCCUGAGUAUGCACCGUUGCGGAAGUUUGUCGUGCCGAGACACCACGUGAUGAUCGGGUGUGAUAAGCUCUAUGUUCACAUACAACGGGUGCAAGCCAGUUUUGCACACGCAGAAUACUCGGGUUAAACUUGACGAGCCUAGCAUAUGCAGAUAUGGCCUCGGAACACUGAGACCGAAAGGUCGAGCGUGAAUCAUAUAGUAGAUAUGAUCAACAUAGUAAUGUUCACCAUUGAAAACUACUCCAUCUCACGUGAUGAUCGGACAUGGUUUAGUUGAUUUGGAUCACGUGAUCACUUAGAUGAUUAGAGGGAUGUCUAUCUAAGUGGGAGUUCUUAAGUAAUAUGAUUAAUUAAACUUUAAUUUAUCAUGAACUUAGUACCUGAUAGUAUUUUGCAUGUCUUUGUUGUUGUAGAUCAAUGGCCCGUGCUACUGUUCCUUUGAAUUUUAAAGCGUUCCUAGAGAAAGCUAAGUUGAAAGAUGAUGGUAGCAACUACACGGACUGGGUCCGUAACUUGAGGAUUAUCCUCAUUGCUGCACAGAAGAAUUACGUCCUGGGAGCACCGCUAGGUGCGAGACCCGCUGCAGGAGCAACACUGGACGUUGUGAACGUCCGGCAGAGCAAAGCUGAUGACUACUCGAUAGUUCAGUGUGCCAUGCUUUACGGCUUAGAACCAGGACUUGAAUGACGUUUUGAAUGUCAUGGAGCAUAUGAGACGUUCCAGGAGUUGAAGUUAAUAUUUCAAGCAAAUGCCCGAUUGAGAGGUAUGAAGUCUCGAAUAAGUUCUAUAGCUGCAAGAUGGAGAAGAAUAGUUCUGUCAGUGAGCAUAUACUCAAAAUGUCUGGGUAUCAUAAUUACUUGACUCAGCUGGGAGUUAAUCUUCUGGUUGAUAGUGUCAUUGACAGAGUUCUUCAAUCACUGCCACCAAGCUACAAAAGAUUCGUGAUGAACUAUAACAUGCAAGGGAUGGACCGAGCUCUUCGCAAUGCUAAAGGCUGCGGAGGUAGAAAUCAAGAAGGAGCAUCAAGUGUUGAUGGUCAAAAAGACCACCAGUUUCAAGAAAAAGUGUCGUGGAAUUGUCACAUCAGAUGUCCUAGUGUGAGGACUUAGUCGUGAGGCCAACACAUCUAUAUGGUAGUUUGAGAGGGGUUGAUCGGAAUCGAGAGGCGCAAUGCAAGACAAGAGUUUGGACAGCUUCGGGCCCUGGGAAACAUCAUCCGGUAACAACCCUACAUGCUGUUUGAGGCUAGGUCUCACUAUCAUCCCGAGGGAGUCGCCGUAAACCGGCUCUCCCAGUUAUGUCUAGCCCUAAGAUUGUUUUCCUCCCCUCUUGGGGUGCCCCGCCCCUCCUUAUAUAUGUUGAAGGGGCGGGUUACAUGUAGAGUCCAACUCGGACUUAAGACUUAACUAUUCUGACUUCUCUUCAUGGGCUUCUUAACAUCUUGGGCUUCAUAACGUCUCGGGCUUCAUAACCCCUGGCAACCCAGUUAUCACUGUCUGCCGGGUUAUGACUGGUGCCGGUUUAUGAUGGUCUGCCGGUUUAUGAUUGUCCGCUGAGUUAUCAUCUGACUUAACUCCUGCCGGGUUAUCAUCUGACUUAACUCCUGUCGGGUUAUCAUCUGACUUAACUCCUGCCGGGUUAUCACUUCGGCCGGGUCAUACCGCGGGGUAUAUCCCCGACAUUAGCCCCCAGUUUAAUUUGGAUUUAUCCAUGUUAAACUGAUCCUGAUCAUCCUUAAAUCCUUGUCAUUUCCUUCUUCUAGAAAAUCCGGGUCAAUAGGCCAACUUCAUAAUCAAUUUGCUGACAUUGGUUUGUCAUAAAGAAAUAUUGUGAAGAAUAACUAAUUUGACUCAGCUCCCAAUGCUUAACAAAAAUAUUGGUCUUUGAAAUACUCAUCUGAUCUUCAGCCGGUUUAAGAAUGUAGAACUUGCCGGUUUAUCAUUGCCAAAAUUGCCGGUUUAUGAAUAUUGAUGGCACCGGAUCAUAACUGUUUGUUAACAUCAGCUUUGAAAAUAUACCUAUUAUAUGCCUAUCACUUGUAGCCCCCAAGUUUUAAGAAGGCAUCGUAGUAACAGCUUAAGAUUUGCUUCAAUAUGAAUGUCACAAGCUUGAAGAAAUCCAAUUUGUUCAUCUCAGUCACUAGUCAAACCUGAAUAUUCCACAUAUGUAACCCCCAAGUGCCGGGUUGUCAUGCUUGCAGCAACCUGGGACUUGAAAUUGCCUUAUGCUCAUGAAAACUUCAACCAGUGUAGCUGUAACACCCAUGAUGCAGCUAUAUCUCCCACAUGUCGAGGCACGACUUAGAGGCAUAACCGCAUUGUUGGUAUUGUCGCAAGAAGGGUCAUCUUCACACAAUCCCAUGUAAUGAACAAGAAUGGGAUAAAGAGAGUUGGCUUACAAUCGCCACUUCACACAAUACAUAAAUUAAUUCAUACAUCAUCCAAAAUCCACACAUAGACCGACUACGGUCAAAUCCAAAUGGAAAGAAGAUAACCCCAAAUGCUAGAUCCCCGAUCGUCCCAACUGGGCUCCACUACUGAUCAUCAGGAAACGAAACAUAGUAACGACCACGUUCCUCGUCGAACUCCCACUUGAGCUCGGUUGCGUCACCAGCACUGGUAUCGUCGGCACCUGCAACUGUUUUGGUAGAAUCUGUGAGUCACGAGGACUCAGCAAUCUCACACCCGCGAGAUCAAGACUAUUUAAGCUUAUAGGAAGGAUGGGGUAAUGAGGUGGAGCUGCGGCAAGCACUAAGCAUAUAUGGUGGCUAACAUACGCAAAUGAGAGCGAGAAGAGAAGCAACGCAUCGGUCGAGAAGCUAGAAGUGAUCAAGAAGUGAUCCUGAAACUACUUACGUUCAUGCAUAACCCAAACCGUGUUCACUUCCCGGACUCCGCCGAAAAGAGACCAUCACGGCUACACACACGGUUGAUGUAUUUUAAUUAAGUCAAGUGUCAAGUUCUCUACAACCGGACAUUAACAAAUUCCCAUCUGCCACAUAACCGUGGGCACGGCUUUCGAAAGAUAAUACCCUGCAGGGUUGUCCCAACUUAGCCCAUUAUAAGCUCUCACGGUCAACGAAGGAUAUUCCUUCUCCCGGGAAGACCCGAUCAGACUCGGAAUCCCGGUUUACAAGACAUUUCGACAAUGGUAAAACAAAACCAGCAAGACCACCCGACUGUGCCGACAAAUCCCGAUAGGAGCUGCACAUAUCUCGUUCUUAGGGCACACCGGAUGAGACAUCCUACGAGUAAAACCANNNNNNNNNNNNNNNNNNNNNNNNNNNNNNNNNNNNNNNNNNNNNNNNNNNNNNNNNNNNNNNNNNNNNNNNNNNNNNNNNNNNNNNNNNNNNNNNNNNNNNNNNNNNNNNNNNNNNNNNNNNNNNNNNNNNNNNNNNNNNNNNNNNNNNNNNNNNNNNNNNNNNNNNNNNNNNNNNNNNNNNNNNNNNNNNNNNNNNNNNNNNNNNNNNNNNNNNNNNNNNNNNNNNNNNNNNNNNNNNNNNNNNNNNCUCGGGCUCGCGAAAACCCAAGGGGAAAAGACUUAGGUAGGCAAAUGUAAGACCAAGGUUGGGUCUUGCUGGAGGAGUUUUAUUCAAGGCGAACUGUCAAGGGGGUCCCAUAAAUCACCCAACCGCGUAAGGAACGCAAACUCAACGAACAUAACACCGGUAUGACGGAAACUAGGGCGGCAAGAGUGGAACAAAACACCAGGCAUAAGGCCGAGCCUUCCACCCUUUACCAAAUAUAUAGAUGCAUUAAUUAAAUAAGAGAUAUUGUGAUAUGCCAAAAUAUCCAUGUUCCAACAUGGAACCAACUUCAACUUCACCCGCAACUAGCAACGCUAUAAGAAGGGCUGAGCAAAAGCGGUAACUUAGCCAAACAACGGUUUGCUAGGAAAGAAUGGUUAGAGGCUUGACAUGGCAACAUGGGAGGCAGGAUAUAGCAAGUGGUAGGUAGCACAGCAUAGCAAUAGAGCGAACAACUAUCAAAGCAAAGAUAGAAGUGAUUUCGAGGGUAUGGUCAUCUUGCCUGCAAGGUUCUCAGAGUUGUCGAAAGUUUGAUCCUCAUAAGCGUUCUCAACAGGUUCCUCGUAAGCGUUCUCGUCUCCCGGCUCUACCCAAAGCAAGAACACAAACAAAGGACCAACAAUCAAUCACGGGAAAUGCACAAGCAACAUGAUGCAAUACAUGCAUGAUAUGCGAGAUGUGAUAUGCGAUGCAUAUGCGUGCUCCGGAAGAAAAAGGAUGAACAAGGGAUCAACUUGGAAAAGCAAGUAUGCCGCUAGAAAGAUGAGAUGAUUUUGGUUGAAAUCGAUAUAAAGAUCACCGGAAUCGGAUGCACGGUUUACAAAUGACAAGCAAAACAAGGAUAACACAAUUCUGCGAUUAACAACACGAUGCCACUUAGUAUGCAACAAGACUCUAAGCUACUGCACUCCAACAUAACAACAAAGUAUAUGACAGUGAUCCACUCAAGGUGCUUGAAAAAAGAUAAACAUUGAGCUACGGCUAGAUCACAAAAUAACAGGUUCAAACAAGAAUGGGAAAAGUGCAAAAGAUAUCAGCUUCACAGACUUGCUGAAAAAACUAACAUGCCAGAAAUAACAUCAGGAAGCCAUGUUUAGAGCAAGCAAACAGCAUGCUACAUGAACAUAUCAUAGCAAAUCAAGGCAUGGAAUGAAUCUACUAAAUUCAUAGAACAAAAGCCCCUUACUGAUCAUGAGCUAAAAAGGCACAGAAGAUAUGAUGGCACCCAUGUAAACAUAGCAAGUUUCGUUAACAGGUUUCAGACUUGGCAGAAAACAGAGCAUGGCAAUAACAGAAUUAUGAAGGCAUCUUUGUGAGCUCGAUUCACUCAUCACAAGGCAAUGCAUGACAAACCGAGCAUACCAACAGCAAGAAUACAUGUUCAUGAAGCUAUCCAUGGCAAGAACAAGUUCAUAGCAUGUAUGGGUCAACCACAACAACCUUGGCAAAAUUGAAUAGCAUGUUAACAUUCUGCCAGGAACAUUUUAUAGCAAAAGUAGAGCAAGAUUGAGACAUGCUAGGGCACUCCAUAAUUGCAAACAGGGGCAUGGAUGGAUAUAGCAAAACCAUAUGUUCAAAACAUCCUUACUGAACAUACUCAAAAGAAGCACGGAUCUCACUGUAGCCACAUGGAUACAUGGCACCAAAAUAACAGCAGGAAAAGACUUAGCAAAAUCCUAAGUCCCUGAAAACAGAAACAUCACGAAGCCUUGUUUGCAUACUUGUUCUAGUCACCACAUAGAUCACAAAAAUACAUGGCAUACACCCCUGUAAAGAUGGAAUGGCAUAGAUCAAAACACAUGUAGAGCUCAUGCCCAAAAGAUGCACACAUCAAAUGCAGAAAAAAUAACAAAACAUCAAGUUCUGAUAAGUAACAGUAGUAAACAUCAUAUAGCACUCUUAAAAUGAAGCUUUAGGCAUCAAGAUGAGCUCAAACAGACAUGGCACAAUCGAACCAAAUGAAGAGCAUAACCUGAUGAACAUUUCGAUAUAUCAUGCGCAUGAAACGGAGCAGUAUGCAAGGAGAUAAGAUGUGAUGAACAGGGCAACAAAAUGUGAGAAUUUAGGGACUUGGAGGAUUUUCGGGGGUCAACCUUCUCAGAUCUAGGAUUCGCACGCGAACCGAGGCGGGGCCGGAGCUCUCGCCGGAGCUGGAGGANNNNNNNNNNNNNNNNNNNNNNNNNNNNNNNNNNNNNNNNNNNNNNNNNNNNNNNNNNNNNNNNNNNNNNNNNNNNNNNNNNNNNNNNNNNNNNNNNNNNNNNNNNNNNNNNNNNNNNNNNNNNNNNNNNNNNNNNNNNNNNNNNNNNNNNNNNNNNNNNNNNNNNNNNNNNNNNNNNNNNNNNNNNNNNNNNNNNNNNNNNNNNNNNNNNNNNNNNNNNNNNNNNNNNNNNNNNNNNNNNNNNNNNNNNNNNNNNNNNNNNNNNNNNNNNNNNNNNNNNNNNNNNNNNNNNNNNNNNNNNNNNNNNNNNNNNNNNNNNNNNNNNNNNNNNNNNNNNNNNNNNNNNNNNNNNNNNNNNNNNNNNNNNNNNNNNNNNNNNNNNNNNNNNNNNNNNNNNNNNNNNNNNNNNNNNNNNNNNNNNNNNNNNNNNNNNNNNNNNNNNNNNNNNNNNNNNNNNNNNNNNNNNNNNNNNNNNNNNNNNNGCGGGACGGCGCGGCGGCGGGGUCGAUGCGGAGGCGGCGAACGGCGGGCCGAGGCGGUGGGGAGGUGCUCGGGGCGUGGGGCGGCGACCCGGGCCGGGAGGGCCCCACGCGGGCUCGCGGGGCGGCGGUGGAGGGACGCGGCGGCGUGCCAUGUGGCGGAGCGCGAUUGGCGCGGGGUGGCGGCGCGAUCUGUCCGGCCGGACCGGACGUGUCCGGCGGCGGAGAGGGAGCAGGGCUAGGGUUUCAGGACCCGGAUUUGGAGGAGGGGUGCACAUAUUUAUAGGUAGAGGGAGAUAGGAGACUCCAAAUGAGGUGCGGUUUUCGCCCACACGAUCGUGAUCCAACGACGGAGAGCAUGGAAGUGACUUAGAUGGGUUAUUGGGCUGUUUUGGAGGGGUGUUGGGCCGCAACACAAAAAAGGCCUUUGCGGUUACCCGGUUAACCGUUGGAGCAUCAAACGACCUCCAAAUGGAACGAAACUUGACAGGUGGUCUACCGGUAGUGUACCAAGGCCACUUGGCAAACCUCGGUCCAUUCCGAGAACGUUUAACACCCGCUCACGAAAAGAGACAAGAGGGGUGCGCCGGUGCAUGUGGGAGUGUCGGAUUGCAAAAGGACAACGGGGAAAAUGCUCGGAUGCAUGAGACGAACACGUAUGCAAAUGAGAUGCACAUGAUGACAUGAUAUAAGAUGCAUGACAUGAACAACAUGCAAAAUGAAAGACAAAACCCGACCACGAAGGGAAUAUCAUAACACAUAGCCGAAAAUGGCAAGAGUUGGAGUUACAAAUAUGGAAAGUCACAUCCGGGGCGUUACAACACUCCAUCACUACAAGAGGAUCUCGUCCCGAGAUCUAGGACUGAAAGAACUCCGGAUAUUCAUAACGGAGGUGGUCCUCGCGCUCCCAGGUGGCUUCCCGGUCGGAAUGGUGUGACCACUUUACUUUUAGGAAUUUGAUAGACUUGUUGCGAGUCUUGUGCUCAGUUUCUUCAAGAAUAGCAAUGGGGUGCUCAUGAUAAGACAAAUCUUCUUGGAGGUCAAUCUCUUCGAAGUUGAUGGUGCACUCAGGAGUCUUAAAGCACUUGCGAAGCUGUGACACGUGGAACACAUCGUGCACGUUCGCGAAGUUGGAGGGAAGCUCAAGUUAAUAGGCAAGGUCGCCUCUUUUGCCAAUGAUCUUGAAAGGACCCACGUAUCUAGGGGCAAGCUUCCCUUUGAUACCGAAGUGACGAGUGCCUUUCAUUGGAGAGACGCGGAGGUAGACAUGGUCUCCGAUCUCGAAAGCCAAGUCACGGUGCUUGCUAUCAUAGUAACUCUUCUGGCGCGAUUGCGUGGCUUUGAGAUUUUCACGGAUGACUUUACACAUUUCUUCAGCCUCUGUGAUUAAGUCAUUGCCAAGAAGUUGGCGUUCACCAGUCUCUGACCAAUUGAGAGGAGUACGACACUUUCUGCCAUAAAGAAUCUCGAAUGGGGCCUUGCCCGAACUCGCUUGGAAGCUGUUGUUGUAGGAGAACUCGGCAUAUGGAAGACAAUCUUCCCACUUCAUGCCAAAGUAAAUGACACAAGCCCUGAGCAUAUCUUCAAGGAUUUGAUUGACUCGCUCGACUUGGCCACUAGUUUGAGGAUGGAAAGCUGUGCUGAAGUGAAUGUUGGUGCCCAUGGCCUUCUGAAAGGAGUCCCAGAAGUUAGAAGUGAAGAUGCUUCCACGAUUUGAAGAUAUCAAUUGUGGAAUGCCAUGCAAGGAGACAAUCCUGGAGGUGUAUAGCUCUGCCAACUGAGUUGAUGUGACAUAUUCUUUGAUAGGAAGAAAAUGAGCCACUUUAGUAAGCUUGUCGAUGACAACGAAGAUAGCAUCAUUUCCACGCUUGGACUUAGGAAAUCCAGUCACGAAGUCCAUUUCGAUAUGAUCAAACUUCCAUUCUGGAAUAGCAAGAGGUUGGAGGAGACCAGCUGGUCGUUGGUGUUCUGCUUUCACCCUUCGACAGACAUCACAUUUGUUCACGAAUUGAGCAAUUUCUCGCUUCAUUCGAGUCCACCAAUACGACUGCUUGAGGUCAUGGUACAUCUUCGUACUUCCAGGAUGAAUGGAAAGAAGAGAAUUGUGCGCCUCGUUCAUAAUGACUUUCCUUAGAUCACCUUUAGAAACCACAAUCCGGUCCUCGAAGAAUAAAGUGUCUCUGUCAUCAAUGCGAUAGCACUUGUAUUUGGAAAGACCCUUGUCAAUACCACGUUUCACCUUCUUCACCAUGGUAUCCAGGAGUUGUGCCUCACGAAUUUGAUCUUCCAAAGUAGGAGAGACUAGGAGGUUGGCAAAAAAGCCUUGAGGAACAACUUGUAGAUUCAGUUUGCGGAAAGCUUCGCAAGGAUCCGGUUGGAAUGGUUUGAGAAUUAAGCUGCUGCAAUAAGCCUUCCUGCUCAAAGCAUCUGCAAUGACAUUGGCCUUGCCUGGAGUAUAUUCAAUACUCGGAUUGUACUCUUGAAUCAUUUCGACCCAUCGAGUUUGCCUGAGGUUGAGGUUGGGCUGAGUGAAGAUGUACUUGAGACUCUUGUGAUCAGUGAAUAUGUCCACUUUACUUCCCAACAAGAGAUGUCUCCAUGUUAUUAAUGCAUGAACAACUGCCGCCAACUCAAGAUUGUGAGUGGGGUAGUUCUUUUCGUUGGGCUUCAACUGACGAGAGGUAUAGGCCACAACUUUCUUCUCUUGCAUUAACACAGCACCGAGACCUUGAAGAGAAGCAUCACAGAAAACUUCGAAUGGCUUGGAUUCGUCAAGAGGAGUCAAGACAGGAGCUGUGACGAGUUUCUCUUUGAGAGUGUUGAAGGCAACGUCACACUUAGGAGUCCAGACAUACUUCACAUGCUUCUGGAGGAGGUUGGAAAGAGGCUUGACAUGGCAACAUUGGAGGCAUGAUAUAACAAGUGGUAGGUAGCACAUCAUAGCAAUAGAGCGAACAACUAUCAAAGCAAAGAUAGAAGUGAUUUCGAGGGUAUGGUCAUCUUGCCUGCAAGGUUCUCAGAGUUGUCGAAAGCUUGAUCCUCGUAAGCGUUCUCGUCUCCCGGCUCUACCCAAAGCAAGAACACAAACAAAGGACCAACAAUCAAUCACGGGAAAUGCACAAGCAACAUGAUGCAAUACAUGCAUGAUAUGCGAGAUGUGAUAUGCGAUGCAUAUGCGUGCUCGGAAGAAAAAGGAUGAACAAGGCAUCAACUUGGCAAACCAAGUAUGCCGCUGGAAAUAUGAGAUGAUUUCAGUUGAAAUCGAUAUAAAGAUCACCGGAAUCGGAUGCACGGUUUGCAAAUGACAAGCAAAACAAGGAUGGCACAAUUCUGCGAUUAACAGCACGAUGCCACUUAGUAUGCAACAAGAAUCUAAGCUACUGCACUCCAACAUAACAACAAAGCAUAUGACAGUGAUUCACUCAAGGUGCUUGACAAAAGAUGAACACUGAGCUAUGUCUAGACCACAAAAUAACAGGUUCAAACAAGCAUGGAAAAAGUGCAAAGAUAUCAGCUUCACAGACUUGGUGAAAAUACUAACAUGCCAGAAAUAACAUCAGGAAGCCAUGUUUAGAGCAAGCAAACAGCAUGCUACAGGAACAUAUCAUAGCAAAUCAAGGCAUGGCAUGAAUAUACUAAAUGCAUAGAACAAAAUCCCCUUACUAAUCAUGAGCUAAAAAGGCACAGAAGAUAUAAUGGCACCCAUGUAAACAUAGCAAGUUUCGUUAACAGGUUCCAGACUUGGCAGAAAACAGAGCAUGGCAAUAACAGAAUUAUGAAGGCAUCUUUGUGAGCUCGAUUCACUCAUCACAAGGCAAUGCAUGACAAAACGAGCAUACGAACAGCAAGAAUACAUGUUCAUGAAGCUAUCCAUGGCAAGAGCAAGUUCAUAGCAUGUAUGGAUCAACCACAACAACCUUGGCAAAAUUGAAUAGCAUGUUAACAUUCUGCCAGGAACAUUUUAUAGCAAACGUAGAGCAAGAUUGAGACAUGCUAGGGCACUCCAUAAUUGCAAACAGGGGCAUGGAUGGAUAUAGCAAAACCAUAUGUUCAAAACAUCCUUACUGAACAUACUCAAAAGAAGCACGGAUCUCACUGUAGCCACAUGGAUACAUGGCAUCAAAAUAACAGCAGGAAAAGACUUGGCAAAAUCCUGUCCCUGAAAACAGAAACAUCACGAAGCCUUGUUUGCAUGCUUGUUCUAGUCACCAUAUAGAUCACCAAAAUACAUGGCAUACACCCCUGUAAACAUGGAAUGGCAUAGAUCAAAACACAUGUAGAGCUGAUGCCCAAAAGAUGCACACAUCAAAUGCAGAAAAAAUAACAAAACAUCAAGUUCUGAUAAUUAACAGCAGUAAACAUCAUAUAGCACUCUUAAAACGAAGAUUUAGGCAUCAAGGUGAGCUCAAACAGACAUGGCACAAUCGAACCAAAUGAAGAGCAUGACCUGGUGAACAUUUCGAUAUAUCAUGCGCAUGAAACGGAGCAGUAUGCAAGGAGAUAAGAUGUGAUGAACAGGGCAACAUAAUGUGAGAAUUUUGGGACUUGGAGGAUUUUCGGGGGUCAACCUUCUCAGAUCUAGGAUUCGCACGUGAACCGAGGCGGGGCCGGAGCUCUCGCCGGAGCUGGAGGAGGGAGGUCACCGGAGAGACGGGGACGCCGGAUUUGGGCUGCGCCGGCUCGGAUCUGGUGGCGCGCGGCGGCGACCGGGGCGCGGGAGGCGUCGGGCGGCGGCGACCGGGGCGCGUGGCNNNNNNNNNNNNNNNNNNNNNNNNNNNNNNNNNNNNNNNNNNNNNNNNNNNNNNNNNNNNNNNNNNNNNNNNNNNNNNNNNNNNNNNNNNNNNNNNNNNNNNNNNNNNNNNNNNNNNNNNNNNNNNNNNNNNNNNNNNNNNNNNNNNNNNNNNNNNNNNNNNNNNNNNNNNNNNNNNNNNNNNNNNNNNNNNNNNNNNNNNNNNNNNNNNNNNNNNNNNNNNNNNNNNNNNNNNNNNNNNNNNNNNNNNNNNNNNNNNNNNNNNNNNNNNNNNNNNNNNNNNNNNNNNNNNNNNNNNNNNNNNNNNNNNNNNNNNNNNNNNNNNNNNNNNNNNNNNNNNNNNNNNNNNNNNNNNNNNNNNNNNNNNNNNNNNNNNNNNNNNNNNNNNNNNNNNNNNNNNNNNNNNNNNNNNNNNNNNNNNNNNNNNNNNNNNNNNNNNNNNNNNNCCCCGCGCGGGCUCGCGGGCCGGCGGUGGAGGGACGCGGCGGCAUGCCACGUGGUGGAGCAUGAUUGGCGCGGGGCGGCGGCGCGAUCUGUCCGGCUAGACCGGACGUGUCCGGCGGCGGAGAGGGGGCGGGGCUAGGGUUUCGGGACCCGGAUUUGGAGGAGGGGUGCACAUAUUUAUAGGUAGAGGGAGCUAGGAGACUCCAAAUGAGGUGCGGUUUUCGCCCACACGAUCGUGAUCCAACGACGGAGAGCAUGGAAGUGACUUAGAUGGGUUAUUUGGCUGUUUUGGAGGGGUGUUGGGCUGCAACACACAAAAGGCCUUUGCGGUUACCCGGUUAACCGUUGGAGCAUCAAACGACCUCCAAAUGGAACGAAACUUGACAGGUGGUCUACCGGUAGUGUACCAAGGCCACUUGGCAAACCUCGGUCAAUUCCGAGAACGUUUAACACCCGCUCACGAAAAGAGACAAGAGGGGUGCGCCGGUGCAUGUGGGAGUGUAGGAUUGCAAAACGGACAACGGGGAAAAUGCUCGGAUGCAUGAGACGAACACGUAUGCAAAUGAGAUGCACAUGAUGACAUGAUAUGAGAUGCAUGACAUGAACAAAAUGUAAAACGAAAGACAAAACCCGACCACGAAGGGAAUAUCAUAACACAUAGCCGAAAAUGGCAAGAGUUGGAGUUACAAAUAUGGAAAGUCACAUCCGGGGCGUUACAGUAGACCCAAGGGCCGUGUCAUUAUGCAAUAAUGAGCAGGGACUUUAUAGAUCUGAUCAUGUAAACUUUGAAUAGCAACGUGUAGCCCCCCAAGGGCCGGCUCAGUAAGAUAAUAUUGAGCUGGGACUUUAUAUAUGCGUCAUUGAAAAUAAUAUCAUAUGAUGUAAUUCCCAUCAUGGGGCUUGAACCCACGUCCAUAAGGUUAAGAGCUUUGUGCUUUACCAACUAAGGAGUGGACUCUUAAAUAUAAUGGAUUAAGACUUGUGUACCUUGAGUUGUUGACAGGAGCAAUUGGUAGCCCCCAAGGGCCGGCUCAUUACAAUGUGAUGAGUCGGGUCUUCAAUAAGGUGAUGAAAAAAAUGACUUUGCAUUAGCCCGCAAGUGCCAUGGUGCAUGCUGGAUGUGACAUGGGACUUGCAUAUUUGAUGUAAUCUCAAUUUGAAUAAUGUAGCCCCCAAGUACCGGGUCAUAAGCCUGCAGUGACUCGGGACUAUUCCUUCCAUUGUAGAAUAAAUCAUAUCCAUCGAUAAAAUAAUAUCCAUUGCGCUAAAGCGACUUUGAAAACCUCAAUCAUAAUACUGGUCAUUGAUAACCAUAGCAAAAAUCUAGCCAUGUUGGCUAUUAAAGAUUUGAAUAAUAUAAUGCAAUGAUUUAUAAGCGCAUGAUUCCAAUGCCGCAAUCCCAAUACAUAUACUGGUGACUUAACGUCCAAAGCCAGACCGGGUUAAUAAACGCCGGAUUAUAACUGAUCAUGUACUGACAACUUGUAGUUGAAAGUCGAACCGGGUUAAUGAACGCCGGUUUAUAAUAACAUUAUAAAUGUCACCAAAGGAGAAAAACUUGGCAAAUAAAAGCAUAUGAAAAACUUGUAGUCGAGGCUUUUCACGGGCUGCCAGGCCCCAAAUUCGAGGCUUUUCAUGGGCUGCCAAGCCACUGAGUUAAACCAUUUCGCAAAGCCUUUUAAGAUGGUCCUCAAUCCUUAACCAAUCGUUGUUUUAACUUUGACAAGUUCAGGGUCUCAUUUAGAUUGACUUGUCAUAGUUCGACGGGUCAUACCAGGUGUUGAGGAUAUAUACCUUAGAGUCACCCGCCAGAAGGGGCCGGGUUACUCCUAAUGGUCAUCGCCAGAAGCCCGGCGCCAAGCUUGAGGACGGUGGGCCAAAGAUGGGCUUAAGAACCGGAUAUGGCUUAAGGCCCGUAGUUACAAUCAUCAUUAUGGUAGAACUUGUAGUGUAAGGCAAGAAUAGUUGAGAGUCCGAGCCGGACACUCUUAUGAGGCGGCUGGGACUCUGAGAGCUGCUGGGCGUCAGCCUCCCUAUAUAAAGGGACGACCCGGCAGCAGUUUAGGGACAAGAAAGAUCUCAUCGAGAGCCGGGCAUAGCAAUUAAGCUCCCUGGUCAUCGAAACCCUAAUCAAUACCACCUCAACUGGACGUAGGCUUUUACCUUCACCGUAAGGGGCCGAACCAGUAUAAACCCUCGUGUUCCUUGUCCCGUUAACCCCUUCAAGCUUCCUAGCAGCGAUGGCUCCACGACUAAGUCCUAGCUUGAGGACAUCUGCCGUGACAAUUCCACGACAGUUGGCGCCCACCGUGGGGCCAGCGCACGGUGGAUUUGAGUUCUUGAAGGGCAGCUUCGAAGGGCUCAAGGGAUACGCUGUGGGCCGGAUGACCAAGAGUCGUCACGGCAAGCUCUACAUCGACGAUGCAAACUGGGGCCCCGACGCCGGCUCAAUUGAGUACGGGUACCGGGUCCCCUUCGGCGGAAUUCAUGUUUUCAUUGGCAAGAUUGGUGAGCCGGGCCCUGAGCCGGAUCUCUGCGCUGAUCUCAUCGAGACGGCUCAGCGUACACGACCCGCCCGGGCCCUGCCUGCCUUAAAGCAUGCUUUUGUGGGAUGUAUCCAUGGAGGGCUCUCUGAUCGAUCUGGAUCUGGUGAUGAGACGGCCGCCGGCUCUGACGGCGAGUCGUCCACCGAUGAGUCAACCUCGUUGUAUCAACUUCAAGAUGGCAGGCUCAUGGGUUGUUCCGAUGGUGACAGUAUUCCGGACCCGUUUGAGCCGCCAAGCCGGGUUGGAAUCUUCAUGGCUGGUGCGCAGCCUGUUCAGAACCCUGCUGCUGGAGCGGGAAACCCGGUGCCCUCGCCGGCUCAGGUGCUGAUGGAUCUCACGGACAAGAUGAUGGCCCUGUUGACCACCGCGGUUGACCCGGCGGAUCAAGCUCAGCAUGAUGCGGAGGUGGCGCAAUUAAAGUUAGAUCUAGUGAAAGCUAAGGAGGAUCUGGCAGCGGAAGGGAUCAGGAUGGCUGCGGAGAGGGCGGCUCUCGACACCCAAACUCAGUUGAUCCAGGCGCAGUCCUUCCGGCUCACGAUGGAUCAGAACGCGUCCAAUGAGGUCAUGAGAAGGAGGAAUCAAAAGGCCCAAUCUCGAAUCCCUCCGGUUUACGAUCCUCGAAACCUCUUCAACACGCCAGGUGCAGGGUCUAGUAACCCGCCAGGGAUCAUAGUGCCCGGGUCUGGGAACCCUAUUCAGCCGCAAGUGAUGGGGCCUCCCCAGGUGAGCCCUGCCCCGCCUCAGUAUGUGCCUAUACCACCGGGUCAUUAUGCUAACCCGCUGGAGAACAUGGUUGCCGCAGCAGCACGGCUGGCGGCCCUCCCAAUUGACGGCGACUCUCCGACGGCUAUUGAAACCCGCCGGGUCAGGGAACUCCUUCAGACAGCACUGGCGCAGCAAGAGGCGUAUUCUUACAGCUGGGACAGGAUCCACUCGACCCCUCGUCCAGGCCGGAGCCCGAGUUAUAGCAGACACAUGGUCUCAGCGACCGGCUCAAGUAAUGUCCGACGCCAUGCCCCGCCCCCUGGCCAUGGCCCGGUUCAUAACGGAGCUUUUCACGCAGCAGACCAAGACAGAGCGCGGCAAGAGGCGAAGCAGGUGCCUCAGUUGACGGCUUACCAGACUCCCCCGGCUUAUCCGACGACUUCCGUCGACGUGGGUAUCCCUACCAGGACUGGAGGUGUCCCUUGUUUAGUGCCAGCUAUCCGCAAUGAACGUCUACCCAAGGACUUCAAAGGCCCUAGGAAGGUGCCUAAUUACACGGCUGACUUACAACCCGCAGCCUGGAUCGAGAGUUACGAGAUGGCCAUGGAACUGCUGGAGGUCAGUGAAGCGGCAAUGGCCAAGUACUUCACCAUGAUGUUAGAUGGGACUGCCCGCACUUGGUUGAAAGGGCUACCACCGAAUUCCAUCGGGUCUUGGGCUGAGCUGAAAGCCCGGUUCAUCCAAAACUUCAAGGAUACAUGUAGGCAGUCUAUGUCAAUUGUGGAUUUGACUAACUGUAAGCAGCAGGAGGGUGAAUCUACGACGCAUUGGGUUCGCCGGGUCAAAGAGAUCAUACAUUCAUCAGAUAAGAUGGAUGCCGGCUCUGCAGUCUUGAUAUUGGAGCAGAAUUGUCAUUUCGUGCCCCUGAAGAUGAAACUCGGGCGGCUUAAGCGCGACUGCAAUGAUAUGGGUACACUGAUGGCGGCUCUUGUCAAGUACGCUGAUUCUGAUGGUACCAAGGACCCCGCUUCAGAUGAUGAAAGGACAGGGAAGGGAAAGAAGAACGACAAUGGCAAGGGUCCUCAGCACAACCCGGGGAGCCAAGGAGGUGGCAAGCGCAAGGCCGAUGGCAGCCUAGAGUUCGUAGCCAAUGCCAGCUCACAGGGUAAUAACCAGCGACGCAAGGGGAGGCCCCCUCCCCGAGCCGGCGGGUCAGGCCCGACGCUGGAGCAGCUGUUGAAUGAGCCUUGUCCAAGGCAUGGUUCUAGAGAGAAGCCAGCUACUCAUCUAUGGAAGGAUUGUGCAAUCAUGAAGGCCUUUAAGAAUUCCAACGCCUUUAACGGCAACAAUGGCCCGGGCGGUGGCUCAGGCGCCGGCGGCUUUCAUGGCCCGGGCGGCGGCUCAAAUUCUAAUCCUCAGAACGGUCAAGGGGGCUUUAAUCAACAGUCUGGCCAGGGUCAUCAACAGCAGCAGGGGGGUUAUCAGACCAAUCCAAAGCAGCUUAGCGGUGGACAGUAUCAUGUGUUUACCACCAGUCUGUGUAAGCGAGAUCAGAAGCUUCACAAGAGGGCUGUGAAUGCUGUUGAGCCGGCAGUUCCGCGCUACUUGCGAUGGUCUGAGCAGCCUAUAGUGUGGAGUAGGGAGGAUCACCCUCCCCGGGUGGAUAAUCCGGGUCACUUGGCCUUGGUGGUGGCUCCUCAGGUGGGAGGAUAUAAGUUCACUAAAGUGCUCAUGGAUGGAGGCAGCAGCAUCAACAUCCUCUAUUAUGAGACUUUCCGUCGUAUGGGGUUGAUUGAUAAGAACCUCAGCCCGUCAAACACUAUUUUCCAUGGUGUAGUACCUGGUAAGUCGGCUUAUCCAGUCGGCAAGAUCGAGUUGGAAGUGGCCUUUGGAGAUGAGCACAACAACAGGGUGGAAAAAUUGACCUUUGAGGUGGUCAAGAUAAGAAGUCCGUACCAUGCCAUAUUUGGGCGGCCGGCUUACGCCAAGUUCAUGGCACGGCCGUGUUACGUGUAUUUACAGCUCAAGAUGCCGGGUCAUAAUGGGACCAUUACGGUUCACGGCAGCCGGAAGGUGGCCCUGGAGUGUGAGGAAGGCGAUGCAGCUUAUGCAGAAUCUGUUUGCGCAACAGAGGAGUUGAAGUUUUACAAAGACAACGUUGACCCAACAGAUAUGACCUCUCUGAAAAAGCCGACUACGGAGCAUGAGCCGGCAAUGAAAUUUAAGUCGGCUGAUGAGACUAAACUUGUUGAUUUCGUUCUAGGAGAUUCAUCUCAGCAGUUUAGCAUCAGUGCCAAUCUGGAUCCAAAAUAGGAAAGCGCGCUCAUCGAGUUCAUCCGUGAGAAUAGGGACAUUUUUGCAUGGAAGCCGUCUGACAUGCCAGGUGUACCUAGAGAACUCGCUGAGCACACUCUCAAUGUUGAUCCGAAAUAUAAGCCGGUCAGGCUGUUCCUUCGGCGGUUUAAUGAAGAGAGGCGGAAAGCUAUUGGUGAAGAGGUGGCCCGGCUCUUGGCGGCCGGGUUUAUUGUUGAAGUUUUUCACCCAGAAUGGUUGGCUAACCCGGUGCUCGUACUCAAGAAGAACGGCACCUGGCGGAUGUGUGUGGACUACACGGACUUGAAAAAGGCGUGUCCGGCUGAUCCUUUCGCCCUUCCCCGUAUUGAUCAAAUUAUUGAUGCUACGGCGGGUUGUGAGCGCCUAAGUUUCUUCGAUGCUUAUUCUGGAUAUCAUCAGAUUAAAAUGACAGUUAAGGACCAGGAGAAGACGGCGUUCAUCACUCCCUUUGGAGCCUUUUGCUAUGUGUCUAUGCCCUUUGGACUCAAGAGUGCACAGGCGACUUAUCAGCGUUGCGUGCAGAACUGUCUUCAUAACCAGAUUGGGCGCAAUGUUCAUGCUUAUGUGGAUGAUAUUGUGGUUAAAUCCAGGAAGGAGGAAACCCUGAUAGAUGAUCUGAGGGAAACCUUUGAUAAUCUCCGGGUCUACAAGAUGAUGCUUAACCCGGCCAAGUGUGUUUUUGGUGUUCCUGCAGGCAAGCUCUUGGGUUUCUUGGUUUCUAACAGAGGCAUUGAAGCUAACCCGGAGAAGAUCAAGGCCAUCACCUCCCUGGCUAAUCCGGCGUGUAUAAACGAUGUCCAGCGCCUGGCGGGUCGUAUUGCUGCUUUAAGCCGUUUUAUAAGCCGUUUGGGGGAGAAGGCUAUGCCAUUAUAUCAGUUGAUGAAGAAAACUGAUGACUUUGUCUGGAAUGAUGCAGCUAAUACUGCUUUUGAGGAUUUGAAGAGACAGCUGGCUGAGCCCCCAGUCCUUGCUGCCCCGGUUGACAAGGAGCCUUUAUUGCUGUAUGUGGCUGCUAACACACGAGCCGUCAGUGUGGCCGUGGUGGUGGAGCGCAAGGAAGAGGGUAAGGAGCAUCCGGUUCAGCGGCCGGUUUAUUACGUCAGUGAAGUGCUCAUCGAGUCCAAACAGCGGUAUCCACAUUGGCAGAAGCUUGUUUAUGGUGUGUUCAUGGCGAGCCGGAAGCUUAAGCAUUAUUUUCAGGGUCACCCCAUCACUGUGGUCAGUUCUGCCCCCCUUGGAGAUAUCAUUAAAAACAGGGAGGCCACAGGGAGAGUGGCUAAGUGGGCUAUAGAGCUCGGGCCUCAUGGUCUGAAGUAUGUGCCACGCACUGCUGUUAAAUCUCAGGCUUUGGUGGAUUUCAUCAAUGAUUGGACAGAGCUACAAGUGCCCGAACAGAAGCCGAAUAACACAUAUUGGACUAUUCACUUUGAUGGAUCCAGGCAGUUGGAGGGCUCGGGGGCUGGAGUCGUAUUGGCUUCCCCUAAGGGUGACAAGUUCCAUUAUGUGCUACAAUUGAUGUUUCCUUGUACCAACAACGCAGCAGAGUACGAGGCCUUGCUCCAUGGUCUUUGGAUGGCUAAGGAGAUGAGCUUGAGCCGGGUAAGGUGCUUCGGCGACUCAGACUUGGUGGCUCAACAAGUAUCAGGAAAGUGGGACUCCAAGGACCCUCUCAUGGCGGCUUAUCGCCGCGAAGUUGAUGCCAUUGCUGGGCACUUUCAGGGUUACCAAGUAGAGCACAUCGAUCGCAGGAAGAACGAGGCGGCUGAUGCUUUAAGCUGGCUGGGCUCUCAGCGAAGACCGGUGCCGCCUAAUACUUUUCUGGAUGUCCUGUAUAACCCUUCUGUUAAGUUGCCUACAGAGGAAGACUUGGCUGUCCCUGACCCGGAGGCACGACUGGUGGCGGCUCUCCACAUCAUACCAGACUGGACAGUGCCCUAUUUGGCUUACAUGACCCGGGGAGAUUUGCCUGAGGAUGAAACUUUGGCCAGACAAAUAACCCGGCGGUCUAAGUCAAUGAUUGUUAUCAAUGGUGAGUUGCAUCGCCGCAGUGUUACGGGAGCGUUCCAGCGUUGUGUCUCCCCUGAGGAAGGUCAAGAGAUCUUGCGUGAGAUUCAUGAAGGGGAUUGUGGCCAUCACGCCGGCUCAAAGUCUCUUGUGGCCAAGGCUUUUCGUCAUGGUUUUUAUUGGCUGACGGCUCAUGCUGAUGCGGAGGACUUGGUCAGUAAAUGUGAUGGUUGCCAAAGGUUCUCACGACGGGCUCAUGUGCCGGCUCAGGAGCUGAGGAUGAUCCCAAUUACUUGGCCCUUUGCGGUCUGGGGGCUUGAUAUGGUUGGACCUUUUAAAAGGUCCAAGGAUAAGAAGACCCACCUCUUGGUGGCAGUUGACAAAUUUACCAAGUGGGUUGAAGCGGAGCCAGUUAGCAAGUGUGAUGCAGCCACGGCAGUUCAGUUUAUGAAAAAGGUGAUCUUUCGCUUUGGUUUUCCACACAGCAUUAUAACUGACAAUGGUACCAAUUUAUCCAAAGGCGCCAUGGAGGAGUUUUGUCAACGAGAGCACAUUAGACUUGAUGUUUCAUCAGUGGCUCACCCUCAGUCCAAUGGUCAAGCUGAGAGGGCUAAUCAGGAGAUUCUGAAAGGCAUCAAACCCCGGCUUUUGGUCCCUUUACAACGUACGCCGGGUUGUUGGGUGGAGGAGUUGCCCUCCGUGUUAUGGAGCAUCAACACUACUCCUAACAGGUCUACAGGUUUCACGCCUUUCUUCAUGGUUUAUGGGGCAGAAGCAGUCCUCCCCAGUGACAUCCGUCAUGACUCGCCUCGAGUGGCGGCUUAUGUUGAGGCGGAUAAUGAACAGGCGCGCCAAGAUGCUCUUGACUUGUUGGACGAACAGCGUGAUGUGGCAGCAGCUCGCUCAGCGAUUUACCAACAAGACCUGCGCCGUUAUCAUAGUCGCCGGGUUAAAUCCCGGGUCUUCCAGGAAGGUGAUCUGGUGCUCCGGCUCAUCCAAGAUCAAACAGAUGCGCACAAGCUAUCCCCGCCUUGGGAAGGGCCCUUUGUGGUCAGCAAGAAUUUGCACAACGGGUCAUAUUACCUCAUUGACAUUCGGGAGCACAAAGAUUCACGUAAGUCGGAGGAAGAGACCCGUCGGCCGUGGAAUAUAGCUCAGCUUCGGCCUUAUUACACUUGAGCCACCGGCUCUCAUAAUGUACAUAUUUCUCUAAGCCAUGUAUAUAUUAUGAUAAGCAAUAAAACAGGACCUCUGUCCUUUUUUCUCCUACAAGUGUGAACGUGUUGUUUCCAUGGCAAGAUCACAUAAUAACUUGAAGGAGGAUCCGGCGUAUGAUCGUAUUCGAAUCUAGCCAUAGGUAAUAAGGUCACUUGGGGGCUUCCUGUUCAAACAUAGGUCGUAUUCGAACCAAAGAGAACAUAGCUGUCGGUACCCUCUUGAUUGGCAUCGCCACACCCACUGGGGGCUAUAUGAUCGUAUUCGAAUCCUAGCAUAACCCCUUUGGGACGGGUCUCUGGUCGUAUUUGAACUGAAAGCCCCUAAGUUUUUCUGAUUUAUAGCGAGUUCUUCUGAUUAUUUCAAGUAUGCACGGCCGGGUCUCACUUUGCCGGCUUAACUUUGAUUUACAGUGCUAGUCGAACACAAUUGGCGUUAUUAAGACUGGUAAACCGGAAUUGAGGUACCAACCUUAUUACCCAGGUUAUCUAAGCCAGAAGUGUGCUUGCAGGCCGAUAAGUGUGUUAUUACGGCUAUAUUAAGGACAUAAUUGAGGACCAGUCUUUUUUGAUUCAUAUUCCGGGUUAUAUAUCUAAAACUAUGAUUCUCAGUGCGGUAAGCCGCCUAGAGACUUGUGAUUUGUCCUUCUAUGCAGGAUAGUUAAAGGCAACUAUUUGAGCUUAAGGAAAAUGAAUGAUCGAUUAUGACCCGGAGACAUAUAAGGAAGCAACUUUCAUAAGAAUUCAGCAUUCAACACGUGCACGAUGGCACGGCACAGUUAAAGUGUUGAUCCUAUUCUAUUACAAGACUCAUUGAGUCCAAAAGGGUGAAGCAUUGUUUCACAUAAACCGUCUACGGAGUUACGACGCUUGCUGGGUUGAAGUCUCCGGCUCAUCCCUCUCCUCUUCUCUGGCUGUUCCCAAGACCUGGAAAGUUGACGACUUCCAGUCAAUGCCGCUCAGAGCUUCAAGUUGAGCUUCCUAGUCAAUUAACCCGGCCGGGUCAAUCUCCGGGGCGAAGGUGUGCUUACGAGUCGGCGGGACUAAGCUGAGGGCUUCAUAGCGCGGAGUGGGGAUCCUCUGAUUCUCUGCGUCGUAACCCGGCUGGUACUUAGUCAGAUCUGUAUCAUUGCCAAUCAGAGUGGCCACCGGGCGUACGAUCUUCACGCAGGCUGCGAAGUCCUUUUGGUUGAAGGCGGUGCCGUCCUCCUUCAAACUGGGGUAGCCCAGAGCGAUGUCCGCCGGGUCUAGUUCUGGAAGGAACGCCUUCGCUUGGCUUAGAGCAGCUAUGGCUCUGGCUCUUGCAGAGGCCCGUCGCAGCUCUUGGAUGUGUUGAGGAAGAAUGGCGAGCCGGCGAAGAACUUCCGCCAGGUGAGUCGGCACCUCAUUGGAUAGGGCCACCACAGCCAAAGCACGCUGUGACCCGGUGUAGAGUUGCUCCACCAGGGUGUACACGGCCUUCAACUUGGUUACCACACUUUGGUUGAGGUUGGCGCUUUUGGGACCUGUUUAACAGAAUAAGAUAAGCCGCCGACAAGGAUGAGUUAUGAGAUAUAAAGAUUAUAAACUUGAUGAAAGCCGGUGAAAUGACUUACCGAAGAUUGCGGCAACCAUCUGGGACACCUGGCGCUUUAAGCCGGAGAGUUCGGCGGUCUUCUCUGACAGAGCCUUCUCCGCCUAUUCGGCCCGGUUCACCAGAGUAGCCUUCUCUUCGGCCCAGGCUCUCCGUUCAGCGUCAAAGUCCGUCUUCAGCUUUUCUUGCGCAGCAAUACUGGACACAAAUUUGGCAUUGGCCUUCCGGGUCUCGGUUUCUUGCGUCUUCAGACGGGUCUUGAGAUCGGAGAUGUCAGCUUCAAACUUCUUGCCAGCAGCUUGCAUAGUUUCCGGGUUAUAGCAUGAACAGUUACUAUGCAAAUUUAAAGUCCCAAGCGUUUUCCAAGCAAAGACACUUGGCACUUGGGGGCUAAUGCAUAUCGAACGUUCCUAUCUACAAAUUACCGGUUCAUGGAAGUAAGCCGGAACUUAAGUCUACAACAUAUUCAAUCAUAAGUCGUCGACUUGGGGGCUAGCAUGGUAAAGGUAACUAUGCAGUAAGUAAGAAGACAGAAGAGUGAUACCUCAGACUUCUGUUGAAUCUGGUUCACCAUGGCAAUCUCUAAGUCCCGGCUCUUGUGCACCUGGCUGACAUAGCCGGAGAUGAUCUCUCCGAUGCUCAGAUUGGCAUAAUCGGUGAGGUCCAGAUUGGCCCGGUGGCGCCCUAGCAACUCCUCCUUAGCGGAGCACUUGGCCAGUGCAGUAGGUCUCCCCGGCUCAACAAAUUCUGUCCGGGUGAUUACCACAUCCGGGUCAUCUGCCGGCUGAGCCGAGCUGGAGGCCUCCGGGUUAGCAGAAGUUUCUGCAAUUGGCUUGUCGGUUGGAGCAGUGGCUUCAGGAGCAGGGGCAGCUGGCGGUUCUUGAGCAGCUACCUCUGGUCCAGGCAUGUCCGGCUUUUCGACCGGCUUAUUCUUCUUUGCCCUUUUGCUGAGUUUUGCCUGGGCACUGAAAAGACAAAAAGGUUAAGCACAAAAGUGUAAGUAAAGAUAAGUACAGCAUGAGAAGAUCGUCGUUACCCGGGCACGGUCUUGAAAGCCGGCAGGUUUGACUGCAUAGAGUCGCCAGAAGAGGGGGAAGUUUCCUGAUAAUUUGAGUCAGAAGAAUUGAGCGGUUGACGUAUAACACCCGCCAAAGGAUGAAAAGGGUACAAGUUGGAGAUAACCUCAGUUCGGCGUUUCCUCGAUGCGUCAGGUAACCCGGAGGAGAGGUCAGUGUCCUUGUUGGUCCGGGUGUGCCGCCGGCUCUCAUGAACCCGUCGCUUCAAAAUAAAUUGAGGAUCUUGAUAAGCUAAAGGAUGUGAAAAGCUUACUUUCCGGGUUACCCUUCGGAUUUUCAGCCUUGGCAAGGGCUCCGAGUCGGAGGAAAGUAUCAUUACCUCUUCAACCACCGGGUUACUUGCUCCGGUGUCAUCCUAUUGAUGAACAAGUAUUCAUAAGGUGAACAGAAAUAAACAACAAAUAUAACAAGAGCUUACAGGCUCAGGGGUUACCUCUGACUCGGAGUUGUCGCUUAGUUGCAUCAGCUCAGAAGCAGUAGGCCUACUUCCCUUCUUGCGAGGGGCGGCUCUCUUGGCGGCUUUCUUUGCUUUCCUGGCCUUCUUGGCCGCCUCAUGGUCAUAUUUGACCUUCCAGAAUUUGUCAUCAGCCUGAAAAAUACAAGGAUGAUUUCUUAAAGAUUCAGAUGACGGUUAUCUACAGAAGAAGAUAAGAUGUUCAGAUCAGCGGCUUACUGCUGGGGCUGGGUUGGUCUUGCAGAAGGGGGCUAACCCGGUCCUCCCGCAGUCUGCCAGGCUCUCGUUCAAGAGAGCCUUGGUCAUGUCCUUAGCAACAUCUUCAAGAAGAUCGUUGCGGCUGUGUCUCAGGGGGUCAUCCUUUCGGCCCGUGUACUCGCACAUUAAGCCGGGGCGGCGGCUCAAUGGGAUCACCCACCAGGAGAUCCAGACUCGGACCAGGUCAAUUCCAUUGAGACCAUUGCCCAGGAGAGCCUUGAUCUUGUUGAUGGUGGGGAGCAGAGGUUGGCGCUCCGCCCGAGUUAACUUGUCAGACAGAGGGUGAGUUGGCUCCAGACGUGAAGGGCGAAAGCCGGGCAGCGGGCUCUCGUCAGCCGGCGACGUGUCUUGGCAAUAGAACCACGUCUGGUUCCAGUCCUUUGGGUGACUCGGCGGCUCGGCGUAAGGGAAAAGGCAGUCUCUCCCUCGCUGAAUGGAGAUUCCGCCAAGUUCCAAACCUGGCCCGUUGGCGCACUCGUUCUGGCGGUUCAGGUAGAAGAGCUCUCUGAAGAGUAGCAGGCUGGGCUCUUCUCCAAGAUAAACCUCGCAGAACACUUGGAAAUUGCAUAUGUUGGACACCGAGUUGGGUCCUAUAUCUUGUGGCCGCAGGUCAAAUAAAUUCAGUACAUCCCUGAAAAACUUUGAGCCGGGCGGUGCGAAGCCCCGGCUCAUGUGAUCCGCAAAAACCACUACCUCCCCGUCCUUUGGCUGUGGUCUCUCCUCUGACGGGUCAGGGGCACGGUAGGACAUGACGUCCUUCUUAGGCAGGUAACCUGACUUGACAAAAUCUGCUAAAGUCUCGUCGGUGACAUUGGACCUCAUCCAAUUGCAAGUGAUGGAUGCUUUAGGAGCUUUGGGAGGCAUGGUGAAAGUCGGCAGCCUAUGAUAAAAGGAAACGUCCGGUUUAAUUAUAAGCCGGAGGAAAUUUACAGUUCAAUGUUAAAGUGGCGGCUUAUGGAGGGGACUAAUGACAUAUAUCUAGGUGCAUCGGGUUAUUUAAGCCGCCCGCGGUAUUGAGAGUAAUUCGAUUGUCUACGGCCUUAUCACAGAUGAGCCGGAAAAUUCUAUGGCGCAUGGCCUCCUUUGAGCCGGAAGGUCUUACGGCGCGUGAUUUCUUUGAGCCAGAAAUGUAAGCCGCCUUAGCUCAGCAGAAGCAGUUUUUUACUAAGUAUGGUGAAAACAAGUUUCACAGAUCGCAGUGAAAAUUUCGGAUCAAAAUGGUCGACUAAAGGGAAAAAUUUCUAGACCUAAAGCAGACGCAGGAGAAGUUCGCAGGCUCAAACAGGGACUCUAUGCAGUAAAAAGAGAUCUACUUGCAUUUGAAAUGGGUGCCAAAUAGCUACCGCAGCAGGUCUAUACAGGUCUAAGAUCAAGAAGGGCAGUAAAAAUAAAAACUACCAGGAGCUCGUGGGCGACGGCGAAGAACACGGACGAACAGGACGAACCCUACUGCAGAUCUGUUUUACGGGGUAGCCAGGACUUACAGGUGCUGGUGAGUCGCGGAGGUCGCCGCCGUUUUCUCUGGACACAACAGGUUGAUGCAGCGGCCGGAGUUGGUGAGGAGGAGGAGACCCGCGGCGGCGACAACAACAGAGCUCGAGCGGAGGAACAGUGGCGCGAGGAGGAAGACGAGUGGCCGAAGGCCCGUCGGGCCGGGCUAUUUAUAAGGGCGAGCUCAUAAGUGGGCGCGAGAAACGAGGAGGCUGCGGCGCGGUUAUCUCAUCAUAAAACGCCUCGAUUUUCGGGAUGGCAGUAAAGAUAAGAUCCGUUGCGGAUCUGGUGGAGUAAAAAAUGGGCUUAAUGGAAGAUGACGUCACGGCGGAUUACCCGGAGUCCAGAGGAUGACGUCACGCCGGGUUAUGGCCUUUCACACAAUUGUAAGCCGGAGAUUUUCUGUCGAAAGAAUUGAAGAUUGACAUGAGCCGGCUCAAAUCAAUCUGGGGCCUAAUGUUGAGGAUAUAGACCUUAGAGUCACCCGCCAGAAGGGGCCGGGUUACUCCUAAUGGUCAUCGCCAGAAGCCCGGCGCCAAGCUUGAAGACGGUGGGCCAAAGAUGGGCUUAAGACCCGGAUAUGGCUUAAGGCCCGUAGUUACAAUCAUCAUUAUGGUAGAACUUGUAGUGUAAGGCAAGAAUAGUUGAGAGUCCGAGCCGGACACUCUUAUGAGCCGGCCGGGACUCUGAGAGCUGCUGGGCGUCAGCCUCCCUAUAUAAAGGGAUGACCCGGCAGCAGUUUAGGGACAAGAAAGAUCUCAACGAGAGCCGGGCAUAGCAAUUAAGCUCCCUGGUCAUCGAAACCCUAAUCAAUACCACCUCAACUGGACGUAGGCUUUUACCUUCACCGUAAGGGGCUGAACCAGUAUAAACCCUCGUGUUCCUUGUCCCGUUAACCCCUUCAAGCUUCCUAGCGGCGAUGGCUCCACGACUAAGUCCUAGCUUGAGGACAUCUGCCGUGACAAUUCCACGACACCAGGUUUACCUAGACGGAGUGACUUACUUAAAAAAGGCAGGCUAACCAGGGGUUUUAGGUGUAUACACCAGGCUUCCAAGCCGUGGCUUGAUAGCUGUGUAGAUUCUUUGCUCAUUUUCGAUAGCAAAGAGUCCCCAAGCAAUAUUUUGAGCUGUGCUUAGUGGGUGCCUAUGUUUGAGUUGUUCUUUUGCAACACUCUCUUUGGCCCCUAAGAAGUUUUUCUGGUGUAGCUAUGCUUCGGACACGACCAAGCCCCCAAGUGAAUUUCCUGGUGGCCUUGCACCGAUCAAGAGGUGUAGCUAUGGUUCGAAUACGACCAAGCCCCCAAGUGUUUUGUAAGAGUGGCAUGUAAGCCGGAUUGAAGGGUAAUCAUAGGUUCACUUCAAUAAGCCGGGAGCCCCCAUGUGAUCAAUAAUAUGAUAAGCCAAUAAGGCAGGAUACCCAUGUUUGAACCGCGCAUCAUGGCAACAGGUCCUCUUCGGCAGCCUUUAACUUUUUGCAAGAGAUAAAUUCUUCUUGAACUGGAUUUGUUCAGCGCUGUGUGGGAGACGAGAUUUCCCUUAAACCGGAAGCAUCAUUGUGAGCCGGAAUAUUUCUGACGGCCUUUAAAUUUUCAUCAAUAUAACAAUAGCCUCCGGGACCGGGUUAUCUUUCCCUUCAACAUCCUGGGGCACUUGAAUUUGCUGAAAUUGGCAAGACUUGCUGAGUCAUAUCAUCGUAGCCCCCGAGUCUUAAGAUGACUCAAGGAGUUGUCUUGAGAUUCUCCGUACUUUGACCAUAGCAGAAGGUAUAUAUCAUUGGUGUUGAGAACGCGAUGUAAAUCCACAGAAGGUUGAGGUGACUGCGGCGGGUUAUAAAUGAUCCCGUAUGAGCCGUGUCAGCAACUCGGCCAAUGGUUCCUUCCAACUAGCUGUUUGAAGUUAACCAAACUGUAGUGGCAGCGAUUUGUGCGCAUGUCCAUUGAGCCAUCCAGUGCAGACGGCGGCUGAAUGAUAAUUUGCCUCCAAUUUGUUGGAAGAAAACCGGGCUACCCAAGCAGUGACUUGCUCAUACUCAAUAAAUAACUCAUGCAGACAGGUGCGGCCCGGUGUGUCGAUGUAGACCGGGCCGCGAGAGACGAACGAAAAAGACGAUCGUAAGCAUUAGAGGCGGCUCGAAAAGAUCAAUCGGCCAUGGCGUUGUAAGCCAGCGUGGUCAGGUGAGGCAAUUGCAGGCACGGUCCCGAUGAGUCGAAGUAGUCCGGGCCGCAGGGGUGGCGUCUUGCGCCUACUUGUUCAAUGGCAAGCCGGUGCGGACACCGGUGCUUGAUGAUGCUAACGUAUACUCCAUAGGCACAGCAUGGCACCACCUUGAUAAUGAAUCAUUGUCCUACACAUAAAAAUAUACAGACCAAGGUAACUGUUCUUCGAAGAAUUAAAUAUGCACCGAAAAAACAAAUAAGGCAAAUAUCACCUCGUAUAUUUGGAUGCUAGGUGAUUUCCAUGUGAUGAAACAUCUGUAUGGCGGGCCUUUUCGUCGAGCAUAAGCCCUGACAAUUUUGGUUGGUAGCUUGGCACAGUACCAUUGUUUGCACCACCACCCGUGUCCAUAUAUGCUGGACUAUAAACUGCCGAGCCUCUGUAAUCUAUAGGGGAAAAACAACCGGGCCACCAGGUUGUCACUACUGCUAGUGCUGCUUUUAUUUUCCGUUCUCCAACGAAUACAAGCGCAUGGGAGGAAACAGGGCCAGUUCGCAGCAAGGGAGCAUCUUGCAGGUGUGUGAGUAGCCGGGUCGGCGUUCAGCCGCGGCGGAAACUGAGCUUCAUAGAAACAUCCGGGCUAGACAUCGGCAAUGGGUACCAAACCCAGAACACAGCACACCGGCAAUCUUCAGCUAACACUUCCACUCCUUUUGCGUGAUCAGGAACACCAUUGAUUUCAGUUCCAGGAUUUAUCCCCACAAGACCAUCACCAAGUAAAAAAUGUCCAAUGCUGGUAACUGACGAAGAACUUGGAUAUGGCAUUAAACGUCAAGAUGCGGUCGUAGCAGACCUGACCAAAGGUUGUUGAGAAAAACUUGGUGGAAAACGUGAAGACCGGUAAGUGCUGUAGGUCUCCAUAAAGCGACACCGAGGCUGGCGAUUCGCGGCAAGGGCGGCUGACUCUGAUAAACCGGAUGGCUCUCCAACAGCAGUUCCCCGCAAGGCGAUUCAGCACGGCUCCCCACAGCGACUUAACACCAAGGCUAGUGACUCGGAGUGGAGUUGCACGGUGGCGGCUUAGUAGUUUUAGACGCGACUCAGAGUGAGGCCGCUCCGGCGAGGUUGGCACAAGGCGGCAGAAGACCGGCAACUUGGAGGUGUCUCUGAGCAAUAGCCGCGUGACGCUGUGGUGGUUUGAGAGCGAUGCCGCGGCGGCCUGUAGUGGUGACUCAAGGCCGCGGUGGGCAGUGGCGGUUCGUGGUGGUCGGCAGCGGCUCGAGGUGGAGGAGUUCCACAGCGGCUACUCAAACAUGCGUGGGUGUGGCCACGGCAGGACGAGCAUGAAACGGCUCAGAGGCAGGGCGGUCUUGUGGCAGGGAUGGAAGCGCUCAGGCCACGCCGCAAUACGGGAGCAGCAGGAAAAGCACAAGACAACAUGGUGACUUAGCAACAAGGGCCAUAGCAACUCGGCGCCCGACAGCGGCUCGCAGGUGCGUUGAUGCAGUUCUCGGUUGACUCGGGGGUGUAGCGGCUCGAGCGUGGCCAGCGGGCAGCAGGCCGGCGACUCGAAAUGGGGGCUCAGCGAGGCCAGCCCGUGGUAGAGUGAAGCGGACCGCGGCCAUGGCGGAACUAGGUUGACCAGGGGCGGCUCAAUGGCGUGUUUGGCAGGGGACGGACCGGCGACUCGGAGUCUCGGGGCCGACCAAAGCAGAGGCGGCGGUCUGGCGGUGGAACGACGCGGAGGCGAAACAACGAGACGGCGGCGACCCAGCGCGGUGCGACGAGGUGACGUCACAGACCGUCGGCAGGGGCAGCUCGAAGGAACAGCAACGAGGUAAGCCGGCAAUGGCAGGGGAUGAAUCUGACUCUGAUAAGGCAGCGGCUGUGCAGUGCGGUUUAACACAGUCGGCCACGGGGAAAAUUGAAAAGGUGCCCGCAUAGAAUGAGCCGGCAUGUUCUCCUUUAAGCAUCGCGAUGGUGACUCGGAGCAGACUCUGGCGGGUUGAAGAGCGGGGCGGCUCAGAUGCAGGGAUUCGGCGAUUAAUGAUUCAGGCGGCUCUACGCGUCAGCGACAGCCCAAGACAGCACCUGGCAGGGGUGGCUCGAAGGGGCGGCUCGAUGGAGACGGGUCAAACGACAUGCUGCCUGCGAUCCCGCGCGGUGGCCGAACUGGUAUCCGGCUCUGGCCGGCGGAGGUGGAGGCGAGCGGAGGUGCCUGCAGCAACUGGAACAGGCGGGUCGCGGUCUUCACGGCGGAGGGGCUCGGUCGAUGCGAGACGGAGUCCACGUGCGGGCGGCUCUCAGCCGGGAGUAAGCCAGACUGGAGUGGAGAUAGCCGACGGAUUGGAAGCCGAAGGCGGAGCGAGUCACAGCAGCGGGGCGCGCCGACGAAGGGAAACCAUACCGUCGCCGUACCCUCUUCCGGGUCGUCGUGGCUCAGAACCCAGCGAGGCGAUUUUGGAGGCGGUGACUCGAAUCAGAGCGGCGGGUCAUGGCGAUGACGGCGGGUCAACGGGGCGUUAAUCCGUCCUGCUGUGUGGCGGUUCAAUGAUGGAGACGAGGCGUGGCCGGUUUGAAGUAGCGGUCCGUGCCGCGGUCCCGGGGCGGACGGCGUCCCUCUGGUGAAGGUCUCAGGGUUGACUCGGACUCGGCGAGUUAUGUUUGUUUGAAGACAAAAAACCUCCUCUAGAUAUUAAUGACUUCGGACAAUCCACGUCCGGGUUGUGAUGGUGUUUCACUUGAACACUGUACACUUAAAAAAUUCCUCUUGACACUUCGGGCGUUCUGGCGACUUACCAGAAUAAGCUUUUGUCUUAACCUUUGUUCCCGGCGUUUACCCCAAAACCGAUCUGGCACAUAGCCCGACUGGUUAAUGCCUGUUGGUCUUGCGAUGUGUGGCAGCAACAGUAAAAUUUAAUCUCUUCUUGGAUCCGGUUCGCAAAGGCGACGGUUUGCCAUGUAGCCCUAAUUUUUGCUUAACCUUUAAUCUCACUGAUCAUAAGUCUGGUCCGAUAAACUUGAAGCUGACGCAGAUUCUUUCAAACUGGCUUUUCUUUCUCCGAAAAAUUGUGACCUCUCAAUCCUUAUGAUAGGUCCCUCCAAAAACUCAACACCACCGUGCGCAGCCCCACGGUGGGCGCCAACUGUCGUGGAAUUGUCACGUCAGAUGUCCUAGUGUGAGGACUUAGUCGUGAGGCCAACGCAUCAAUAUGGUAGCUUGAGAGGGGUUGAUCGGAAUCGAGAGGCGCAACGCAAGACAAGGGUUUAGACAGAUUCGGGCCCCGGGAAACAUCAUCCGGUAACAACCCUACAUGCUGUUUGAGGCUAGGUCUCACUAUCAUCAUGAGGGAGUCGCCGUAAACCGGCUCUCCCAGUUAUGUCUAGCCCUAAGAUUGUUUUCCUCCCCUCUUGGGGUGCCCUGCCCCUCCUUGUAUAUGUUGAAGGGGCGGGUUACAUGUAGAGUCCAACUCGGACUUAAGACUUAACUAUUCUGACUUCUCUUCAUGGGCUUCUUAACAUCUUGGGCUUCAUAACGUCUCGGGCUUCAUAACCCCUGGCAACCCAGUUAUCACUGUCUUUUGGGUUAUGAUUGGUGCCGGUUUAUGAUGGUCUGCCGGUUUAUGAUGGUCUGCCGGUUUAUGAUUGUCCGCUGAGUUAUCAUCUGACUUAACUCCUGCCGGGUUAUCAUCUGACUUAACUCCUGCCGGGUUAUCAUCUGACUUAACUCCUGCCGGGUUAUCAUCUGACUUAACUCCUGCCAGGUUAUCACUCCGGCCGGGUCAUACCGCGGGGUAUAUCCCCAACAAAAAGGGUAAAGGGAAGAAGGGGAACUUCAAGAAGAACGGCAAGCAAGUUGCUGCUCAAGUGAAGAAGCCCAAGUCUGGACCUAAGCCUGAGACUGAGUGCUUCUACUGCAAAGGGACUGGUCACUGGAAGUGGGACUGCCCCAAGUAUUUGGCGGAUAAGAAGGAUGACAAGGUGAACAAAGGUAUAUGUCAUAUACAUGUUAUUGAUGUGUACCUUACUAAUGCUCGCAGUAGUACCUGGGUAUUUGAUACUGGUUCUGUUGCUAAUAUUUGCAACUCGAAAUAGGGGCUACGGAUUAAGCGAAGAUUGGCUAAGGACGAGGUGAUGAUGCGCGUGGGAAAUGGUUCCAAAGUCGAUGUGAUCGCGGUCGGCACGCUACCUCUACAUCUACCUUCGGGAUUAGUUUUAGACCUGAAUAAUUGUUAUUUGGUGCCAGCAUUAAGCAUGAACAUUAUAUCUGGAUCUUGUUUGAUGCGAGAUGGUUAUUCAUUUAAAUCCGAGAAUAAUGGUUGUUCUAUUUAUAUGAGUAAUAUCUUUUAUGGUCAUGCACCCUUGAAGAGUGGUCUAUUUUUGUUGAAUCGCGAUAGUAGUGACACACAUAUUCAUAAUAUUGAAGCCAGAAGAUGCAGAGUAGAUAAUGAUAGUGCAACUUAUUUGUGGCAUUGCCGUUUGGGUCAUAUUGGUAUAAAGCGCAUGAAGAAACUCCAUACCGAUGGACUUUUGGAAUCACUUGAUUAUGAAUCACUUGGUACUUGCGAACCAUGCCUCAUAGGCAAGAUGACUAAAACUCCGUUCCCCGGAACAAUGGAGCGAGCAACAGAUUUGUUGGAAAUCAUACAUACUAAUGUAUGUGGUCCGAUGAAUAUUGAAGCUCGCGGCGGGUAUCGUUAUUUUCUGACCUUCACAGAUGAUUUGAGCAGACAUGGGUAUAUCUACUUGAUGAAACAUAAGUCUAAAACAUUUGAAAAGUUCAAAGAAUUUCAGAGUGAAGUGGAAAAUCUUCGUAACAAGAAAAUAAAGUUUCUACAAUCUGAUCAUGGAGGAGAAUAUUUGAGUUACGAGUUUGGUCUUCAUUUGAAACAAUGUGGAAUAGUUUCGCAACUCACGCCACCCGGAACACCACAGCGUAAUGGUGUGUCCGAAUGUUGUAACCGCACUUUAUUAGAUAUGGUGCAAUCUAUGAUGUCUCUUACUAAUUUACAGCUAUUGUUUUGGGGUUAUGCUUUAGAGACGGCUGCAUUCACCUUAAAUUGGGCACCAUCUAAAUCCGUUGAGACGACACCUUAUGAAUUGUGGUUUGGCAAGAAACCCAAGUUGUCGUUUCUGAAAGUUUGGGGCUGCGAUGCUUAUGUGAAAAAGCUUCAACCUGAUAAGCUCCAACCCAAAUCAGAGAAAUGUGUCUUCAUAGGAUACCCAAAGGAGACUGUUGCGUACACCUUCUAUCACAGAUCCGAAGGCAAGAUAUUCGUUGCUAAGAAUGGAUCCUUUCUAGAGAAGGAGUUUCUCUCGAAAGAAGUGAGUGGGAGGAAAGUAGAACUUGAUGAGGUAAUUGUACCUUCUCUCGAAUUGGAAAGUAGUUUAUCACAGAAAUCAGUUCCAGUGAUUCCUACACCAAUUAGUGAAGAAGCUAAUGAUAGUGAUCAUGAAACUUCAGAUCAAGUUACUACUGAACCUCGUAGGUCAACCAGAGUGAGAUCCGCACCAGACUGGUACGGUAAUCCUGUUCUGGACGUCAUGUUACUAGACCAUAACGAACCUACGAACUAUGUGGAAGCAAUGAUGAGCCCAGAUUCCGCAAAAUGGCUUGAGGCCAUGAAAUCUGAGAUGGGAUCCAUGUAUGAGAACAAAGUGUGGACUUUGGUUGACUUGCCCGAUGAUCGACAACCAUCGAGAAUAAAUGGAUCUUCAAGAAGAAGACUGACGCUGACGGUAAUGUUGCGAAAGGUUUUUGACAAGUUCAAGGAGUUGACUACGACGAGACUUUCUCACCCAUAGCGAUGCUUAAGUCUGUCCGAAUCUUGUUAGCAAUUGCCGCAUUUUAUGAUUAUGAAAUUUGGCAAAUGGAUGUCAAAACUGCAUUCCUGAAUGGGUUUCUGGAAGAAUAGUUGUAUGUGAUGCAACCAGAAGGUUUUGUCGAUCCAAAGGAUGCUAACAAAGUGUGCAAGCUCCAGCGAUCCAUUUAUGGACUGGUGCAAGCCUCUCGGAGUUGGAAUAAACAUUUUGAUAGUGUGAUCAAAGCAUAUGGUUUUAUACAGACUUUUGGAGAAGCCUGUAUUUACAAGAAAGUGAGUGGGAGCUCUGUAGCAUUUCUAAUAUUAUAUGUGGAUGACAUAUUGUUGAUUGGAAAUGAUAUAGAAUUUCUGGAUAGCAUAAAAGGAUACUUGAAUAAAAGUUUUUCAAUGAAAGACCUCGGUGAAGCUGCUUAUAUAUUGGGCAUCAAGAUCUAUAGAGAUAGAUCAAGAUGCUUAAUUGGACUUUCACAAAGCACAUACCUUGAUAAGAUUUUGAAGAAGUUCAAAAUGGACCAGUCAAAGAAAGGGUUCUUGCCUGUGUUACAAGGUGUGAAGUUGAGUGAGACUCAAUGCCCGACCACUGCAGAAGAUAGAGAGAAAAUGAAAGUCAUUUCCUAUGCUUCAGCCAUAGGUUCUGCCAUGUAUGCAAUGCUGUGUACCAGACCUGAUGUGUGCCUUGCUAUAAGUAUAGUAGGGAGGUACCAAAGUAAUCCAAGAGUGGAUCACUGGACAGUGGUGAAGAACAUCCUGAAAUACCUGAAAAGGACUAAGGAUAUGUUUCUCGUUUAUAGACAUGACAAAGAGCUUGUUGUAAAUGGUUACGUCGAUGAAAGCUUUGACACUGAUCCGGAUGACUCUAAAUCACAAACCGGAUACGUGUUUAUAUUGAAUGGUGGAGCUGCCAGUUGAUGCAGUUCUAAGCAAAGCGUCGUGGCGGGAUCUACGUGUGAAGCGGAGUACAUAACUGCUUCGGAAGCAGCAAAUGAAGGAGUCUGGAUGAAGGAGUUCAUAUCCGAUCUAGGUGUCAUACCUAGUGCAUCGGGUCCAAUGAAAAUCUUUUGUGACAAUACUGGUGCAAUUGCCUUGGCAAAGGAAUCCAGAUUUCACAAGAGAACCAAGCACAUCAAGAGACGCUUCAAUUCCAUCCGUCAUCAAGUGUCGAAUGGGGACAUAGAGAUUUGCAAGAUACAUACGGAUUUGAAUGUUGCAGACCCAUUGACUAAGCCUCUCUCACGAGCAAAACAUGAUCAACACCAAGACUCCAUGGGUGUUAGAAUCAUUACAAUGUAAUCUAGAUUAUUGACUCUAGUGCAAGUGGGAGACUGAGGAAAUAUGCCCUAGAGGCAAUAAUAAAGUUUUAAUUUAUAUUUACUUAUAUCAUGAUAAAUGUUUAUUAUUCAUGCUAUAAUUGUAUUAACUGGAAACUUAGUACAUGUGUGAAUACAUAGACAAACAGAGUGUCACUAGUAUGCCUCUACUUGACUAGCUCGUUGAAUCAAAGAUGGUUAAGUUACCUAGCCAUAGACAUGAGUUGUCAUUUGAUUAACGGGAUCACAUCAUUAGAGAAUGAUGUGAUUGACUUGACCCAUUCCGUUAGCUUAGCACUUGAUCAUUUAGUUUGUUGCUAUUGCUUUCUUCAUGACUUAUACAUGUUCCUAUGACUAUGAGAUUAUGCAACUCCCGAAUACCGAAGGAACACUUAGUGUGCUAUCAAACGUCACAAUGUAAUUGGGUGAUUAUAAAAAUGCUCUACAGGUGUCUCCGAUGGUGUUUGUUGAGUUGGCAAAGAUCGAGAUUAGGAUUUUUCACUCCGAGUAUCGGAGAGGUAUGUCUGGGCCCUCUCGUUAAUGCACAUCACUAUAAGCCUUGCAAGCAAUGUGACUAAUGAGUUAGUUGCGGGAUGAUGCAUUACGGAAUGAGUAAAGAGACUUGCCGGUAACGAGAUUGAACUAGGUAUUGAGAUACCGACGAUCGAAUCUCGGGCAAGUAACACACCGAUGACAAAGGGAACAACGUAUGUUGUUAUGCGGUUUGACCGAUAAAGAUAUUCAUAGAAUAUGUAGGAACCAAUAUGAGCAUCCAGGUUCCGCUAUUGGUUAUUGACCGGAGAUGAGUCUCGAUCAUGUCUACAUAGUUCUCGAACCCGUAGGGUCCGCACGCUUAACAUUCGGUGACGAUCGAUAUUAUGAGUUUAUGUGUUUUUAUGUACCGAAGGUUGUUCGGAGUCCUGGAUGUGAUCACGGACAUGACGAGGAGUCUUGAAAUGGUCGAGACGUAAAGAUCGAUAUAUUGGAUGGCUAUGUUUGGUCAUCGGAAUGGUUUCGCGUGAGUUCGGGCAUUUACCGGAGUACCGGGAGGUUACCGGAACCCCCCGGGGAGUAUAUGGGCCUUAUUGGGCCUUAGUGGGAGAGAGGAGGAGGCGGAAAAGGUGGGGGCACGCCCCCCAAGCCCAAUACGAAUUGGGGCGGGGGGCCGGCCCCCUUUCCUUCUCCCUCUCUCCUCCUUCCUUCCUCUCCUACUCCAACUAGGGAAGGGGGGAAUCCUACUCCCGGUGGGAGUAGGACUCCCCCUUGGGCGCGACAUAGAGAGGGCCGGCCCUCCCCUCCUCCACUCCUUUAUAUACGGGGGAGGUGGGCACCCCAUAGACACACAAGUUGAUUGUUUAGUCGUGUGCGGUGCCCCCCUCCACAGAUUUCCACCUCGGUCAUAUCGUUGUAGUGCUUAGGCGAAGCCUUGCGUCGGUAACUUCAUCAUCACCGUCAUCACGCCGUCGUGCUGACGAAACUCUCCCUCGACGUCAGCUGGAUCUAGAGUUUGUGGGAUGUCACCGAGCUGAACGUGUGUAGAUCGCGGAGGUGCCGUACGUUCGGUGCUAGGAUCGGUCGGAUCAUGAAGACGUACGACUACAUCAACCGCGUUGUCAUAACGCUUCCGCUUUCGGUCUACAAGGGUAUGUAGACAACACUCUCCCCUCUCAUUGCUAUACAUCACCUAGAUAGAUCUUGCGUGAUCGUAGGAAUUUUUUGAAAUUACUGCGUUCCCCAUCACUUCUUCUUUGGGAUCAACAUCAACUAGAUGGGAAUCCUUGGAGUUGUAGUCGUACUUGAUGAAGUAGAACUUGAUGUGGUCUUGGGAACCCACUUGACCAAGGCCUUGGGAGCUUCUUCAAAUGCAUCAAUCUCCUCUUGAAGCUUGUCCUUGCCUUUUUGCUGUGGUCUUGUGGUGGAAGAUCAUCUUGAGCUUGUGUCCCCUCGAAGGAAGUAGGAUCAUACUUCUCUUUUUGAGGAACAAACUUCAUAUUGGGGUAUUAAUCUUCUUCCCACUCAACUCCAUUGGCAUUGAACUUUCGUUCAAAACCAACACCUUGAUUCUUCUAGCAAGGCUCUUGUAAACACCUUUCUCUAUAAUUCCCUCCAGUAAGCUAUUUUCUUGCUCAAGUGUAACUUGGCUAAGAGAAUCAUUAGUGGAAUCAAGAGAACUACUAGAAGCAACAACAUUGGAUUUAACAUGAUUAUUGUUACUGCUAGAAGAAGAAUCUUGCUUGCUCUUGUUACUAUAUUUUACUUGUGGUAUGUAAGUAGACAAGAGUAAACGCUUGGCAAUGUAAGAAGAACUUUGCUUACGAAGAUCAUCAUUGAUUGCUUUUAAGAACCCAUGCUCUUGCUCUAGAUUGAGCUUUUCAAAGUGUAGCUACUCAUGAGUCUUUAAAAGCUCUCGAUGAUCUUCUAAGGUAGUUUCAUGAGCUAAAUUAAGAGUGUUUAGUUCUUUAUUUAGACGCUCAAUCUCCUUCUUAUCAUCGUCAUUCAUUUUCUCUUGAUUAGCAAGAUUAAUAGCAAGUUCAUCAUAGUUUUCAUCACUAGAGUUGUCAACAUGUAAAUCAUCAUCACCUAGCAAAUCAUCUUCAUCACUAUUGAAAUCAACAUACUCGGGGUGUGAUACCUUUGGGCCUUUAGCCAUGAAGCAUCUUCCAACUCCUUCAUUUGGUGAGUCAAAUAUGUCAUAGGAGUUGGUUGACACAAGUGCUAGACCGGCAACACCUUCAUCUUGAGUAUAUUCAGAGUUGGAGUGAUAACUUCUCUCGGAGUGAUGGUCGGAGUCGGAGCCGGAUACCCAUUCACCAACAUGAGCUUGAUGUCUUCAUUUUGUGUAGCUCUUUGAUGACUUGUCCUUCCUCUCCAAAUCCUUGCUUCUGUGAGAGGUUCUUUGUUCAUAACGAUCAUCUCUACUCCUCUCUCUAGGGGGUGAUUCUGUUGGGGAAUGUAGCAGAAAUUCAAAAUUUUCUACGCAUCACCAAGAUCAAUCUAUGGAGUAAUCUAGCACCGAGGGGAAGGGGAGUGCAUCUACAUACCAUUGUAGAUCGCUAAGCGGAAGCGUUGCAAGAACGCGGAUGAAGGAGUCGUACUCGUAGCGAUUCAGAUCGCGGUUGAUUCCGAUCUAAGCGCCAAACCACGGCGCCUCCGCGUUCAACACACGUGCAGCCCGGUGACGUCUCCCACACCUUGAUCCAGCAAGGAGAGAGGGAGAGGUUGGGGAAGACUCCGUCCAGCAGCAGCACAACGGCGUGGUGGUGGUGGAGGAGCGUGGCACUCCAACAGGGCUUCGCCAAGCACCGCAAGAGACGAGGAGGGAGAGGGGUAGGGCUGCGCCAUGAGGGAGACGUUCUCUUGUCUAUGGCAGCCCCAAACCCCCACUAUAUAUAGGGGAAAGGGAGGGGCUGCGCCCCCACCUAGGUUUCCACCUCUAGGGGUGGCGGCCAGCCCUAGAUGGGACUUGGAGGGGCGGCCAAGGGGGGAGAGAGGGGGGGCGCACCACUAGGUGGGCCUUAGGCCCAUCUGAGCCUAGGGUUUCCCCUUUUUCCUUCUCUCUUCGCCUUGGGACUUGGUGGGGGGCGCACCAGCUCACCUAGGGCUGGUCCCCUCCCACACUUGGCCCACGCAGCCCUCUGGGGCCGGUGGCCCCACCUGGUGGACCCCCGGGACCCUCCCGGUGGUACCGGUACGUUACCGAUAGCACCCGAAACUUUUCCGGUGACCAAAACAGGACUUCCCAUAUAUAAAUCUUUACCUUCGGACCAUUCCGGAACUCCUCGUGACGUCCGGGAUCUCAUCCAGGACUCCGAACAACAUUCGGUAACCACGUAUAUCUAUUCCCUAUAACCCUAGCGUCAUCGAACCUUAAGUGUGUAGACCCUACGGGUUCGGGAACCAUGCAGACAUGACCGAGACGUUCUCCGGCCAAUAACCAACAGCGGGAUCUGGAUACCCAUGUUGGCUCCCACAUGUUCCACGAUGAUCUCAUCGGAUGAACCACGAUGUCGGGGAUUCAAUCAAUCCCGUAUACAAUUCCCUUUGUCUACCGGUAUAGUACUUGCCCGAGAUUCGAUCGUCGAUAUCCCGAUACCUUGUUCAAUCUCGUUACCGGCAAGUCUCUUUACUCGUUCCGUAACACAUCAUCCCGUGAUCAACUCCUUGGUCACAUUGUGCACAUUAUGAUGAUGUCCUACCGAGUGGGCCCAGAGAUACCUCUCCGUUUACACGAAGUGACAAAUCCCAUUCUCGAUUCGUGCCAACCCAAUAGACACUUUCGGAGAUACCUGUAGUGCACCUUUAUAGCCACCCAGUUACGUUGUGACGUUUGGUACACCCAAAGCAUUCCUACGGUAUCCGGGAGUUGCACAAUCUCAUGGUCUAAGGAAAUGAUACUUGACAUUAGAAAAGCUCUUAGCAAACGAACUACACGAUCUUGUGCUAGGCUUAGGAUUGGGUCUUGUCCAUCACAUCAUUCUCCUAAUGAUGUGAUCCCGUUAUCAACAACAUCCAAUGUGCAUGGUCAGGAAACCGUAACCAUCUAUUGAUCAAUGAGCUAGUCAACUAGAGGCUUACUAGGGACAUGGUGUUGUCUAUGUAUCCACACAUGUAUCUGAGUUUCCUAUCAAUACAAUUUUAGCAUGGACAAUAAACGAUUAUCAUGAACAAGGAAAUAUAAUAAUAACCAAUUUAUUAUUGCCUCUAGGGCAUAUUUCUAACAGUCUCCCACUUGCACUAGAGUCAAUAAUCUAGUUCACAUCGCCAUGUGAUUAAUACCCAAGAGUUUACUAGAGUCAAUAAUCUAGUUCACAUCACCAUCUGAUUGUAAUGAUUCCAACACCCAUGGGUUUGUUCAUAUCUCGCUUGUGAGAGAGGUUAUUAGUCAACGGGUCUGAACCUUACAGAUACGUGUGUGCUUUACGAAUAUAUAUGUCAUCUUGUAGAUGCAGCUACCACGCGCUACUUGGAGCUAUUCCAAAUAACUGCUCUACUAUACGAAUCCGGUUUACUACUCAGAGUCAUCCGGAUUAGUGUCAAAGUUUGCAUCGACGUAACCCUUUACGACGAACUCCUUUUCCACCUCCAUAAUCGAGAAAAUUUCCUUAGUCCACUAGAUACUAAGGAUAAGUUCGACCGCUGUCAUGUGAUCCAUUCCCGGAUCACUAUUGUACCCCUUGACUAACUCAUGGCAAGGCACACUUCAUGUGCGGUACACAGCAUAGCAUACUGUAGAGCCUACGUCUAAAGCAUAGGGGACGACCUUCGUCCUUUCUCUCUAGUCUGCUGUGGUCAGGUCUUGAGUCUUACUCAAUACUCAAACCUUGUAACACAGCCAAGAACUCCUUCUUUGCUGGUCUAUUUUGAACUCCUUCAAAAUCUUGUCACGGUAUGUAUUCAUUUGAAAGUACUAUUAAGUGGUUUUUGAUCUAUCCUUAUAGAUCUUGAUGCUCAAUGUUCAAGUAGCUUAAUCCAGGUUUUCCAUUGAAAAACACUUUUCAAAUAACCCUGUAUGCUUUCCAGAAAUUCUACAUCAUCUCUGAUCAACAAUAUGUCAACAACAUAUACUCAUCAGAAAUUUUAUAGUGCUCCCACUCACUUCUUUGGAAAUACAAGUUUCUCAUAAACUUUGUAUAAACCCAAAAUCUUUGAUCAUCUCAUCAAAGCGUACAUUCCAACUCCGAGAUGCUUACUCCAGUCCUUAGAAGGAUUGCUGGAGCAUUGCAUACUUGUUAGCAUCUUUCAGGAUUGACAAAACCUUAUGGUUGUAUCACAUACAACCUUUCCUCUAGAAAAUCGUCGAGGAAACAAUGUUUUGACAUCCUAUCUGCAAGAUUUCAUAAAUUAUGCAGUAACUGCUAAUACAAUUCCAACAGACUCUUAGCAUCGCUACGAGUGAGAAAAAUCUCAUCGUAGUCAACUCCUUGAACUUGUCGGAAAACAUCUUAACGACAAGUCGAGCUUUCUUAAUGGUGACACUUACCAUUAUUGUCUGUCUUCCUUUUAAAAUCCAUCUGCACCCAACAGCCUUACGACCAUCAAGUAGUUCUUCCAAAGUCUAUACCUUGUUUUAUACAUGGAUCCUCUCUCGGAUUUUAUGGCCUCAAGCCAUUCGUCGGAAUCCGGGCCCACCAUCGCUUCUCCAUAGCUCGUAGGUUCAUUGUUGUCUAGCAACAUGACUUCCAAGACAGGAUUACGUACCACUCGAAGUAGUACGCAUCCUUAUCGACCUACGAGGUUUGGUAGUGACUUGAUCCGAAGUUUCCUGAUCACUAUCAUAAGCUUCCACUUCAAUUGGUGUAGGUGCCACAGGAACAACUUCCUGUGCCCUGCUACACACUAGUUGAAGUCAUGGUUCAAUAACCUCAUCAAGUCUCCACCAUCCUCCCACUCAAUUCUUUCGAGAGAAACUUUUUCUCGAGAAAGGACCUGUUUACUUCCAGAUCUGAAACAGGAGGUAUACCCAACUGUUUUGGGUAUUCUAUGAAGAUGCAUUUAUCCGCUUUGGGUUCGAGCUUAUCAGCCUGAAACUUUUUCACAUAAGCAUCGCAGCCCCAAACUUUUAAGAAACGACAACUUAGGUUUCUCUAAACGGUGUCGUCUCAACGGAAUUGCGUGGUGCCCUAUUUAAAGUGAAUGCGGUUGUCUCUAAUGCCUAACCCAUAAACGAUAGUGGUAAAGAGACAUCAUGGUAUGCACCAUAUCCAAUAGGGUGCAGUUAUGAUGUUCGGACACACCAUCACAUUGUGGUGUUCCAGGCGGUAUUAAUUGUGAAACACUUUCCACAAUGUCUUAAUUGUGUACCAAACUCGUAACUCAGAUAUCUCUAUGAUCAUAUCAUAGACAUUUUAUCCUCUUGUCAUGACGAUAUUCAACUUCACUCUGAAAUUACUUGAACCUUUCAAUAAUUCAGACUAGUGUUUCAUCAAGUAAAUAUUCUCAGCAUCUACUCAAAUCAUCUGUGAAGUAAGAACAUAUCGAUAUCCACUGCGUGCCUCAGCACUCAUUGGACUGCACACAUCAAAUGUAUUACUUCCAAAAAGUUGCUCUCUUGUUCCAUCUUACUGGAAACGAGGCCUUUCAGUCAUCUUGCCCAUGUGGUAUGAUUUGCAUGUCUCAAGUGAUUCAAAAUCAAGUGAGUCCAAACGAUCCAUCUGCAUGGAGUUUCUUCAUGCAUAUAUACCAAUAGACAUGGUUCGCAUGUCUCAAUCUUUUCAAAAACGAGUGAGUCCAAAGAUCCAUCUACAUGGAGCUUCUUCAUGCGUUCUAUACCAAUAUGACUCAAAUGGCAGUGCCACAAGUAUGUGGUACUAUCAUUACCAUUUUAUAUCUUUUGGCACAAACAUGUGUAUCACUGCGAUCGAGAUUCAUUUUAGGUGCAAGACCAUUGAAGGUAUUAUUCAAAUAAACAGAGUAACCAUUAUUCUCCUUAAAUGAAUAACCGUAUUGCGAUAAACAUAAUCCAAUCAUGUUUAUGCUCAACGCAAACACCAAAUAACAAUUAUUUAGGUUUAACACCAAUCUCGAUGGUAGAGGGAGCAUGCGAUGCUUGAUCACAUCAACCUUGGAAACACUUCCAACACAUAUCGUCAGCUCACCUUUAGCUAGUCUCCGUUUAUUCCGCAGCUUUUAUUUCGAGUUACUAACACUUAGCAACCGAACCGGUAUCUAAUACCCUGGUGCUGCUAGGAGUACUAGUAAAGUACACAUUCAUAUAAUGUAUAUCCAAUAUACUUCUGUCGACCUUGCCUGCCUUCUCAUCUACCAAGUAUCUAGGGUAGUUCUGCUUCAGUGACCGUUCCCCUCAUUACAGAAGCACUUAGUCUCGGGUUUGGGUUCAACCUUGGGAUUCUUCACUAGAGCAGCAAAUGAUUUGCUGUUUCAUGAAGUAUCCCUUUUCCCCUUGCCCUUCUAGAAACUAGUGGUUUUACUAACCAUCAACAAUUGAUGCUCCUUCUUGAUUUCUACUUUCGCGGUGUCAAACAUCGCGAGUUGCUCAAGGAUCAUCAUGUUUAUCCCUGAUAUGUUAUAGUUCAUCACGAAGCUCUAAUAGCUUGGUGGCAGUGACUAUGGAGAACCAUCACUAUCUCAUCUGGAAGAUUAACUCCCACUCGAUUCAAGUGAUUGUAGUACUCAGACAAUCUGAGCACAUGCUCAACGAUUGAGCUUUUCUCCCUUAGUUUGCAGGCUUAAGAAACUUGUCAGAGGUCUCAUACCUCUUGACGUGGGCAUUUAGUCUGAAAUCCCAAUUUCAGCCUUUGGAACAUCUCAUAUGUUCUGCGACGUUUCAAAACCGUCUUGUCGCCACAAUUUUAAACCGUUAGCAUCACACACUGAACUAUCACGUAGUCAUCAAAACGUGUAUGUCAGAUGUUUCGUAACAUCUACAGACGACGCUCGAGGUUCAGCACACCGAGCGGUGCAUUAAGGACAUAAGCCUUCUGUGCAGCAAUCAGGACAAUCCUCAGUUGACGGACCUAGUCCGCAUAAUUGCUACUAUCAACUUUCAACUAAAUUUUCUCUAGGAACAUAUCUUAAACAGUAGAACUAAAGCGUAAGCUAUGACAUAAUUUGCAAAGUCCUUUUGACUAUGUUCAUGAUAAUUAAGUUCAUCUGAUUAUUUAAUGAACUCCCACUCAGAUCGACAUCCCUCUAGUCAUCUAAGUGAUACAUGAUCCGAGUCAAACUAGGCCGUGUCCGAUCAUCACGUGAGACAGACUAGUCAUCAUCGGUGAACAUCUCCAUGUUGAUCGCAUCUACUAUACGACUCAUGUUCGACCUUUCGAUCUCUUGUGUUCUGAGGCCAUGUCUGUACAUGCUAGGCUCGUCAAGUCAACCUAAGUGUUUCGCAUGUGUUCCGAGGCCAUGUCUGUACAUGCUAGGCUCGUCAACACCCAUUGUAUUCCAACGUUGGAAUCUAUCACACCCGAUCAUCACGUGGUGCUUCAAAACAACGAACCUUCGCAACGGUGCACAGUUAGGGGGAACACGUCUCUUGAAAUUUUAGUGAGAGAUCAUCUUAUUUAUUCUACCGUCGUUCUAAGCAAUAAGAUGUAAACAUGACAAACAUCACAUGCAAAUCAUAAAGUGAUGUGAUAUGGCCAAUAUCAUCUUGCGCCUUUGAUCUCCAUCUUCGAGGCGCGGCAUGAUCACCUUCGUCACCGGCAUGACACCAUGAUCUCCAUCAUCAUGAUCUCCAUCAUCAUGUCUUCAUGAAGUUGUCUCGCCAACUAUUACUUCUACUACUAUGGCUAACGGUUAGCAAUAAAGUAAAGUAAUUACAUGGCGUUUUCAUUCACACGCAGGUCAUACAAUAAAUUAAGACAACUCCUAUGGCUCCUGCCGGUUGUCAUACUCAUCGACAUGCAAGUAGUGAUUCCUAUUACAAGAACAUGAUCAAUCUCAUACAUCACAUAUAUCAUUCAUCAGAUCCUUUUGGCCAUAUCACAUCACAUAGCAUACCCUGCAAAAACAAGUUAGACGUCCUCUAAUUGUUGUUCUAUGUUUUACGUGGCUGUUAUGGGAUUCUAGCAAGAACGUUUCUUACCUACGCAAAAGCCACAACGUGAUAUGCCAAUUUCUAUUUACCCUUCAUAAGGACCCUUUUCAUCGAAUCCGAUCCGACUAAAGUGGGAGAGACAGACACCAGCUAGCCACCUUAUGCAACUAGUGCAUGUCAGUCGGUGGAACCUGUCUCACGUAAGAGUACGUGUAAGGUCGGUCCGGGCCGCUUCAUCCCACGAUGCCGCCGAAUCAAGAUAAGACUAGUAACGGCAAGUAAAUUGUCAAAAUCGACGCCCACAACUACUUUGUGUUCUACUCGUGCAUAGAAACUACACAUAGACCUAGCUCAUGAUGCCACUGUUGGGGAACGUAGCAGAAAUUCAAAAUUUUCUACGCAUCACCAAGAUCAAUCUAUGGAGUAAUCUAGCACCGAGGGGAAGGGGAGUGCAUCUACAUACCAUUGUAGAUCGCUAAGCGGAAGCGUUGUAAGAAUGCGGAUGAAGGAGUCGUACUUGUAGCGAUUCAGAUCGUGGUUGACUCCAAUCUAAGCGCCGAACCACGGCGCCUCCGCGUUCAACACACGUGCAGCCCGGUGACGUCUCCCACGCCUUGAUCCAGCAAGGAGAGAGGGAGAGGUUGGGGAAGACUCCGUCCAGCAGCAGCACAAUGGCGUGGUGGUGGUGGAGGAGCGUAGCACUCCAGCAGGGCUUCGCCAAGCACCGCAAGAGACGAGGAGGGAGAGGGGUAGGGCUGCGCCAUGAGGGAGACGUUCUCUUGUCUAUGGCAGCGCCAAACCCCCACUAUAUAUAGGGGAAAGGGAGGGGCUGCGCCCCCACCUAGGUUUCCACCUCUAGGGGUGGCGGCCAGCCCUAGAUGGGACUUGGAGCGGCGGCCAAGGGGGGAGAGAGGGGGGGCGCACCACUAGGUGGGCCUUAGGCCCAUCUGAGCCUAGGGUUUCCCCUUUUUCCUUCUCUCUUCGCCUUGGGCCUUGGUGGGGGGGCGCACCAGCUCACCUGGGGCUGGUCCCCUCCCACACUUGACCCACGCAGCCCUCUGGGGCCGGUGGCCCCACCUGGUGGACCCCCGGGACCCUCCCGGUGGUCCCGGUACGUUACCGAUAGCACCCGAAACUUUUCCGGUGACCAAAAUAGGACUUCCCAUAUAUAAAUCUUUACCUCCGGACCAUUCUGGAACUCCUCGUGAUGUCUGGGAUCUCAUCCGGGACUCCGUAAAACAUUCGGUAACCACGUAUAUCUAUUCCCUAUAACCCUAGCGUCAGUGAACCUUAAGUGUGUAGACCCUACGGGUUCGGGAACCAUGAGAACAUGACCGAGACGUUCUCCGGCCAAUAACCAACAGCGGGAUCUGGAUACCCAUGUUGGCUCCCACAUGUUCCACGAUGAUCUCAUCGGAUGAACCACGAUGUCGGGGAUUCAAUCAAUCCCGUAUACAAUUCCCUUUGUCUACCGGUAUAGUACUUGCCCGAGAUUCGAUCGUCGGUAUCCCGAUACCUUGUUCAAUCUCGUUACCGGCAAGUCUCUUUACUCGUUUCGUAACACAUCAUCCCGUGAUCAACUCCUUGGUCACAUUGUGCACAUUAUGAUGAUGUCCUACCGAGUGGGCCCAGAGAUACCUCUCCGUUUACACGGAGUGACAAAUCCCAGUCUCGAUUCGUGCCAACCCAACAGACACUUUCGGAGAUACCUGUAGUGCACCUUUAUAGCCACCCAGUUACAUUGUGACGUUUGGUACACCCAAAGAAUUCCUACGGUAUCCGGGAGUUGCACAAUCUCAUGGUCUAAGGAAAUGAUACUUGACAUUAGAAAAGCUCUUAGCAAACGAACUACACGAUCUUGUGCUAGGCUUAGGAUUGGGUCUUGUCCAUCACAUCAUUCUCCUAAUGAUGUGAUCCCGUUAUCAAUGACAUCCAAUGUCCAUGGUCAGGAAACCGUAACCAUCUAUUGAUCAACGAGCUAGUCAACUAGAGGCUUACUAGGGACAUGGUGUUGUCUAUGUAUCCACACAUGUAUCUGAGUUUCCUAUCAAUACAAUUUUAGCAUGGAUAAUAAACGAUUAUCAUGAACAAGGAAAUAUAAUAAUAACCAAUUUAUUAUUGCCUCUAGGGCAUAUUUCUAACAGAUUCUUCUCUUCUACUUCUCCUUUUAGGUGAGUCUUCUCUUCUUUUGUAGGGAGCCGUACACUCAUUGGAGUAGUGUCCGGGUCUUCCACAAUUGUAGCAAUUACGCUCACGACUAGAAGAUCUUUUGUCAUUGUAGGACCUUGACUUGGAACUUCUUUCCUUGCUUCUACUCUUGUAGAACUUGUUGAAGUUCUUCACCAUUAGGCUCAAUUCCUCAUUGAAGGCUUGUUUCUCACUUGAUGAUGUAGGAGCAUCACAUGAGGCUUUGUAAGCACCACUAGACUUGUUGCGAAGCUCUUCUUUAUCCUUGAGUGACAUCUCAUGAGCAACAAUUGUACCAAUGACUUUCGUUGGCUUGAGAUCUUUGUAAUUGGGCACCAUUUGGAUCAAUGUGCACACAGUAUCAUAUUUUCCAUCCAAGGCUCUUAGGAUCUUCUUGAUGAUGAAUCUAUCGGUCAUCUCUUCACUUCCUAAGCCGGCAAUCUUAUUUGUGAUGAGAGCAAGCCUAGAGUACAUUUCAGCGACACCUUCACCAUCCUUCAUUUUGAACUUGUCAAGCUAACUUUGAAGCACAUCCAACUUGGAUUCCUUGACGGAGUUAGUACCUUCGUGCAUAUCAAUCAAAGUAUCCCAAAUUUCCUUUGCAUUCUCAAGACGGCGGAUUUUGUUGAAUUCUUCGGGGCUCAAUCCUUUGAAGAGGAUAUCGCAAGCUUGAGCAUUGUAUUGCGGCAUCUUCAAUUCUUCCGCGGUAGGUUCACGAUUCGGUUCUCUCCCAUCGAAAAAUUCACCUUCAAGUCAAUACACACAAUAGCCCAAACGGCGGGGUAAUGUCCAAGAAUAUGCAUUUUCAUCUUAUGCUUCCAACUAGCAAAAUUAGUACCAUCAAAGUAAGGACCUCUACGGUGGUAAUUUCCCUCGCUAAACGCCAUACUCUCGUAGGUUGUGAAACCAAGGCUAUAAUCACCAAAGCUAUGGAAAUCAAGGAAAAUGGAGACCAAAGCUCUGAUACCACUUGUAGGAUCGAAAGUAUGUCUAGAAGGGGGGGUGAUUAGACCACUUGACCGAAUAAAAAUCUAGCCUUUUCCCAAUUUUAAGUCUUGGCAGAUUUUAGCAACUUAUCACAAGUCAAGCAAUCAACCUACACAUGCAAAUCUAAGAGUAUAGCAGCGGAAUGUAAAUCAUUGCAUAUGAAGGUAAAGGUAAGGAGUUUGGAGGGAGCAAACGCAAUGUAGACACGAAGAUUUUUUGCAUGGUUCCGAUAGGUGGUGCUAUUGUACAUCCAUGUUGAUGGAGACUUCAACCCACGAAGGAGAAUGGCUACGCGAGUCCACGGAGGGCUCCACCCACGAAGGGUCCACGAAGAAGCAACCUUGUCUAUCCCACCAUGGCCAUCGCCCACGAAGGACUUGCCUCACUAGGGUAGAUCUUCACGAAGUAGGCGAUCUCCUUGCCCGUACAAACUCCUUGGUUCAACUCCACAAUCUUGACGGAGGCUCCCAAGUGACACCUAACCAAUCUAGGAGACACCACUCUCGAAAAGGUAAUAGAUGGUGUGUUGAUGAUGAACUCCUUGCUCUUGUGCUUCAAAUGAUAGUCUUCCCAACACUCAACUCUCUCUCAUAGAUUUGGAUUUGGUGGUAAGAGGAUUUGAGUGGAAAGCAACUUGGGGAGGGCUUGAGAUCAAGAUUCUUGUGGUUGGAUUGGAAUUUCUUGGGCUCAACACAUGAGUAGGUGGUUCUCUCUCAGAAAAUGAAUCCCGGAAGUGUAGGCACUUUCUGAUGGCUCUCUCCAUGAAUGGAGGAUGGGUGGAGGGGUAUAUAUAGCCUCCACACAAAAUCUAACCCGUUACACACAAUUUACCAAACUCGGUGGGACCGAAUACUCAAACUCGGUCAGACCGAUUUAGUUCAAAAUGUGAACGUUAGGCUUUUCAGUGGGACCGACAUGUCAACUCGGUAGGACCGAUUUCAUGGGUUAGGGCAUAACAUAAUCUCGGUGAGACCGAUCACAUGAACUCGGUGAGACCGAUUUCUGUAACAGGAAAAUAGAGAGUUGGUCAGGCAAACUCGGUGGGACCAAUUCGCUCAUUUCGGUGAGACCGAAACGUUAUGAAAAGGAAAUAGAGAGUUUGCAUUGCGAACUCGGUGGGACCGAUCGCUCAUCUCGUUUAGACCGAAAUGUUACGAAGGGAAACGAAGAGUUUGCAAUCCCAUCUCGGUGAGACCGAGAUCCCUAUUGGUGAGACCGAACUGAUUAGGGUUUCUGGCUAUGGCUAUGUCAAAUGAACUCGGUGGCUCCGGAUAGAUCAAAUGGGUGGGGCCGAGUUUGACUUUUGUUUGGGACAUAUGAGGAUAUGAGAAAGUGGUUGAGGGCUUUUGGAGCAUAUCAUUAAGCAUUUUGAGCAAGCAAGCCAUUAAGCAACACCUCGUCCCCUUUUAAUAGUAUUGGCUUUUCCUAUGGACUCAAUGUGAUCUUGGAUCACGAAAAUGAAAAUGUAGAGUCUUGAGCUUGAGCCAAUAUGUGUCCUUAGCAUUUUGAGGGGUCCACAUCUCUAGUCCAUGCCAUGCCAAUCAAUGAACUUUCUGAAAUGAUCAUCUUGAAAGAGUAUUAGUUCAAUGAGCUAUAUGUUGUUAAGAAUUACCAAAACCACCCAGGGAUUAGUUGCACUUUCACCCUGACAAUAGACAAAAAUCCACUUUAUAUCGUGAGUGAGCGCCAAUACCGUACGCGACCGCCAUCGUCGUGCCUGCAGAUAUAUACUACGAUGUGUUUGUAGAUGUGCUUUCACGCCCCUUGAUCUCAUUGUCGCGAUCAUCAAGGGCCACUGCCCCAAACACAGGGAGACCUAGAAAUAUCACUGUCUGUCUUUUACUUUUGACAUCAAAACGACACGUGGCAUACGCUCGUGGUGGUCGAGGCAAGCACACCUAAGCAAAAUUGAUGAUAAAACCUGAAAAUGCCAAACAAGGCUAAAGUUAAUUAAACGGAUAGAUAAAGUGCUAAUUCUGUUGACAUGCAUUUUUUUGGCUCCCCAGCUCAAAUACCCUCACAUGAACAAUAAUAAUAAUAAAAAGAGUAAGCAAAACUGAAAUAAGUCAGUGUUUUUUAAUGAACGUCAACAUAUUCUCUAACUGCUUGUAAUUCUUUUAUGAGAAAAAACAUCGGUACAAAAAAUACUGGGGCUAAAAAGCGACAUUUGCAGCACUCAUAUUUUAUACUUUUUCCCGUAGACCGCGAUUGAUGUCUUUUGUUGGUGAACUUUUGCCGGCAACCAGAACACAACCACCAAGAUGCUGCAUCACCACAAACACCUUUCUCCUCAUUAAUUAUCUGCCAUAUAAACAAAUUUGUCUUGAGAUGCAUCAUGUUACUAGCUAACUUACUUCCACUACGACCAGCCCCAAGGGGCUGGGCGGUUUGGGCGUCUUUGAUUUGAACACGUAUGCUCAUGCACUGUGCUUGAGGUGGCUAUGGUAUGAGUGGACAGAUCCGGAAAGGGCCUGGGUUGGCAUGGGCAACCAAUGCGACGCGAAGGACAGAGAGCUCUUCUAUGCAACCAUAACCAUCACCGCUGGGGAUGGCCAAACGGCGAGGUUUUGGCACUCCCCUUGGCUGUUGGGUAGGAAGAAGCCCAAAGACAUUGCUCCAUCCAUUUUUGCGAUCUCUGCGAAUAGGAACAAGUCGGUUAGGGAGAGCAUGCAGGACUUAAGUUGGAUCCAAUGGAUCAAUACAAAUGAUGGGCUUGAGGUGCAACACCUUGCGCAGUUCUGCACAUUAUGGGAGAGGAUCCAACAGGUGCAGAUGCAUGAUGACAAGGCUGAUGGCACAGUUUGGAACCUCACGUCCAAUGGGAUUUACUCCUCGGCCUCGGCCUACAAGGUGCAAUUCGAGGGGACGGUGGCCACCAAUAUGACACAGGUGGUCUGGGGAAACUGGGGGCCACCCAAAUGCAAAUUCUUCGCAUGGCUAGUUGAUGACCCACAAGUAUAGGGGAUCUAUCGUAAUCCUUUCGACAAGCAGAAGGAAAUGACAAGCGGUUUUCAGCAAGGUAUUCUCUGCAAGCACUGAAAUUAUCGGUAACAGAUAGUUGUGUGAUAAGAUAAUUCGUAACGGGUAACAAGUAACAAAAGUAAACAAGGUGCAGCAAGGUGGCCCAAUCCUUUUUGUAGCAAAGGACAAGCCCAGACAAACUCCUAUAUAAAGCAAAGUGCUCCUGAGGACACAUGCGAAUUACUGUCAAGCUAGUUUUCAUCAUGCUCAUAUGAUUUGCGUUCGUUACUUUGAUAGUUUGAUAUGUGGGUGGACCGGUGCUUGGGUGCUGCCCUUCCUUGAACAAGCCUCCCACUUAUGAUUAACCCCUCUCGCAAGCAUCCGCAACUACGAAAGAAGAACUAAGAUAUAUCUAACGAUAGCAUGAAACAUAUGGAUCCAAAUCGGCCCCUUACGAAGCAACGCAUAAACUAGGGUUUAAGCUUCUGUCACUCUAGCAACCCAUCAUCUACUUAUUACUUCCCAAUGCCUUCCCCUAGGCCCAAAUCAUGGUGAAGUGUCAUGUAGUCGACGUUCACAUAACACCACUAGAGGAAAGACAACAUACAUCUCAUCAAAAUAUCGAAUGAAUACCAAAUUCACAUGAUUACUUAUAACAAGACUUCUCCCAUGUCCUCAGGAACAAAUGUAACUACUCACAAAGCAUAUUAAUGUUCAUAAUCAGCAGAGUAUUAAUUAUCAUUAAGGAUCUGAACAUAUGAUCUUUCACCGAAUAAACCAACUAGCAUCAACUACAAGGAGUAAUCAACACUACUAGCAACCCACAUGUACCAAUCUGAGGUUUUGAGACAAAGAUCGGAUACAAGAGAUGAACUAGGGUUUGAGAGGAGAUGGUGCUGGUGAAGAUGUUGAUGGAGAUUUACCCCCUCUAGAUGAGAGGAUCGUUGGUGAUGACGAUGGAGAUGAUUUCCCCCUCCAGGAGGGCUGUUUCCCCGGCAGAACAGCUCCUUCGGAGCCCUAGAUUGGUUCUGCCCAGGUUCCGCCUCGAGACGGCGGCGCUUCGUCCCGAAAUCUUCCUUCUUAUUUUUUCCAGGUCAAAACACACCAUAUAGUAGAAUAUGGGCAUCAGAGGCCUGCCAGGGGCCCCACAAGGACGGGGGCCCGCCCUCCAACCUUGUGGCUGGCUGGUAGCCCCCUUUGGCUCUUUCUUCGCCCAAUAUUUUUAUAUAUUCCAAAAGAUGCUCCGUGAAGUUUCAGGACUUUUGGAGUUGUGCAGAAUAGGUCUAUAAUAUUUUCUCCUUUUCCAAUCCAGAAUCCCAGCUGCCGACAUUCUCCCUCUUCAGGUAAACCUUAUAAAAUAAGAGAGAAAAGGCAUCAGUAUUGUGAUAUAAUGUGUAAUAAUAGCCCAUAAUGCAAUAAACAUCAAUAUAAAAGCAUGAUGCAAAAUGUACGUAUCACUAAUUAACAUGAAUCGGAUUUGGACGAUGGAUCGGCUACAAACGAGAGGUUGGCCAAAUUGCAAUUUAUGCCAACUAUGUAAAAGGGAACCCGAGACGGCGGCACACUUUCUUUUCUAGUGCAGGUUCUCUACACGCAUCAGGAAUGCGGUUAGGUGUUGGCUCGAUGUUCCGGAGCUAGACUUGGAUGCGUGGGCUGAGGUCACAACAGUCAAGCUUUGGUAGGAGAGGACGGUCCUCGGUCGUGGCCACAGGACCAAGGCGAUGUCUUCGCUUCUGAUGCUCGUUUCGUGGGAGUUGUGGAAUGAGAGAAAUGCAAGGGUGUUCCAGAAGAAAGCUUCGAUGCCGACCGUUGUGGUCGGCCGAAUAAAGACGGAGUUGAGAAUUUGGGUUUUGGCUGGGGCCAAACACUUGGGAUCCUUGAUGCCGCAAGAGUAGGCCAUGUUUCUUUCAUUUGUUGAGGAGUAAUGACCCUCUUAAGACCUUGUUACCCUUCUUCUUUAUUAAUGAGAUGAGGCAAAUCUUUUGCCUCCAUUUCAAAAAAAACUACGACCAUCCUCCUAGUUGAGGCGACUCCCGUCAAAAUGGAUCAUACCCUUACUCCUUAGUCGAUGUGAGGGGCCAACCAUAACGCCACUACUGGGUCUCCUCCAUCGGUCUGUCAGGACCCCGAUCCUAAGUCACACCAAUCUAGCAUAUAACACAUCAUAUCACUUUGCGGCCUCACGCACGGUAUCCCCAUGGGUGCCACCUUACCUGGCCCGGGACCGUUUGCGCUUUUUGGCUCACAUAUAUGAUAGUGUCGCUAGCAUCCAUAUGACAGAGAACCCGGGCCGACAUGACUAGUCGUAAACCCAAGGUGGCACUAACUUACAGGGACAUGCAUACAUGGCCCAGCAAUGCACGUGUCGGUCAUCAACGUAUGAACCCAAGUCGUAGCAAGCUACAAGGACUUAAAGGAACAAUGCGUGACAUUUUCCCGAAGGGACAUACACAGGAGCAAAGAAGGACACAUGCCGAUCAUCCCAUGUGUUCCGGAACAGUAGCAAGCUACCAUGGCUCAGUGGAAGCACUAGGAGACAUUUCCCCAUAAGAGAGGCUACCAAGAAUAAACAACUAGAUUGUCGGAUCCCACACAUACCAAGCAUUUCAAAUCAUACACACAAUAUGCUCGAUAUGUGCAAAUACAACAUGGCAUCACAACAAAACUCUACGACUCAAAGUAUUUAUUUAGAAGGCUCCGAAGAGCCAUACAUAGUAAGAAUUACAAUCAUGGGUCACAUGACCCAACAUACAGAGCAUACAAGCAACGGAAGCAUAACACGUCUGAGCACAGACAACUACAAAUGAAAAAGGCUGAGAAGCCUGACUAUCUACAAGACCCUCCCAAGGGUACAAGAUCAUAGCUGAGGUAACAAGCUAAACGUCGAAGUCCACGCGGAACUACUAGUGAGACUGAAGUCUCCUCUGCAAAACGUAAAUUAAGCAAAUGUGAGUACAAAUGUACUCCCUCCGUAAACUAAUAUAAGAGCGUUUAGAUCACUACUUUAGUAAUCUAAACGCUCUUAUAUUAGUUUACAUAGGGAGUACCCAGCAAGACUUACAUCAGAACUAGCUACAUAUGCAUCAGUAUCAACAAAGGGGUGGUGGAGUUUAACUGCAGCACGUCAGCUUUGACUCAGUGGCUAUCCUGUACUACGACUGCUGGUAACUCUUUUGAGGUAGCGCACACGAGUCCACAUAUUCACCAUAUCAGUACACCACUAUGGAUCCACUCCCGUCUCCCUAUGAGAAGGCCAUCCAUAACACUCACACUUAUCUUGCGCAUUUUAGAGUAUCCACUUUCAUUUGUCUAUGAACUACAUUAGCAACCCAGUAGUCCAUUACCGCGGACGCGGCUAUUUGAAUAGUUUGAUAACCCUGCAGGGGUGUACUUCUUCACACAUGUUUCCACCACUUAGCGUCUGCACACGACAUGUGCUCAGCAGACUUCAAGCGAAAGCCGACGUGGGUGUAGACCACGACCUGACUAACCACACAAGACUCUAGUCCAGGUUUAUCGCCUAUCUGAGAACUGACCCGUAAUGGAGUCCGGCCGAGGUUUCCAUCACGGCCUCAAACGAUGUGUACAAGGUUCCCAAGUCCACCUUGUUGGAUGGUUCUACGCUUGGUACACCCGGCCACGGUGCCUGCCGCAUCAAAGCCUACCCCUCCGAUCAGCGCUAAGCAUGGCCCCCCAGCACAACUUAUAAACACCAGAAACUAGUUGCAACUCCUGGACAGAGAACACAUGGGUUAAUAAGUUGAGCGGGGUCAUAUUUCAGGGCCCAACGUGUGGUAGUAGCUGCUCUUGGAUCACAAACACGGAACUCAGUUCCUGAGGGUUUCAAUGAGACAACCCACCAUGUACUCCUACAUGGCCUCUCGCCGCUAUCUUUACCAAAUCUUGUUCACACACUUAACUCUCAACAGUAGGACAUGAUGACUGAAGGAAAUAUGCCCCAGAGGCAAUAAUAAAGUUGUUAUUUAUAUUUCCUUAUGUCAUGGUAAAUACCUAUUAUUCAUGCUAGAAUUGUAUUAACCGGAAACUUGAUACAUGUGUGAAUACAUAGACAAAACAAAGUGUCCCUAGUAUGCCUCUACUAGACUAGCUCUUAAUCAAAGAUGGUUAAGUUUCCUGACCAUAAACAUGUGAUGUCAUUUGAUGAACGGGAUCACAUCAUUAGGAGAAUGAUGUGAUGGAAAAGACACAUCUGUUAGCUUAGCAUAAUGAUCGUUAAGUUUUAUUACUAUUGCUUUCUUCAUGACUUAUACAUAUUCCUCUGACUACGAGAUUAUGCAACUCCCGAACACCGAAGGAAUACCUUGUGUGCUGUCAAACGUCACAACAUAAAAGGGUGAUUAUAAAGAUGCUCUACAAGUAUCUCCGAAGGUGUUUUGUUGGGUUGGCAUAGAUCGAGAUUAGGAUUUGUCACUCUGAGUAUCGGAGAGGUAUCUCUGGGCCCUCUCGGUAAUGCACAUCAUAAUAAGCCUUGCAAGCAAUGUGACUAAUGAGUUAGUUACGGGAUGAUGCAUUACAGAAUGAGUAAAGAGACUUGCCGGUAAUGAGAUUGAACUAGGUAUGAGGAUACCGACGAUCGAAUCUCGGGCAAGUAACAUACCGAUGACAUGGGGAAUAACGUAUGUUGUCAUAACGGUUCGACCGAUAAAGAUCUUCGUAGAAUAUGUGGGAACCAAUAUGAGCAUCUAGGUUUCGCUAUUGGUUAUUGAACGGAGAGGUGUCUCGGUCAUGUCUACAUAGUUCUUGAACCCGUAGGGUCUGCACGCUUAACGUUCGACGACGAUUUGUAUUAUAUGAGUUAUGUGUUUUGGUGACCGAAGGUUGUUCGGAGUCCCGGAUGGGAUCACAGACAUGACAAGGAGUCUCGAAAUGGUCGAGAGGUAAAUAUUGAUAUAUUGGAAGGUAGUAUUCGGACACUGUCGUGGAUUUGUCACGGCAGAUGUCCUAGGGUGAGGACUUAGUCGUGAGGCCAGCGCAUCUAUGUAGUAGCUUGAGAGGGGUUGAGCGGAAUCGAGAGGCGCAACACAAGACGAGGAUUUAGACAGCUUCGGGCCCCAGGAAACAUCAUCCGGUAAUAACCCUACAUGUUGUUUGAGGCUAGAUCUCAUUACACUCAUGAGGGAGACGCCGUAAACCGGCUCUUUGGGUCUAGCCCUAGAGAUUGUUUCUUCUUGUCUGUAGCUUGUCCCUCUUUGGGGAGCCCUGCCCCUCCUUAUAUAUGUUGAACGGGCGGGUUACAUGUGGAGUCCUAUUAGGAUUAGGACUAGCCUAUCUCUAAUACAAACCGGAUACAAGUCCGGGUCUUUAACUCCUUGUAAGAUAAUAUUCUUCAUGCCUUUCCUCUUAAACCGGCCCGCCAUUAAUAUAAACCGGCCCUCUGGGCCUUGGGCCUUGUCAUCCAUCUAUCCCUGCCCGCCGGGUUACCAGCGAGUUAUAAUGUCCAGGAAGGUUGCUUGUAAACCGCCAGGUCAGGGCGGGUCGCCAGUGAAUCGCCAAGUGUCGGCAUGAUCUCAAAUAAACCGCCAAGUCCGGCCGGGAUAUACUUCCGGCCGGUUUACGCCACGGGGUAUAUCCCCGACAUUAGCCCCCAGUUUAAUUUGGAUUUAUCCAUGUUAAUCUGAUCCUGUAAAACAUACACAAGAACGAAUUUGACAGAUUAUGCUCCGGGUUAAGAAUUCUUGUAAACCGGCAUCUGAUCAUCCUUAAGUCCUUGUCAUUUCCUCUUUCUAGAAAAUCCGGGUCAUUAGACCAGCUUCAUAAUCAAUUUGCUUGUAGAAGAAAUAUUGCAAAUAAAGAAUCCAUUUAAAUCGGCCUUCAAAGCUCUGAUUUGACAAAAAUAUUGGUCUUCAAAUAUUCAACUGAUAUUCAGCCGGCUUGAAGAUGUAGAACUUGCCGGUUUAUGAUUACCACCAUUGUCGGGUUAUAAAAACUGAUAAUUCUGGGUCAUGAUUGCUACCAACGCUGGUUCAUGAUUGUUGCCAACGCUGGUUCAUGAUUGUUACCAACGAUGGUUCAUGAUUUGAUGACGCCGGGUUAUGAUUGUUGCAGACACCGGGUCAUAAUGAUUGGUGACGCCAGGUUAAUCUGGUUUGCUCAAAACUGAGACUUUGAAAAUAUUUCUCCUUAUAUCCGUAUUACCCGUAGCCCCCAAGUCUUGAGCAGAACAAAGUGAUGACUUAAGACUUAUUUCAAUAUAAAUACUGCCACUUUGAAGAAAUCCAUGUUGUUCAUCUCUAGUAAAAAAACUGAAUACUCCAUAUAUGCAGCCUCCAAGUACCGGGUUGUCAUGCUUGCAGCAACCUAGGACUUGUAAUUGCUUAUAAAAACUUCAAUCAGUGUAGCCCCCAAGGGCCAGCUUAGUAAGAUAAUACUGAGCCGAGACUUGAUAUAUACUUCAAUGAAAAUAACAUCUUAUAAUGUAGCUUCCAUCGUAGGGAAACCCACGUCCACAAGGUUAAGAGCUUUGUGCUUUACCCACUAAGCAAUGAACCCUUUAAUAUAAUGGAUUAAGGCUUGUAUACCUUGAAUGUUUGACAGGAGCCAUUGUAGCCCCCAAGGGCCGGCUCAUUAUGAUGUGAUGAGUCGGUUCUUCAAUAAGGCCAAUAAAAAAUGACUUUGCAUUAGCCCCCAAGUGUCAUGGUGCAUGCUUGCAGCGACAUGAGACUUGCAUGUAAUCUCAAUUAGAAUAAUGUAGCCCCCAAGUGCCGGAUCGUAAGCCUGCAGCGACUCGGGACUGUUCCUUCCAUUGUAGAAUAAAUCAUAUCCUUUGAUAAAAUAAUAGCCAUUGCGCUAAAGCGACUUUGAAAACCUCAAUAAUACCGGUUACUAAUAACCAUAAUAAAAUCCAGCCAUGUUGGCUAUUCAAGAUAAUAUAAUCCGGCAUGAAAACCUUAUUCAUUCAAUAUCAUAAUGAAAAUUCAGCCAAGUUUGGCUAUUUGAAUAAUAUAACCCAAUGAUUUAUAAGCGCAUGAUUCCAAUGGCGCAAUCCAAAUAUAUACUGGCGAUUUAUAGUCCAAAGCGAGGCCGGGUUAACAAACACCGGAUAAUUUUCUCAUCAUAUACUGGCGACUUAUCGUCUUAAAGCCUGGCUGGUUUAAUAAACACUGGAUAAUUUAUCAUCAUACUUUAUUCAACCUGUUUCUUCAUACAAAAAGUUUAAAGUGUCCUGGCGGUUUACCGCCGGACGGGUCAUAAUGCCCAACAUAUAACCCGGGUUUAUAACCAAGGCUGCACUUAAAAAUAAUCAAAUAUGGAAUAUAUCAUACCUGUGACAUUGAAUCACAUCGUUGGUUUACCAACUUUUUGUAGUAAGGGUGAUAACCCAAAUUUUGAGUACUGAUAACUCCUUCCAUAUUGUGCCGGUUUAUGAUAAAACCGUACCGGGUUGUGAUAAACACCAGAUUAACCAUAUAAUAUAUUGGCGACUUGUAGUCAAAACCAGACCGGGUUGAUAACCUCUGGAUUAUGACUGGUCAUACUGACAACUUGUAGUUGACAACCUAACCGGGUUGAUAAACACUGGUUUGAAAACAUCACAAAUCUUAUCAAAAGAAAGAGAAACUUAGCAAAAGGCAAAUAAAACCGUUGUAGUCGAGGCUUUUCACGGGCUGCCAGGCCCCAAAUUUGAUCAAGAGGUGUAGCUAUGGUUCGGGUUCGACCAAGCCCCCAAGUGAUGCUGUGGCAUUACGCCGAUCAAGAGGUGUAGCUAUGGUUCGGGUUCGACCAAGCCCCCAAGUGAUGCUGUGGCAUUGCGCCGAUCAAGAGGUGUAGCUAUGGUUCAGGUUCGACCAANNNNNNNNNNNNNNNNNNNNNNNNNNNNNNNNNNNNNNNNNNNNNNNNNNNNNNNNNNNNNNNNNNNNNNNNNNNNNNNNNNNNNNNNNNNNNNNNNNNNNNNNNNNNNNNNNNNNNNNNNNNNNNNNNNNNNNNNNNNNNNNNNNNNNNNNNNNNNNNNNNNNNNNNNNNNNNNNNNNNNNNNNNNNNNNNNNNNNNNNNNNNNNNNNNNNNNNNNNNNNNNNNNNNNNNNNNNNNNNNNNNNNNNNNNNNNNNNNNNNNNNNNNNNNNNNNNNNNNNNNNNNNNNNNNNNNNNNNNNNNNNNNNNNNNNNNNNNNNNNNNNNGGGUUCGACCAAGCCCCCAAGUGAUGCUGUGGCAUUACGCCGAUCAAGAGGUGUAGCUAUGGUUCGGGUUCGACCAAGCCCCCAAGUGAUGCUGUGGCAUUGCGCCGAUCAAGAGGUGUAGCUAUGGUUCGGGUUCGACCAAGCCCCCAAGUGAUGCUGUGGCAUGGCGCCGAUCAAGAGGUGUAGCUAUGGUUCGGAUACGACCAAGCCCCCAAGUGAUCAAUAAUAUGAUAAGCCAAUAAGGCUGGAUACCCAUGUUUGAACCGCGCAUCAUGGCUGCAGGUCCUCUUCGGCAACCUGUAACUUUUUGCAAGAGAUAAAUUCUUCUUGAACCGGGAUUUUAAACCGGAUAUUGAGAGCUUCAAAGCUUUGUGGGAGACAUCUUUCACUUGAACCGGAUUUUAAACCGGAAUCUUUAUUUUCAGCCGGAAAUUUUCUGACGGCAUUUAAACUCGAACUUGCGAGCGAUUAAUUCUUUCUGAACCGGAAAUUCUUAACCGUAUUUGAGAGCUUCAGUGCCUUGUGGGAGAAUAGAUUUUCCUUGAACCGGAUUGUAAACCGGAUAUUUGAGAGCUUCAGUGAGACUGACUUCCCUUGAGCCGGAUUUUAAACCGGAAUCCUUUCUGAUGACCCGGACCUUCUUCAUUGAGCCGGGUUUUUGUAACUGUCAUAUAUUUUCUAAGCCGGAAGUUUUCCGACGGCCUUUAAAUUUUCAUCCAUAUGGUAGUAGCCUCCGGGACCGGGUUAUCUUUCCCUCCAACGUCCUGAGGUUCUUGACUUCACUGAAAACCGGCAACAUUUGCUGAGUCAUAUCAUUGUAGCCCCCGAGUCUCAAGGUGACUCGAGGAGUUGGCUUGAGAUUAUCCAUACUUGACCGUGAUAUAAACCGGCAUAACUUGUAUAUCAUUGGUGUUGAUAGCACGAUGUGAAUCCACAGAAGGUUGAGGUGACUGCGGCGGGUUAUAAAUGAUCCCAUAUGAGCUAUGUCAGCAACUCGGCCAAUGGUUCCUUCCAACUGGCGAUUUGAAGUUAACAAAACUGUAGUGGCGGCGACUUGUGCGCCUGCUCAUUGAGCCAUCUAGUGCAAACGGCGGUUGAUGAUAAUUUCCCUCCAAUUUGAAAGAAAACCGGGCUACCCAAGCUGUGACUUGCUCAUACUCAAUAAACAGCUCAUGCAGAUAGGUGCGGCCCGGUAUGCUGAUGUAGACUAGGCCGCGAGAGACGGACGACAAGGACGACAGCAACAUCAAAGGCGGCACAGACAGAUGAACCGGCCGCAGCGUUGUAAACCGGUGCGGACAAGCAGGUUGCCCUCCUUGCUGUAAACCGGUGCGGACGCGUGAACCGGCCGCAAGGGCGGACAGGCGAGUCGUCUGUGGCGUUGUAAGGCGGCACGGACGGGCGAGUCGGCCACGGUGUUGUAAGCCAGUGCGGGAGUCCGUUGAGUAAGGACGACCACCUGUGCCGAAUGAUGUUGGCACGCCUCCAUCUCCGCAGUAUAAUGCCACUUUGUAAUGAAUAAUUCUCCUGCAUAUAAAACACAGUAGGGCAAAGUAAUUUUUCUCGGAUGAAUUAAUAUGUGCUUAAAAAUAAAUAGGAUAAAUAGCACCUGAUUCGCCCAGACGACAGAUAGCUUUUGACGUUUUCUUCGAGACCCGACUCCGUAUGAUCCCUUUUCUUAAUCUGGGAAAUACCUUUCUGGCCCUGCCAGACAUGUAUUGUGUCUUAACGAGGCUUGAGACGUCUGGCGGCAACUCAGAGACGUCUGGCGGGCCGAGGACGGAGGAGGCCAUGACAAGACCGGUGCGGCAGAGGUGACCCGCGGUGCGCUUGGCGAAGACAGGCGCGCGGGGCGCUGCGGCCGAUGGCAGGUCGGAGCCUUCGGGCGAGCGGUGAUACGGGCGGGUCAGCGAGUUUCGGCGAGGGCCGGUCCGGAGGGUCAGAGGGGGGAUCCAUCAGAGGCAGCUCGUGGAGACGAGCCAUGGCAGCGGGCGGCUUAGAGGCGAGGCCGACUCGAACACAGCCGGCAGCGGUAACUUGGAAACAGGCCAAACCGGAGGCCCAACGGCGGUCACGGGCGGCUCAACGAGAAGCAGCACAGGGAAGGCACUCGAGGUGGCGUGAGGCUGCGGUGUUUUGCAGUGGCGAGCGACGGCAGCGGCUUGUUGCAAGGACUGCACCAGGCGGCUCCUCGGCCCAACAGGGCCGGUGACGCCGCAAACCAUGACGACGACAGGACGAUCCGGGAGCGGCUCAGAGGAAGCAGCUUGACGGAGGUGAGCAUUAGUGACUAUGGCCGGCUUGGCGGCGGUCUGCUGUAGAUUUAGGGCCGAAGGAGGCAGGGCGAUAAGGCGACGGCCUGUGGUUGAGAACCGUGUUUGAGACGGAAAUGUGCUCCGGGACGAGUCGGCGAAGGCGCACGUCGGCUUGUCACUACCAAGGCAGCGCACGGGCCGAUUGACCAUCUUCUCUUUCUAAAUCGUUGAAGCCGUUGACCCUUUGACCAAAACGUGCAAGCACUUGGCAAAGGAACCUGUCCAUUGGGUUGAAGUACUCCCGUCCCCGUCCCCGUUAAUGUAUUUGGUCAGUCUUGGACUUGUAUAUUAUUUUUUUGGUAUGCGGAGGACGAAUCUGAUUUUGAUUCCGUGCCGACCGUGUUGACGACUCGGACUUCUUGCUUCUGCAACUCCGGCUUUGUCAGGUUGCAGCUUGUGCUCUUCACGUAAUAUACAGCAGAUUUGACCCAUGAUUUGAUGUGUUGACAACAGCAAUUUGUCUUGGCACAUAGAACGAUGAUUGAUGUAUUAUACUCUGAACGAGAUUUCUCACGAACACCCGUGAGUCAGAAACCAUACGAUGGAUCACCCAUAUCUGAUGUACGUCGCUGUCAAAGAAACUUUUUCCCUUUGAUCUGUUUUAUGUGGACACUGAAACUUUUUUAAUCUCAACUGAUGAAUUCGAAGUUGAUGUAGAUCCUUCUGUGCCCGCUUUUUGUUAUCUGACCAAUUGCAAUCUUCUCGAACCCUAGAAAAGCUCCCUCCAAGAACUCAACACCACCGUGCGCAGGCCCCACGGUGGGCGCCAACUGUCGUGGAUUUGUCACGGCAGAUGUCCUAGGGUGAGGACUUAGUCAUGAGGCCAGCGCAUCUAUGUAGUAGCUUGAGAGGGGUUGAGCGGAAUCGAGAGGCGCAACACAAGACGAGGAUUUAGACAGCUUCGGGCCCCGGGAAACAUCAUCCGAUAAUAACCCUACAUGCUGUUUGAGGUUAGAUCUCAUUACGCUCAUGAGGGAGACGCCGUAAACCGGCUCUUUGGGUCUAGCCCUAGAGAUUGUUUCUUCUUGUCUGUAGCUUGUCCCUCUUUGGGGAGCCCUACCCCUCCUUAUAUAUGUUGAAGGGGCGGGUUACAUGUGGAUUCCUAUUAGGAUUAUGACUAGUCUAUCUCUAAUACAAACCGGAUACAAGUCCGGGUCUUUAACUCCUUGUAAGAUAAUAUUCUUCACGCCAUUCCUCUUAAACUGGCCCGCCAUUAAUAUAAACCGGCCCUCUGGGCCUUGGGCCUUGUCAUCCGUCUGUCCCUGCCCGCCGGGUUACCAGCGAGUUAUAAUGUCCAGGAAGGUUGCUUGUAAACCGCCAGGUCAGGGCGGGUCACAAGUGAAUCGCCAAGUGUCAGCAUGAUCUCAAAUAAACCGCCAAGUCCGGCCGGGUUAUACUUCCGGCCGGUUUACGCCGCGGGGUAUGUCCCCGACAGACACCGGAAGGGUUCCGGAGUGUAUCGGGUACAUACCAGAGUACUGGAGGGGUUACCGGAACCCCCCGGGGAAAGAUUGUUGGGGAACGUAGUAAUUUCAAAAAAAUUCCUACGCACACACAGGAUCAUGGUGAUGCAUGGCAAACGAGAGGGGAGAGUAUGUCCAUGUACCCUCGUAGAUCAAAAGCGGAAGUGUUAGCACAACACGGUUGAUGUAGUCGUACGUCUUCACGAUCCGACCGAUCCAAGUACCGAACGUACGGCACCUCCGAGUUCAGCACACAUUCAGCUCGAUGACGUCCCGCGAAAUCUGAUCCAGCAGAGCUUCAUGGGAGAGUUCCGUCAGCACGACGGCAUGGUGACGGUGAUGAUGAUGCUACCGAUGCAGGGCUUCGCCUAAGCACCGCUACAAUAUGAUCGAGGUGGAAUAUGGUGGAGGGGGGCACUGCACACGGCUAAAAGAUCAAUGAUCAAUUGUUGUGUCUAUGGGGUGCCCCCCUCCUCCGUAUAUAAAGGGGGAGGAGGAGAGGGCCGGCCAAGGGGGUGGCGCGCCCUAGGAGGGGGAAACCUACUCCAAGUAGAUUUGCCCCUCCCUUUCCUAGUCCAAGAAGGAGGGGGAAGGAAGGAGUGAGAGAGGGGAAAGGCAGGCCCCCCCCUUCCUUGUCCUAUUUGGACUCAAGGGGAGGGGGCGCGCCUCUUGCCCUGGCCGGCCCCUCUCUUUCUCCACUAGGGCCCAACAAGGCCCAUUAGUUCCCGGGGGGUUCCGGUAACCCCCGGUACUCCGAUAUAUAUCCGAUAACCCCCGGAACCAUUCCAGUGUCUGAAUAUAGUCGUCCAAUAUAUCAAUCUUCAUGUCUUGACCAUUUCGAGACUCCUCAUCAUGUCCGUGAUCAUAUUCGGGACUCCGAACUAUCUUCGGUACAUCAAAACACAUAAACUCAUGAUAUAACCGUCAUCAAACUUUAAGCGUGCGGACCCUACGGGUUCGAGGACUAUGUAGACAUGACCGAGACAUGUCUCUGGUCAAUAACCAAUAGCGGAACCUGGAUGCCCAUAUUGGCUCCCACAUAUUCUACGAAGAUCUUUAUCGGUCAAACCGCAUAACAACAUACGUUGUUCCCAUUGUCAUCGGUAUGUUACUUGUCCGAGAUUCGAUCGUCGGUAUCUCAAUACCUAGUUCAAUCUCGUUACUGGCAAGUAUCUUUACUCGUUCCGUAAUACAUCAUCCCGCAACUAACUCAUUAGUUACAAUGCUUGCAAGGCUUAUAGUGAUGUGUAUUACUGAGUGGGCCCAGAGAUACCUCUCCGACAAUCGGAGUGACAAAUCCUAAUCUCGAAAUACGCCAACCCAACAAGUAUCUUCGGGGACACCUGUAGAGCACCUUUAUAAUCACCCAGUUACGUUGUGACGUUUGGUAGCACACAAAGUGUUCUUCCGGUAAACGGGAGUUGCAUAAUCUCAUAGUCAUAGGAACAUGUAUAAGUCAUGAAGAAAGCAAUAGCAACAUACUAAAUGAUCAAGUGCUAAGCUAACGGAAUGGGUCAAGUCAAUCACAUCAUUCUCCUAAUGAUGUGAUCCCGUUAAUCAAAUGACAACUCAUGUCUAUGGCUAGGAAACAUAACCAUCUUUGAUCAACGAGCUAGUCAAGUAGAGCCAUACUAGUGACACUCUGUUUGUCUAUGUAUUCGCACAUGUAUCAUGUUUCCGGUUAAUGCAAUUCUAGCACGAAUAAUAAACAUUUAUCAUGAUAUAAGGAAAUAAAUAAUAACUUUAUUAUUGCCUCUAGGGCAUAUUUCCUUCAGUCUCCCACUUGCACUAGAGUCAAUAAUCUAGUUCACAUCGCCAUGUGAUUUAACAUCAAUAGUUCACAUCUUUAUCUGGUUAACACCCAUAGUUCACAUCGAUAUGUGACCAACACCCAAAGGGUUUACUAGAGUCAGUAAUCUAGUUCACAUCGCUAUGUGAUUAACAGCCAAAGAGUACUAAGGUGUGAUCGUGUUUUGCUUGUGAGAUAAUUUUAGUCAACGGGUCUGUCACAUUCAGAUCCGUAAGUAUUUUGCAAAUUUCUAUGUCAACAAUGCUCUGCACGGAGCUACUCUAGCUAAUUGCUCCCACUUUCAAUAUGUAUCUAGAUCGAGACUUAGAGUCAUCCAGAUCGGUGUCAAAGCUUGCAUCGACGUAACUCUUUACGAUGAACCUUUUGUUACCUCCAUAAUCGAGAAACAUAUCCUUAUUCCACUAAGGAUAAUUUUGACCGAUGUCCAGUGAUAUACUCCUAGAUCACUAUUGUACUCCCUUGCCAAAAUCAGUGUAGGGUAUACAAUAGAUCUAGUACACAACAUGGCAUACUUUAUAGAACCUAUGGCCGAGGCAUAGGGAAUGACUUUCAUUCUCUUUCUAUCUUCUGACAUGGUCGGGCUUUGAGUCUUACUCAAUUUCACACCUUGUAACACAGGCAAGAACUAUUUCUUUGACUGUUCCAUUUUGAACUACUUCAAAAUCUUGUCAAGGUAUGUACUCAUUGAAAAAACUUAUCAAGCGUCUUGAUCUAUCUCUAUAGAUCUUGAUGCUCAAUAUGUAAGCAGCUUCACCGAGGUCUUUCUUUGAAAAAACUCCUUUCAAAUACUCCUUUAUGCUUUCCAGAAAAUUCUACAUUAUUUCCGAUCAACAAUAUGUCAUUCACAUAUAUUUAUUAGAAAUGUUGUAGUGCUCCCACUCACUUUCUUGUAAAUACAGGCUUCACCGCAAGUCUGUUUAAAACUAUAUGCUUUGAUCAACUUAUCAAAGUGUAUAUUCCAACUCCGAGAUGCUUGCACCAGUCCAUAGAUGGAUCGCUGGAGCUUGCACAUUUUGUUAGCACCUUUAGGAUCGACAAAACCUUCUGGUUGCAUCAUAUACAACUCUUCUUUAAGAAAUCCAUUAAGGAAUGUAGUUUUGACAUCCAUUUGCCAGAUUUCAUAAAAUGUGGCAAUUUGCUAACAUGAUUCGGACAGACUUAAGCAUCACUACGAGUGAGAAAAUCUCAUCGUAGUCAACACCUUGAACUUUGUCAAAAACCUUUUUUUCAACAAGUCUAGCUUUGAGUAACACUACUAUCAGAGUCCGUCUUCCUCUUGAAGAUCCAUUUAUUUUCUAUGGCUUGCCGAUCAUCGGGCAAGUCAACCAAAGUCCACACUUUGUUCUCAUACAUGGAUCCCAUCUCAGAUUUCAUGGCCUCAAGCCAUUUUUGCGGAAUCUGGGCUCAUCAUCGCUUCCUCAUAGUUCGUAGGUUUGUCAUGGUCAAGUAACAUGACCUCCAGAACAGGAUUACCGUACCACUCUGGUGCGGAUCUCACUCUGGUUUACCUACGAGGUUCGGUAGUAACUUGAUCUGAAGUUACAUGAUCAUCAUCAUUAGCUUCCUCACUAGUUGGUGUAGUAGUCACAGGAACAGAUUUCUGUGAUGAACUACUUUCCAAUAAGGGAGCAGGUACAAUUACCUCAUCAAGUUCUACUUUCCUCCCACUCACUUCUUUCGAGAGAAACUCCUUCUCUAGAAAGGAUCCAUUCUUAGCAACGAAUAUCUUGCCUUCGGAUCUGUGAUAGAAGGUGUACCCAACUGUCUCCUUUGGGUAUCCUAUGACACAUUUCUCCGAUAUGGGUUUGAGCUUAUCAGGUUGAAACUUUUUUCUUGUAAGCAUCACAGCCCCAAACUUUAAGAAACGACAACUUUGGUUUCUUGCCAAACCACAGUUCAUAUAGUGUCGUGUCAACGGAUUUAGAUGGUGCCCUAUUUAACAUGAAUGCAGCUGUCUCUAAUGCAUAACCCCAAAAUGACAGUGGUAAGAAACAUCAUAGAUUGCACUAUAUCCAAUAAAGUACGGUUAUGACGUUCGGACACACCAUUAUGCUGUGGUGUUCCAGGUGGCGUGAGUUGCGAAAACUAUUCCGCAUUGUUUCAAAUGAAGACCAAACUCGUAACUCAAAUAUUCUCCUCCACGAUCAGAUCGUAGAAACUUUAUUUUCUUGUUACGAUGAUUUUCCACUUCACUCUGAAAUUAUAUGAACUUUUCAAAUGUUUCAGACUUAUAUUUCAUCAAGUAGAUAUACCCAUAUCUUCUCAAAUCAUCUGUGAAGGUCAGAAAAUAAUGAUACCCGCCGCGAGCCUCAACGCUUAUCGGAUCGCAUACAUCAGUAUGUAUUAUUUCCACUAAGUCAGUUGCUCGCUCCAUUGUUCCGGAGAACGGAGUCUUAGUCAUCUUACCCAUAAGGCAUGGUUUUCGCAAGCAUCAAGUGAUUCAUAAUCAAGUGAUUCCAAAAGCCCAUCAGCAUGGAGUUUCUUCAUGCGCUUUACACAAUUAUGACCUAAACGGCAGUGCCACAAAUAAGUUGCACUAUCAUUAUUAACUUUGCAUCUUUUGGCUUCAAUAUUAUGAAUAUGUGUAUCACUACGAUCGAGAUCCAAUGAACCAUUUUCAUUGGGUGUAUAACCAUAGAAGGUUUUAUUCAUGUAAACAGAACAACAAUUAUUCUCUAACUUAAAUGAAUAACCUUAUUGCAAUAAACAUGAUCAAAUCAUAUUCAUGCUCAACGCAAACACCAAAUAACACUUAUUUAGGUUCAACACUAAUCCCGAAAGUAUAGGGAGUGUGCGACGAUGAUCAUAUCAAUCUUGGAACCACUUCCAACACACAUCGUCACUUCACCCUUAACUAGUCUCUGUUUAUUUUGCAACUCCCGUUUCAAGUUACUACUCUUAGCAACUGAACUAGUAUCAAAUAGCGAGGGGUUUCUAUAAGCACAGUUAAGUACACAUCAAUAACAUGUAUAUCCAAUAUACCUUUGUUCAAUUUGCCAUCCUUCUUAUCCGCCAAGUAUCUAGGGCAGUUCCACUUCCAGUGACCAUUUCCUUUGCAGUAUAAGCACUUAGUCUCAGGCUCAGGUCUAGACUUGGGCUUCUUAUCAUGAGCAGCAACUUGCUUGCCGUUCUUCUUGAAGUUCCCCUUCUUCCCUUUGCCCUUUUCUUGAAACUAGUGGUCUUGUUAAUCAUCAACACUUGAUGCUCUUUCUUGAUUUCUACCUUCAUCGAUUUCAUCAUCAUGAAAAGCUCGGGAAUCGUUUUCGUCAUCCCUUGCAUACUAUAGUUCAUCACGAAGUUCUACUAACUUGGUGAUGGUGACUAGAGAAUUCUGUCAAUCACUAUCUUAUCUGGAAGAUUAACUCCCACUUGAUUCAAGCGAUUGUAGUACCCAAACAACCUGAGCACAUGCUCACUGCUUGAGCUUUUCUCCUCCAUCUUUUAGCUAUAGAACUUGUUGGAGACUUCAUAUCUCUCAACUCGGGUAUUUGUUUGAAAUAUUAACUUCAACUCCUGGAACAUCUCAUAUGGUCCAUGAUGUUCAAAACGUCUUUGAAGUCUCGAUUCUAAGCCGUUAAGCAUGGUGCACUAAACUAUCAAGUAGUCAUCAUAUUGAGCUAGCCAAAUGUUCAUAACGUCUGCAUCUGCUCCUGCAAUAGGUCUGUCACCUAGCGGUGCAUCUAGGACAUAAUUCUUCUGUGCAGCAAUGAGGAUAAACCUCAGAUCACGGAUCCAAUCUGCAUCAUUGCUACUAACAUCUUUCAACUUAGUUUUCUCUAGGAACAUAUCAAAAAUAAAACAGGGGAGCUAAACGCAAGCUAUUGAUCUACAACAUAGAUAUGCUAAUACGACCAGGACUAAGUUCAUGAUAAAUUAAAGUUCAAUUAAUCAUAUUACUUAAGAACUCCCACUUAGAUAGACAUCCCUCUAAUCAUCUAAGUGAUCUCGUGAUCCAAAUCAACUAAACCAUGUCCGAUCAUCACGUGAGAUGGAGUAGUUUCAAUGGUGAACAUCACUAUGUUGAUCAUAUCUACUAUAUGAUUCACGCUCGACCUUUCGGUCUCAGUGUUCCUAGGCCAUAUCUGUUAUAUGCUAGGCUCGUCAAGUUUAACCUGAGUAUUCCGCGUGUGCAACUGUUUUGCACCCGUUGUAUUUGAACGUAGAGCCUAUCACACCCGAUCAUCACGUGGUGUCUCAGCAUGAAGAACUUUCGCAACGGUGCAUACUCACUUAUACCUUGAUAAUUUAGUGAGAGAUCAUCUUAUAAUGCUUCCGUCAAUCAAAGCAAGAUAAGAUGCAUAAAAGAUAAACAUCACAUGCAAUCAAUAUAAGUGAUAUGAUAUGGCCAUCAUUAUCUUGUGCUUGUGAUCUCCAUCUUCGAAGCAGCGUCAUGAUCACCAUCGUCAUCGGCGCGACACCUUGAUCUCCAUCGUAGCAUCGUUGUCGUCUCGCCAACUUAUGCUUCUAUGACUAUCGCUACCGCUUAGUGAUAAAGUAAAGCAUUACAGGGUGAUUGCAUUGCAUACAAUAAAGCGACAACCAUAUGGCUCCUGCCACUUGCCGAUAACUCGGUUACAAAACAUGAUCAUCUCAUACAAUAAAAUAUAGCAUCAUGCCUUGACCAUAUCACAUCACAACAUGCCCUUUAAAAACAAGUUAGACGUCCUCUACUUUAUUGUUGCAAGUUUUACGUGGCUGCUAUGGGCUGAGCAAGAACCGUUCUUACCUACGCAUCAAAACCACAACGAUAGUUCGUCAAGUUAGUGUUGUUUUAACCUUCUCAAGGAUCGGGCGUAGCCACACUCGGUUCAACUAAACUUGGAGAAACUGACACCCGCCAGCCACCUGUGUGCAAAGCACGUCGGUAGAACCAGUCUCGCGUAAGCGUACGCGUAAUGUCGGUCCGGGCCGCUUCAUCCAACAAUACCACCGAACCAAAGUAUGACAUGCUAGUAAGCAGUAUAACUUGUAUCGCCCACAACUCACUUGUGAUCUACUCGUGCAUAUAACAUCUACGCAUAAAACCAGGCUCGGAUGCCACUGUUGGGGAAUGUAGUAAUUUCAAAAAAAUUCCUACGCACACACAAGAUCAUGGUGAUGCAUAGCAACGAGAGAGGAGAGUAUGUCCACGUACCUUCGUAGACCGAAAGCGGAAGCGUUAGCACAACGCGGUUGAUGUAGUCGUACGUCUUCACGAUCUGACCGAUCCAAGUACCGAACGUACGGCACCUCCGAGUUCAGCACACGUUCAGCUCGAUGACGUCCCGCGAACUCCGAUCCAGCAGAGCUUCACGGGAGAGUUCCGUCAGCACGACGGCGUGGUGACGGUGAUGAUGAUGCUACCGACGCAGGGCUUCGCCUAAGCACCGCUACAAUAUGAUCGAGGUGGAAUAUGGUGGAGGGGGCACCGCACACGGCUAAAAGAUCAAUGAUCAAUUGAUGUGUCUAUGGGGUGCCCCCCUCCUCCGUAUAUAAAGGGGGAGGAGGAGAGGGCCGGCCAAGGGGGUGGAGCACCCUAGGAGGGGGAAACCUACUCCAAGUAGGUUUGCCCCUCCCUUUCCUAGUCCAAGGAGGGGGAAGGAAGGAGUGGGAGAGGGGAAAGGCAGGGGGGCGCCUCCCUCUUCCUUGUCCUAUUCGGACUCAAGGGGAGGGGGCGCGCCUCUUGCCCUGGCCGGCCCCUCUCUCUCUCCACUAGGGCCCAACAAGGCCCAUUAGUUCCCGGGGGGUUCCGGUAACCCCCGGUACUCCGAUAUAUAUCCGAUAACCCCCGGAACCAUUCCGGUGUACGAAUAUAGUCGUCCAAUAUAUCAAUCUUCAUGUCUCGACCAUUUCGAGACUCCUCGUCAUGUCCGUGAUCAUAUCCGGGACUCCGAACUAUCUUUGGUACAUCAAAACACAUAAACUCAUAAUAUAAUCAUCAUCAAACUUUAAGCGUGCGGACCCUACGGGUUCGAGAACUAUGUAGAGAUGACCGAGACACGUCUCCGGUCAAUAACCAAUAGCGGAACCUAGAUGCUCAUGUUGGCUCCCACAUAUUCUACGAAGAUCUUUUCGGUCAAACCGCAUAACAACAUACGUUGUUCCCUUUGUCAUCGGUAUGUUACUUGUCCGAGAUUCGAUCGUCGGUAUCUCAAUACCUAGUUCAAUCUCGUUACCGGCAAGUCUCUUUACUCGUUUCGUAAUACAUCAUCCCGCAACUAACUCAUUAGUUACAAUGCUUGCAAGGCUUAUAGUGAUGUGUAUUACUGAGUGGGCCCAGAGAUACCUCUCCGACAAUCGGAGUGACAAAUCCUAAUCUCGAAAUACGCCAACCCAACAAGUACCUUCGGAGGCACCUAUAGAGCACCUUUAUAAUCACCCAGUUACGUUGUGACGUUUGGUAGCACACAAAGUGUUCUUCCGGUAAACGGGAGUUGCAUAAUCUCAUAGUCAUAGGAACAUGUAUAAGUCAUGAAGAAAGCAAUAGCAACAUACUAAACGAUCAAGUGCUAAGCUAACAGAAUGGGUCAAGUCAAUCACAUCAUUCUCCUAAUGAUGCGAUCCCAUUAAUCAAAUGACAACUCAUGUCUAUGGCUAGGAAACAUAACCAUCUUUGAUCAACAAGCUAGUCAAGUAGAGGCAUACUGGUGACACUCUGUUUGUCUAUGUAUUCACACAUGUAUCAUGUUUCUGGUUAAUACAAUUCUAGCAUGAAUAAUAAACAUUUAUCAUGAUAUAAGGAAAUAAAUAAUAACUUUAUUAUUGCCUCUAGGGCAUAUUUCCUUCAAAGAUAUGGGCCAUAGGAGGGAGGCUAACCAGCCCACAAGGGGCUGGCACGCACCCGACAAGGGAGGAGGCCGAAUUGGAUUAGGGAGGGGGCGGAGCCACCCUUUCCUUCUCCUACUCCCUCUCCUUUCCUCCUUUCCCCCUCCGAAAGAAGGAAAAAUGGUGGGGGGGGGCUAAUCCUACUAGGACUGGAGUCCUAGUAGGACUCCCCUCUCUUGGCGCGCCCCUGAUGGACGGCCUCCUCCUCUCCCUCCUUUAUAUACGUGGGCAGGGCGUCCCUUGGAGAUACACUAAUUGUUCCAAGCGGUGUGCGGCGUCUCCCUCCACCGUUUACUCCUCCGGUCAUAUUCACGUAGUGCUCAGGCGAAGCCCUGCGCGGAUCACAUCACCAUCACCGUCACCAUGCUGUCAUGCUAACGAAACUCUCCCUCGACCCUUUGCUGGAUCAAGAGUUCGAGGGACGUCAUCGAGCUGAACGUGUGCAGAACUCGGAGGUGCCAUACGUUCGGCGCUUGAUCGGUUGGAUCAUGAAGACGUUUGACUACAUCAACCGCGUUAAACUAACGCUUCCGCUUUCGGUCUAUGAGGGUACGUGGACACACUCCCCCCUCUCAUUUCUAUGCAUCUCCUAGAUAGAUCUUGCGUGAUCGUAGGAAAUUUUUUGAAAUUGCAUGCUACGUCCCCAACAAUGACCACAUUCCAAUUCAUACCUGAUGAAUCAGACCUGACACAACUCUGAGCAAUAGCAGGCAUAAUAAGCAAACAUAAAUGAGUAGGCACAUCAUGGCUCAAACAACUCCUACUCAUGCUAGUGGGUUUCAACUAUUUACUGUGGCAAAGACAGGUCAUGCAGAGGAAAGGGGUUCAACUACCGCACCAUGUAACAGUUGAAUCGUUGUUGUCCUAAUGCAGUAAAAGAGAGCUGGAGCGAGAGAGUGGGAUUGUAUCAGAGUGAUAAAGGGGGUUUUGCUUGCCUGGCACUUCUGAAGAUAGUAAAACUCUUCAUCGGUGUCAUCAAACUCAUCGUCGAAACUACGUCCACUGAGAGGGGAAAAAUACCGGCAAACAGAGAAAGAACACAAUCAAUGCAAUGCCACAAUAUGAUGCAUGAUCAUGACAUGGCAAUAUGCUGUGAUUUGAUCUAAUGCAGCUAGCAACGAUUUAAAUGGAGUUGGUUUGAACACAAGAUUCAAAUUCAAACUCCACAUAAGGCAUUUCAAAUGCCAUUAAUUCAAAUUGUCUUAUACAGGAAGUUUAAGUUGUUCAAACAUGCAUGAAAAUGCCAUAAACAAAUUCUUUGGAUUUUUUUGCUAAUUUUUCAUAUAUAUAUAUAUAUAUAUAUAUUAUUUUCAUUGGAGUUAUAGUUUAUUUUCUAUGAAUUUUAGAAGUUUUGGUUAUUUCUGAAAUAAAUAAAUUAUUUCUGAUUUAUCUAAAAUCCCAGAAAACAUUUACUGCGUUAGCAUUGCGUCACUGUGAUGUCAGCAGUCAACUGACCGUGCCAGGUCAAACCUGACGUGUGGGUCCCACAUGUCAGCCUCUCCUCUAACUAUGGGUGUUAAUUAGCACUAAUUUAAGCCUAAGCCGGAACUAAUUAGGGCCUGGCCCGCAUGUCAGUGGGACAGGGGGAGUCAAACCCCUGGUCAACGGGGUCAAACCCGCAGGCGGUUAGUCACCGGCGAGGUCCGCGACGGUCGGACGCGUCGGAAACGCCAUGUGGUGCCCCGUUUGAUAUGCGGCUGGGCUCUCUAGAGAGCUGAUGCUGCAACGCAUCCAACGGUGGGCUUGGACGGAGCUGAGGUGGUUGGAGUCGACGGCGGCGAGCACGAAUGCGGCGACCGGCGUUCGGGCGUUCGCGGGAUCGGUGCUGCAGUGUGCAAACGAGUGCAGCGAGGCGCUAGCGAGGUUCUAUGCGCGGCGGUGGGCAUGUUGGAUGCACGCCCGGAACCAAAUAGUCAUCGGUGACCAGCACAGGCAGCGACACAUUCGGCCACAUGCGUGACGGCGGCUACGACAUGCAAACGAGACGGAGGAGAGGGGGGUUCGGGUGAGGAGCUCACGGCGGUUGCAGCACGCGUCUCAGCGGGCUCCGGGAAGGUCCGAGCUGAGCGGGGCAUCGAGGUGGAUCUCCGGCGACCGACGGCGAAGGUGACGAAGAGGGCGACGCUGCAUUGCUCCCGGGCUCGUGCUCGUCGGUGAGAAGAUGCAGCGGUGGACGUCAAAGCUUAUAGCCACGGACAGAGGGCGAGGAAGUGGCUCUGGGCUCGGCAGCGGCGAGCGGCGGCGACGGCCGUAUACGGUGGGGACGCAAGGAGAGAGCAGAGGAGGGGAGGGGCGACCGGAGGGAGAGGGGAGUGGACGAGGGGGUCGGGGGGGUGUGUGGCGUCGUCCAGAGCAUCGGGGAGGGAUGCAGGCAGACAGGAGGUGCCCGCGCGGCAAGCACGCGCUCAGGGCCUAGUGUCCACAGGAAGGGGAUGACUGGCAGCGGCGCUGGGCUGGCCCGGCCAGGUGGACUGCCUACUAGGCCGUCCAGGUAAGCCAGGUAAGCCCUUUUUUUAAUUUCUGUUCUGUUUUCUAUUUUUCCUCUCUGUUUUGAUUUAUUUUUAGGACUAAAUCAUUUUAUUAAAUUCUGAAAAUAAUUAUGCGCACUAACUGAAUUAUUCUAGAUGAAUAUUUGGAGCACUUAAAAUAUCUAUAGAAUUUAAUUGCCCCAAUUCAAAUACAAUAUGGAUUAAUUCAAAAAUCCAAAGAUGACCUAGAAAAAUGUGCACCAUUUUUUUCAGAGGUUCUAGACCAAUUCAAAAAUGAUGAACAUUUAUGAAGGGCAUUUUGGGUUCAUUGAAAAGAUUUAAUUUUGACCCUAGUUGAAUUUCAUUUGCUGCUAGGGUUUAUCAGCCCCCAUUUCAAGUUUAAGAUAUUUUAACAUGAUGCAUGGAAGCUUAAGCAAUGACAGGCAAGGACUAAGCUAGGGCUGUGACAGGUCGCUGUCGCCGACCUACUCCAUGGUGGUGGUAGGGGAUCUCCUCCCUUUGUUUGCACUUGUGUCGUGUGGGGGUGACAGUGGCAGGGGUUGCGGAAGCCGGGGCAGAGUGUCGUGGUCCUAUUCUCUCUCACGGUAGAAUUGGACCUACUCCCUCCGUCCGGAAUUAGUUAUCGCAAAAAGGAUAAAAAUGGAUGUAUCUAGAAUUAAAAUACGUCUAGAUACAUCAAUUCGUUUGAUAAGUAAUUUAGAACGGAGGGAGUAGCUACCAUGGUGAAAACCUAGCUAUAACCUACGUUAGCCGCAUCGGUGUAUGUUUCAUGUGAAGACGGCGGAGUGGCAUGAGCUCUUGUGGAGCGAGGGUGAAUAGGUGGAGCGGCUCUCGGAUAUAGGUGCACCUGAUAUGAUUUUGAGUAAUUCCAAAAAUGUCAAAAAUUAUGAAAUCUUUUGGUAAACUAACUUGACCUUCUGUUGCAUUUGUAUCAAAACUUUAGCCAAGAAACUUUACCCAAAGUGUGGAGCAUUGUCUUUCAAGAUGGGAACGGGCCGGGUCGGCCCGACCCGGCCCGCUGGGUCACUGACCCGGCCCGAAAUUUCAAGGCCAAUGGGCCAAAUGGGUCGGCCUCAAAUGAUAUAUGGGUCAGUGGAGCCGGCACCGUGCGACCCGAUGGGUCAGACGGGUCGACCCAGUCGAAUCGCUAGGCCCUAGUCACUGCUGGCCGACCCUGUUCGAGACGCCCCUGGACACAUCUACGGUAUAUGAACUCGAUCAAUUCUGUUGGAGAUGCGUUGUACACAAGAAGCAGACAGAGAGACAGGUGGAUUGAUUGUUACGUCAACUACUAGUACAUGCACGUAGAAAAACCAGCGUGUCGUUCGUGUCUUGGUCACCGCCGAGCUCGCCAUCCCGGUCACUAUACUAUUCCUCUCUAACUUGUACAGCUCGCUGUCCCAGUGGUUUUCCAGUCUUCAGAUUGUGAUCACUGGAGUCAUGAAUUUUCCAUCUUAAUCUUGGGUCGGCCUCGUAUACCCAAUGGGUCAGUGAGGCCAUAAAUUUUUGAUGAAAUGGGUUGACCCAUGGCCUCACAUAUUGACCUUGGGGCCACGGGGCCAGGUCCGGGCCAUUCCCAUCUUGAAUUAUCUUGCCCAGAUGCUAAAUUCUUUGUUAACGAGUACUACACAUCUUUGUUAUUUCGAGGUGACUGACAUUUAUCCCAGUUUGUUCCUCACCACCUUGCAAUGCUCCUAGUCUCUGAAUUCGACAGAAACCAGCACUGGUCGCAGAUAUGCACGGGAGGAUUGGAGAAGUUUCUGGAGAACGGAUCAUCUUUCCAAAAAUAAAAGUUAACGGAAAAUAUCUCUGCUCCUAAGAAGCGAGACCAAACCAGCCACUCAACAUUUUCAUUUGUUCCUAAAGAAAGACCGUUGAUGGAGCUCUAGAACUUUCCACGUUGCCGCAUCCCACGGGUUCCACCAAGUUUCAGAAGUUUCCGUCACCUUCUAGACUCCGGCCACCGAUAUAAACUCCCUCCUCCUCCCGUCGCAUCAUCACCAACGCAGUCCACAAAAAAAAUCAGCAAACAAUCCAACGCAGUCCAAUCCGAGGAGACCGACCGAUCGAGCUCGGAGAUCAGCAGCGACCGAGAAUGGAGGGCAGGAUGUUCGGGCUGGAGACCCCGCUGAUGACGGCGCUGCAGCACCUGCUGGACAUCCCCGACGGCGAGGCCGGCGGGCCCGGCAACGCCGGCGGCGAGAAGCAGGGCCCGACGCGCGCCUACGUCCGCGACGCGCGCGCCAUGGCGGCCACCUCCGCCGACGUGAAGGAGCUGCCGGGCGCGUACGCGUUCGUGGUGGACGUGCCGGGGCUGGGGUCCGGCGACAUCAAGGUGCAGGUGGAGGACGAGCGGGUGCUGGUGAUCAGCGGCGAGCGCCGGAGGGAGGAGAAGGAGGACGCCAGGUACCUGCGGAUGGAGCGCCGCAUGGGCAAGCUGAUGCGCAAGUUCGUGCUGCCGGAGAACGCCGACACGGAGAAGAUCUCCGCGGUGUGCCGCGACGGGGUGCUCACCGUGUCCGUCGAGAAGCUGCCGCCGCCCGAGCCCAAGAAGCCCAAGACCAUCCAGGUCCAGGUCGCCUGAGACUCUGAGAGAUGGAUGGGACGACGGAGCCAGAGAGAGGUCCUUUGCUUGCACGCCUGAUCGAAGCUGAGUGGGUAGUGAUCGAUGAUUAGGGAGUGAGUUUCCUGAGAUGCGUGAUGUGUGUGUGUUUUCUAUCUCUGCUCGUAUGGUGUCCGAGAGUGUUGUGUGACUAGUUUAAGCUUUCAGGGCGCAAUUUCAAUGAAAUUUCUGAAAUAUCAUUAACUUUGGUUCAUACUGAAAUAAUUGCCUUUCUUCCAAAAUAUCUCAGUAAU